RNAcentral lists this long non-coding RNA (93787 nucleotides) under Malus domestica (apple). The record is from RNAcentral. Lineage: Eukaryota; Viridiplantae; Streptophyta; Magnoliopsida; Rosales; Rosaceae.
UUUUUUUUUUUUUUUUUUGGUUCCAAUUUUGUUGAUUUUCGGAGAACGAAACUACGAAAGAAAGUGUAGCUGUGAGAAGGAAGAAAACGUACCGGGAGGCAAGAACGCUGAGGCGGCAGCCCAAGGCGAUCGCCAUGGCUUCUCGAGAUGUGUUGUGGUUUCUCUCGCACUCUUUAGAAACUCUGGUGCAGUCGGCUUUUCUUUCUUUCCCCGCAAGUAUAUGGCCCACUCUUUUAUGGUAUUCCUCAGGGUCUUUGUUGUAAUUACCAAAACUUCAGGGGUCUAUGCAUACGUUUCCAUUUUUAGUGGUGUAUUGGUUAUUUUGAGGGAAAAAUUAUUUUGUAGUACGUUUUUACGGUGGUUGUAGUUCAAGUGGUUAAAAUAUUCAUCAUACGCAAAUGGUCAUUUACCACAGUGAUGGAAAAAUGUUGAGUCAUUGCAUGAUAUCGUGCGUUCAAAUCUCAUCGAUGACUAAUCUAACAUUUAAUCUAACAAAAUCGUUUAAAAAUAAAAUAAAAUAUAUACAUUCAUCAUACACUCGAAAUCUGUUGUUCAAUAUUUGGUUCUUCCCUUGAGUAUCCAUAAUUGUUUCCUGCCAAAAAAGGAAAAAAAGUGCAUGAUGAUGUUACAAAGUGCUAAUAAUAAAUUCAUUUUUUUUAAUCAUACUCUUUCUUUUAAGGAUUUUUUUAAAGAAAAAUUAAUAAAAAGAGUUUGAAAACUUUGAGUUUUAACGAUAAUGACAGAAUAAAGAGUAAAGUGAAUGAUACUAUGAUUGACUUUUGAGUGUAAAUAUGUGAUUUUUCGUUACAGUAAACAGUACCGUGAGUUUUUCGUUAAAAUUCUUUUUUUUUUUAAUCAUACUUUUUCUUUUAAGGAUAUAGGGGUGAAUUUGAAGAUUUAGUUGUUUUGAGAAAGAAAUGUGGGAUUGGUCUAAAUUUCGUAAACUAAUAAUUUCUUUUUGUUUUGAUUUUUUUUUAAUUUUUUCUAACAAUAUACUCUAAACUAUUUUAAUUUAUUAAUAAUGUCGGCAACCUCAGGUGCAAAACAAAUUACAUUAAGUUAUUUGUUCGAUUCUCCUUCUCCUCAAUGUCACAUGUCACUUAUGUUGAAAAAAGAGAGGUGAUAUUUGUCUUCUCGCCUUAUUUAGUUGAAAGGGUAGGUGAAAAAACAUUUACUUUGUUAAAAGUAAAAGGGUAAGUGCGGGAAUCAGCAAGAAAGUCUCAUCUCAUUUGUAAAUAUGGAAAAUAUUGGGCAACUUGAGAAAUUAGAAUUUCAAGUCAAUAUAACAUUUGAGCCUGUGACAUCUAGAUCGAACCAACUUCUUAGAUUAUGUUUGUAAAUUAUGUAAUAUGUCACAUAUAGGAAAUAAUCACGUUAAUCAUCAUUUAAGUUGUAAUUUAAUCGUCAACAAACAUGUCAUAUGGUUUACAAAAUAUGCUAGAGAUACCAUUUAUUUAAACCAUAUUUUGUGAGUCAUAUGACAUUGUUGUUGAUGAUAAGAUAUUUAAGUGUUGAUUAAGUGCCUAUUUCUUAUUGAUAACUCAUCACAUGAUAUACAAACGUAGUCUAAAAAUUUAAUCUCCUUAGCAUUAGUCUUUAAUAACAUACAAUGUAAUGUUAAGGAGAUUUUUUUAAAAGUGUAGCUCUUUAUGGACUCUCUGUCACCUUACAAUUUAACAUUAUCGUACCAAUAUCAUAAAACAUUGUGCAAAAAACAUGAUGCGACAGAGAACAACAUGGGGCAUCUUUUCCAAGUCCCUCCCCUAAAUCAGGGAACAAAGAUGUAACUAAACUUGCUUGUUCAAUGCUAAAUACUUGAUUGAUCCCCAAAGCACAGAACAACAUGGGGUCCUACAACCAAUCAAACUUCCAACGGUUGCUUUCUUUCACCAAGCUCUUGACCUCCCAUGUCAGCCAAGGUCGUCAUGACGAAGCCCUUUCCAUCUUCCACCACAUGCAGACCUCACUGGCUCUAUCUCUCGACCCCCAUGUCUUCUCUCUUGUUCUCAAGUCCUGCUCCGCCGUCCACCGCCCGCAACUCGGCGUCUCCGUCCAUGCCCACGUCGCCAAAUCUUCCAUCCUAUCAAACCCAUUUGUGGCUUCCGCUCUUGUCGACAUGUAUGGCAAGUGCGUGUCAUUGUCGACCGCACGCAACCUGUUUGAUGAAAUUGCUCACAGGAACGUUGUUGUGUGGAAUGCUAUGAUAUCGCUUUAUACGCGUAACGGUAAUGUGUUUGAUGCUUUGGGAUUGUUUGAGGCAAUGGAUGUUGAACCCGAUGUGUCAACUUUUAAUACCAUUAUAUCUGGUAUGUCAGGAUUGGAUGAUGGGUCGUUUAAGGCUGUCGAGUUCUAUAGGAAAAUGAGAGCGUGCGGAAGGGAACCGGAUUUAAUAACGCUGCUUGCUCUGUUACGUGCUUUUGUUGAUAUAGCGGCUUUAAGGUUUAUUAAGGAAAUUCAUGGUUAUGAUGUGAGAAAUGAGAUUGACUCGCAUUCCCAAUUGAGUAGUGGCCUAGUAGAGGCCUACGGGCGCUGUGGUUGUCUUGCAAAUGCGCGUAAUCUGUUCCGCUAUAUGAAGAAAAAGGAUGUGGUUGCAUGGAGUAGUCUGAUAUCUGCAUAUGCACUUCAUGGGGAGGCAAGAGCUGCAUUGGAAAUUUUCAGAGAGAUGGAAUUGGGGAAAGUAGAGCCUGAUGAGAUUACUUUUCUUGCGGUACUGAAGGCAUGCAGCCAUGCUGAAGGAUUAGCAGAUGAAGCACUGCAUUAUUUUGGUCGGAUGCGUGAGGUUUAUGGUGUGCAAGCAAAUAGUGAUCACUAUUCUUGUUUAGUAGAUGUUCUGAGCAGAGCAGGGAGGUUGCAUGAGGCAUAUGAGAUCAUAAGGAAAAUGCCGGUGAAGGUGACUGCUAAAGCUUGGGGUGCUCUUCUUUCAGCAUGUAGAACUUACGGAGACUUGGACCUUGCUGAGAUUGCAGGGAAAGCUCUGUCCGAAAUUGAACCUGAUAAUCCUGCCAAUUAUUUACUAUUGGCAAGAAUGUAUUCUGGCUUAGGCAGGCAUGAGGAAGCGCAACGAAUGAGAAGGAAAAUGAAGGAGAAGGGAGUGAAAGCAUCAUCUGGCACUAGUUGGGUGGUUUAUCAAGACUAAUAUCAGGUGUUGGAAUGUUAUCAGGCUUCGCCUUACUGCGAACAGCUUUCUCCUGUCAAAUAUCAGGCCAAAAAACUUAAUUAAACCUAAACGGGGUUCAGUAUAAUGCCGUGCUUUUCGAACCAGUGGCAAGCUUCAAGAUGUCUUCAUUUUUUCAACACGAUUUUUCUGGUUUUUUACUGAAUUUUGAAGACGGUGAAGGGUGAAGAUACAUUGAGUUGCUUUAGGUCCCCGGAUGUAUAUGUAAAAAUAUAUUCUUGAGUUAUUUUGCGCUGCGUGGAUGAAGAACGCACGCAGUUACAACGAUCCAACAGAAGUGUCUCUGUCUAGAAUUGUUCUUCACUUUUUCAAUACUGCAUUUCUGAACGACUCAACUCAACAUUGUAUGUGAGCUGCCUUGUUGAAUCAAGGGAUUUCAUUCGUCUUAGAAUUGUUAUCACCAAUGCAUUCGUACAUGUCAUGUAUCAUCCCUAACAAAAUUAAAGCCCUUUAUUCAAUGUAUUUGGGAUUUAAAACAACCGCAUUGCAAGAGAACAAAAAUGUGCAAAUAGUGAAUGUUCAGCGUCACAUAGUCAAUCAUGUGUGAUCACCCAAUAAGAAGUUGUCAUGGUGUUGACCUUAAAAACUACUAAGCCUACAUGACACGUAGGCCGAGUAACUAAUAAGCUAACUACGUCAUUCGGUUGUGUGCAGGGCCUACCAACUAGUCGGUCGGGGAGUAAAAUAUGUUGAUGUGGCGUUGGGCGCGCUGCUAACUUCUUGAUCUCGCGACUGCGGCCGAGGAAGGAACAUGUCUCGGCUUUUGGGGUCUAGAGCCUAAAGACAAGGCUGCUAGUUUCUUCGAAGUUCACAAAUCGUCGACGCCAGAUUUGGUCUGGGUAAUUAUAUUCGUGAGAGUAUACGUACGCUGAACUGGUACCAGAUUGUACAGACACAAAUACUCAAAAGUGAUAAAUGUCUUGAUUGUAAAUGUGGUUCGGCCGUCGGAAUGCCGAACUCGAAAAUGUACUUAUGAAUAUCCAAUCAUAAAAUAAAACUUGGCUUUCAAUGUGACGAGCCUAGUAACCUGGUAACACCUCACUUCGCCGAGAAAGCUGAUGAUAUGACCUCUACCAACAAAGACUCUGAAAUCCUUGUUAACCGAGACUUGGAUAAAUAGCCAGUCAGUCUCGAAGCAGUGCUGUCUAUCCAAACUGAAGGUGCUCCUUAGUUGGCUGAUUCUACGACUACAGUGAUGUCUAUCCAAACUGAAGAUGUCGUCGGUUGCCUUCAUAGUGCUGUCUAUCCAAAUUGAAGAUGUGUUGGCGAAAAGAAAAGGGGAGAGGAAAAAAUCUCAGAGUUGUUGAGAAGCUUUGUACAUGGCAAUUUGUGUGUUGAUUUGAAGAGAGUUUUCGUCAUUGCAGAUUGUCUGUAUUUAUAAGGGUGAACUUUCACGAUGACUAGGUAACCAAGUUGCAGAGUCCUCCGUGAACCAUACCUUGUGAAAUAAUAAUCAUGAACUACCAUACAUUCUCCUCUGACUUUUGGUGAUAUCGUAAUGUUAAUCACUGCGAUGCAUUGGACCUUUUAAUCUUCAUGGUACAUCACCAUCUUAAUGUUUCAAACAGGUGAAAUGGCAUUUCCAUAUGCUAAUCAUCCAAAGUUGCAUCCUUGUACCAUUGUUCCACAUGGUUCUGCAUGCAAACCCAUUCAAAUAUGGAAUCCAUGCAACUGACUAGAUACCAUUUUGAUUAGGAUAGAAUCCUAAAGCUGCACGGAAAGUCCUCACAUAACUCUCCUUACUGCCGUAUUAAUUGUAAAGGGUUGGCAAGCAUCCAACUGUGCGAUCUCCUUUAAUUUCUCCACAAUCCGAUAAAACCCUUGAUUAUGCAAAAGAAUCCCAAGCAUAACUUUGUAAGCUUUAAGGCUAUUUUCAAGAUAAUUACUAGGGUAAAUUACAUUUUCAUACCUCAGGUUUGGAGUCUAUUUCAACUUCAUACAAUAUCUUCAAAACAUUUCACUUUCAUACCUUAAGUACUAUUUUAUUUCAAAAUAAUACAUCCGUUACAUUUUCCAUCCAUUGAUCUGUUAAAUGCUGACGUGGCUGCCACAUAUAUGCCACGUGGCUGCCAAAUGUCUGCCACGUGGCAAAAAAAAAUUAAUUUUUAAAACCUAAAUCUUCUAAAUAUAAAUAAUAAUUAAAAAAAAGUUGAAAUAAACCACCCCGUCAACCCCCCACCCCAAACCAAAACCCAGAAACCCACAACCCCCAAAAAUCAGAAACCCAGAAAGAACCCCCACCUGCCUGCGAGCCUCCUUGUGCACCCCCCAACCCGUGGCCCUCCCUCCCUCUGCACCCACCUUCGCACCCACCCUCUUCCCUUCUCUACACACUCCACACUCCUUAAAUCCGGCGAUGGCGAUACGGGAUCUGGAGGGUUAUUUUUUUUUUUCCUGGUUUGCAGGGAAGAAGAAGAAUAAGAUGGGGGAGAUGGGUUUGGGGGGUUGCGGGGAGAAGAGAGGAGGAUGAGGGGGAUAAGAUUUUGGGGGGGGGGGGGAAGGAGGGUGAGGUCGCGCGGGGGGGGGGGGGAGCGAGGUGAUGUCGCGCCGCGGGGGGGGGGGGGGGAAGGAACUGGACUUUUUUUUUCCCUUCUUCCUCCCUCAUCUUCUUCUUGCUGCUGCUGCAAGUUUUUGGAUUCUGGGUUAGGGAUAGGGAUUUGGGUCGCUGGGGGGGGGGGAAACUGGGUUUUGGGAAUUUUUUUUUUUCCUUCUUCCUCCCUCUUCUUCUUCUUCUUGCUGCUGUAGUAGGUUUUUGGAUUCUGGGUUAGGAGGGAUUUGGGUCGCUGGGGGGUGGGGGUAGGGAUAGUGGGUUUAAUUUUAAUUUUUUUUUUAAAAGAAAAUUCAGGCUUUAAAUUUUUUUUAUUUGCCACGUGGCAGACAUUUGGCAGCCACGUGGCAUACAUGUGAUAGCCACGUCAGCAUUUAACGGAUCAAUGGAUGAAAAAUGUAACGGAUGUAUUAUUUUGAAAUAAAAUAGUACUUAAGGUAUGAAAGUGAAAUGUUUUGAAGAUGUUGUAUGUGGUUGUAAUAGACCUCAAAAUCUGAGGGGCUACUGUGUAAUUUACCCUAAUUACUAUGAUUAAAAUCAAUAGUAAUGCCAAGAAAAAUCUCUUAAUUUUCAUAAUCAUCCGACCGCUUUAAUUGGUUGGGUCGAAAAAUGUAAAAUUGAGUCCAAACACAUGGUCUGGGUGAACCAAAACAAGGAGACAAUAUUAUGUUCAUCAGAUACACCACAUGACAAUGCCACCUAGUACAUCCAGCCUAUGGUUUAACAUGUGUAAUCCAAUGGGGUUUGUCCUACUGAAUUUUUUCUCUUAAAACAUAAUUUUUGCACACCUUUUUUCCUUUAUGUAUACAGUAUACCUUGUUUAUGUUCUCUUGUUUGAUUUUAUUCAAUCUAAAGGCUUUAAAUUUACAGAAAAAAAAAUAAAAAAUGAGAGUGCGAAAAUCACUUUCCAUUUUCAUUCCGUGUCUAAGCGGACCGGACCUAAUAGUGUGACAUGGGUCAAUUGUGAAGUGCUUUCGGGCCAUAAUACAAAAAGUCUGAACCUUCAAAACCCCAAAACACCAAAUUCUGCAGCUCCAUCGCUGCUACCGAUAAUGGCAGCAAAACCUCUCUAAUCCCAAGCCAUGGCGACUUCCAUUCCCACAUUCUCCGCUCCAACCCCCUCCAUUCUCAGACUCAAAAUCACUUCUUUUUCUCCCCCCAGAAUCCAACCUCAUAUCCAAACAAUCCCUUUUCGCAAUUCACCCAAAUUCCAAUGUUUGAACCGAAUCCAAGCUCAGAAUUUUCCUGGGGUAUCCUGGAAAACAAAUGGGUUUUGGUUUGAGAGAAAGUUGAGGGUUCGUGCGAGUGUGAAAAAUGAGGGUGUUGAUGCAGCUGAGGAGGAGAGCAGAGGGGAGAGUACUAUGCCUGAGCGGUUCAGGUACUUGACCAAGGAAGCUCCUGACCCUCCUGUCAGGUGGCCUUGGCUUGUAGGUAAACUCUUCUGCUCUCUUUCUUCUUCUUUUUACUAUCUGUUUGGCUGCUGAGAAAAUGUUGGUUAAUGAAAGAGAGAAAACAGAGAAAGUUUGAGUAUUUGGGAUUGUUGUCGAAUACCCCAAGAUAUUUUGAGAGCAGAAGGGACUUGCUUCCAUGUAUAAAUACAGCUUGUUUGGUUAAUUUCUUGUUAGAAAGUAUAUUGACAUUUUUCACCAAGACUUUCCUCGAAUUUAGAAAUGUUUGAAGCGUAUGUGAAGAAAAGUAUAUGAAUUUGUCACCAGCAUCUGAAAAAUGAGCUAGAAGGUUGUAAUAUGUGUAGGCAUUACAAUGUGUUUGAAACUUCAACUAAUUGUGUUUUCUCAUAGUUUUACAUUCGGUCUGAUCGGGGAUAUUUCAUGACUUAAUCUUCACACGAUGUAACACAAUUAAGUUUAUUGGUUUAUAUUGAAGACUGUCGUUUCUAAUGGGUUUGUAAGAGAUGAUUUAGACUAGUGCUCUGAUUAAUGUGUCUUACUUCUUCAUGCUUGACAGCAUUCUCUCCCACAAAUGCUUUUUCAUUGCGAUUGUAUGAGUAUAGAACGAAUUGGUGAAUCGGGAUGCUUAUGAAGUUUAGAAACUACUUAAGAGAGGGAAGAAAGCACUCGUUUGUAGAGUAAAACAGAUCUGAGCACUGACUUUAUUGAUGUGAUAUUGUACUUAACCUGAUGAGAUGAAACUUUAAUGUAUUGGUUUAGACUAUUUAAUUCCUGAUACGUGCACACAUCAGUGGUGUUAUGAGAUGUUUUCUAGUUAUAACUUUUUGAAGCCUCAAUCGAAGCUGAAAUAAAUCGUUUCGUUAUUUAGUUUCCGGUUGAGGCUUUCACGUAUUAGUUUUUACAACCAAUGCAACUUGAUUUUCUUAACUCUCUCAAAAUACUUUACUAUGAAUACAAAUUGCACUAUAAUAGUUUAUGGAGCUGACUAAAUACUGUUUGUCAUUGAUCGUGCAGCGUUGGUCUUCCUUAUCUAUGCAUGGAGAGCCGUCUUGCUGGAAUUAGCUAACUGGAGAAAGGCUGCUGUGGGCGUUGUCCGUUUUGUUGGAUACCCCUUGAAACUUAUCCUGGCCCUAAUCUUCCAUUUCAUUGGUGAUCCCAUUACUUCCGUGAUCAGAUUCAUAGAAACAACAUUGUAUGCCAUACGCUCUUUCUACUCUGGCAUAGUGGCAUACGCUCCAAUUCCAGAGUUGACGACAGUGAUCAUACUUGCAUCAACUGUUCUUGCUAUCGCAGAAGCUGUUGUUCCAAAUGCUGUAAACCUUUUCUUCUCACAGCAUCUGGUGUAGUAGGCUACGCAGCAGUGGCAGGUUACAUCUCAGAGCCUUUCUUCUGGACGAUUCUAGUAGGGUUCUACGGUUACUCACGAUUAGUUAAAAAGAGGGAUGAUGUUACAUCCGCAUUGCCUGCGGCAGCUGUGAUGUCUGCCAUAGGAGAACCAUGGGUUAGAGUUUUGGUGAUCGCAUCGUAUCUGGCCUUGGCCAUUUUUCAUCACUCAAAGAAGGUAUCAGAUACGGAGGAGGAAAUUGUAGUGGCUAACAGGAAGCUUCGAAUGCCCUUGCUUGGUGCAGGUUUAGCCAUCGGAAUUCGUCUUGCUGCUAAGUGGGCUGGCUACCGGCAUUUGACAUGGAUGAUAGUAUGAGUGUAAGAAUACCAUUAUCUGAGAUUGUAGGCCAUGUAGUUUAAGCGAAGUUCCGCUUUGGUCCUGCAGUUUCAGUUGUCUCGAGUUAACCCUUGGUAGAUUGUAGACUUUGUAGUGUGCUAAUUUAUGCAAUUCAAGGACAAUAUUACUUACAUGGUUAAAUUUGUCGAUCUUUGCAUCGUAAGUAGCUCGUGAGUGACACUGAGGGAAAUCGGACUUGUCUGAGGUAAAAACACCACACAUACCUCUUGCGUAAUGAUCGUGUUGAAAAAAUUGCAGAAUUGCGGGGUUGAAUUGCAAAUUUGCAACAAUAUGAGUUCAAAACGCAACAACUGAAAUUAAAAGGACCGAAGUGGAACAAAGACCGUAGAGGGGGUAGAUUCGUAAGAAGAUGACUAUUAGACCAUGAAUGCUAAAACGAUGCCGUUUGCGCCGUAACAAUCGCGCAGAACAAGCCCUAGGGUUUCCGUAGGGCUUUGGAUGCCUAUAUAAACAACACUAACCCCCGCUCCUUGUUCAAACUCUCCAGUCUCCAUCGAAGCCUCCUCUGCCCUCUCGUCCAGAAUUCCCCCAAUUCCCCUUCAUACAAUCAAAACCCUAAUCUUUAAUUUCUGCAAUUUAUAGUUUGCAAUCAUGCACGAUGCACCCCGGGCUUCUCUGAGAGUAUAUUUCACUGAAGAAGAAAGCCCCAAUGCUCGUGCUAGAACGUCGCCGUCAAGUGUUGCAGUUUAGCCUCGCUCUUCCCUACGGCUUUUCUGUGUCAAAUCGACGGCUACAUCUCCCCUAAAACCCUAAAUAAUUUUAUCAAUUUUCAGUUUCAUACGGUCCGAUCCGAUGCGCCUCGACACACCUUAAGCCUGUUUUUGAAAAAUCUCCGAAAACUGAGCUAGUCAUGGAGGCGCAAAUCCAAUGGCGGAGUCACACGUGGGGGUUUUUCUCUUCUCAUAGUAUUUCCUCUAAAAACGUCCGCUAAAUUUUCUAUUUUUUUGUGGAUUUUGAUAUCUUUUGUUGAAUUUUUGGCUUUGAUUACAAAUUAUCCGCGCUUCUGAGAGCAAUCGAUGAAGUAGAAUGUGAUAAUAAAUGGUUGAAUUUCUUGAUAUGAGCCAAUUUGUUUUGUGAUUUGUUGGUCUCUGUGUUUGAAAGGUUGAAUUUUUCGGUUAAUUGUGGCGCUGAUGACUGAAAUAUACAGCUUUAUGCCAGUUCUGCUUCAGAAAAUUCGUGAUCGAGAGAGCUGUUUCAUACUCUGAGCCCUUUGUGUGUAAAUUUAUUUGAUUUUGUUUUUUGAUGAUUUGUAUUUUAUGUUGGGAUUUUGAUGAUUGUGUUGCCGAUGAUGAUUGAAUCCGCUUGUUCGAGGUACAGUGGAACUGAGACCCUGUUUACAGGGAGAACCCCUCGGCGAAGCUGUAUUUCAUAUGAAUUUUAUGGAUUUAACUGAGGUUUUAAUUUUUUUAAUAAUUACUGCGAAUGUUUUUGUGUUAAUUGUUUUGUUUUUCUCCUAUAAGAUUUGAUUACUUGUUUGUUUUGUUGUUAAUUGCUUCUGUUGAUUGUUAAGUGUAUUUUUGCUCACUACCAUUUUGUAUGGAGUAUUCUUACCAUUCUAUUUAUCAUAGGUAGAUAAGUUUGAAUUUUGAAAUUUGUGCUUAUUCACCAUACGAAUCUUAAAAUUCAAACCCAUUAGUAUCUAAUGGUAACUCAUAGUAUGAUAAGCAUAUACCAUAUUAAAUGGUAAUGAGCAAAAAUGCUCCCUUAUUCUUACCAACCGUCCCAAAUUUUUUUCUAAUUCGUCAUCAAUUUACAAUUGCAAUUGAUGCCCCUACAAAUCAUGUGUUUGCGGUACGUUGUUAGGAACGGUGGCGCAAUAGGAAGAACGAGUUUUGGGUUUCAAAACGGCCCUCUCGCAGGUUGUUUGUAUCGGUUUUGCAGUUUUGGAGCGGAUGGACCGCUCGAACCGGGUCGUUGCUGCUGCUAAUCUUUUUGUGACUCGGGUUGAUGCUGCUAAUCUUGUUGUGACUCGGGUAGAUGCAGCUAAUCUUGUAUUGUUGACAGAAUUAGAUUUUUGUAGUGAUUGAGUAGUUUGCAGGAGAAUCAAGCUUUUGCAAAUAUAUAACGUAUUUCUAACAUGCAAUUUGUUCGUGAUAUUCAGACCAAAUGCGAACAUGCAAGACUCAUUGAGUUUUAAGAAAACUUUAAAAAAAAUCAUAUAACUCUUAAGGCAUGUUGUAAUAAUCACAAGAAACCUUAGUCAAUUCCAAGGACAACCCUCCUUCAAAAUUGCAUCUCCAAAUGUCCUAAGGCUCGUGGUCUCAUCCUAGCCAACGGAAUUUAGUUACUAACUUUUAUAAAACAAAAUAUUAUUAAGAUCAUAGAUGGAAAACACCUGGAAAAUAAACUUGAAUUGUUGAAUUCUUGAAAGUAGUGCCUUUUCUAAAAUAAUGUGUUCAUCUCUCUAAUGGCCAAAUAAAGUUAUUUAUGCUACUACAAAAUAAAAUCCUAUUUAGAAAAGGUCUUCUAAAAUAAUGCGUUCUCUAAUGGUCAAAUAAAAUAAGAUAAUUAGGAAAUAAAAUGUUUCAUAUUUAAACUUAAAUUCGGACUGCAGAGAAAAUCCAUCUUUUGACCAACCAAAUCAACUCUGAUUUGGUCCUAAAAGGUUUCUUUUUAAAGCUUGAGACGUCUCUAACAAAUCAUCAGAAGGAAUCUUCCUUAAAAUAUGCCAUCUUGAACUUCAAAUUAGGGGUGGGUUCAAAAAACCGAAAACCGAAAAAAACCGAAAACCAAACCGAACCGAAACCGAAAAAACCGAACCGAACGAAAAAACCGAACCGAAUUGAAAAAACCGAACCGAACCGAAUUCUUUUGGUUCGGUUUGGUUUUAGUGAUCUAGAAACCGAACUAAACCGAAUCGAAUUAAUUAAAUUAAUUUUUUUAUUUAAUUAUUUGUUUUGGGUAUUAUUUUCUAAACCCAAUUUGUAAGUUAAAAUGUGCUAAACCCAAUGUGUUGCCAAACUUUAAGCUCAAAAUAUUUAAAAAAGGCCUAUAAAAACUCUAAACCCUAACCUAUUAUUUAUCCCCCAUAUAAGGUUACGGAACCAAACCUCCUCCAGAAGUACCUACAUCCAUCUCCAUAGCACUGCCUACUUCUGCCCUAGCUUUCUUUUCCAAAUCUACUCUCAUAUAACAUGUAACAGAAUCCAUAAACAUUUAUUUCGGGUAGAUUACUUGGGUAAUUUGUGAUGGAAAAGAAUCUAACACACACUAAAUAAAUCCACCCACGCAUUAUUUUUACUAAUCAAGUUGUCAAAAUAUGCUAUCUUGAACUUCAAAUACUCAAAGUGUCUAGAAAUGUCAAUUCGGGAAAGUUGUGCGCUAGGUCUUUUUUUUUUUUUUUCCGUCAUAGUCAAACGGCUUGGUAGAAAAAUCUGGAAUUUUGAUACAAUCAUCUUGAAAUACUCAUGAACAUCUUCCAAUUGAAAUCACUCCAAAAUUCAUCCGUUUGACCACUUCCUGCAUUAAAAAUAUAAUUCAAAGUAUCAAAAUUCUUUCAAAAUAAUAACAAAAAUAAACUAAGAUUAAGGUAAUAUAUAAUAUAAUAUUGACUCAUCACUCAUCUCAACCAUUCAAACACUACCCUACGAGACAAUGCCACUUGCUCACAUUUGAGCCUAAGAUCUCUAACAAACUUAAUCACAACCCUUCAGCAGUGACACUAAUUUACACACACUACUACAAAAGGGCCUUAUUGUGUCGGUGGUUGGUGUGUGUUUAUAUAAUAUAGUGACGGAUAAGACAUUUCUGACACCUACUUAACAUGUCGGAAUUACUAUCGGUUAUAAGCGAUAUAAAUUGUAUAUGUCGCUUAUAACCGACAUAAACUGUUAAUGUCACUUAUAACCGACAUAGAUUUUAAUAUUUUUUUAAAUAGUGGUGUUGCAUAAAGAAAAGCGUGUCGCUUGUAACUGACAUAAAGUUAGCGUCGGUUAAAAGAAGACUGGUGUCACUUCUACCCGACACUAAUGAAAGUUUUUAAAUAUUUUCAAAGCAUGUGUCGGUUGUAGUAGGCAUGGAUUUUAAUUUUUUUUUAAAUAGUUUGAAACACAAUGUUGGUUGUAGGCGACAUAUUGGUAGCCUUUGUAUACCCUCCCCAUGUUUUCUUCUUCCUCUCGCAUCUUUCUUAUUUCUUCUUCCAAUUUAUAAACUAUCCCCCGUGUUUUGUUCUUUCUCUCUUGCAUCUUUCUUAUUUGUUCUUCCAACUUCAUUAAUUCCUUAUUCUUCAUAGUAAGUUUUUCUUGCUUCUACUAUUUUUACUAUUUUCUCUUAUGUUUAUUUUUAUUUACAAUUUAAUUUUGUAGGGAUUUUAUUUGAGCUGGUUGAAUACAUAAAGAAUUAAUCAACAACGGAUAAUUUGAAAUAUUUAGGCGGGAAUUUUCUCGCUUGUUUUGCAUGAGGAAUUGGAUUGAGAAGAGUUUGUAGUUAGUGUCAGACUUAGUGUCGGUUUUAACCGACGCCAAGUACAUUUAAUUCGACGCAAGUUUCAUUAUCCGUAAAGUGUGUCAGAAGAUGGUGUCGGUUAGAACCGACACCAAAUUUCAUCUAAACUAACGCCACAUGAAUUUCAAUAAAGUGUGUCCGGAAGUGGCUUCAUUUUAUUCGAAGUGCAUAUCAGUAAAGUGUGUUAGAAGUUGGUGUCGGUUUUAACCGACACCAAGCUUCAUUUAAUUCAACACCAGUGGCUUUUAAUUUGACGUCAGUGCAAUCAAUGUCGGUUUUAACCGACGCCAACUCAGUAUCUAUAUUUAAAUCCCUUUCUUCCCCAUUUCAUCUGUGCUUUCAUUUCUUCCACAAUUUCAGUCUUUCUCCUUCUCCUUUCUUCCCCCGUUUCAAUUUUUCUAUUUCUCCUUCUAGUAACUUUUGCUAUGGAUCAACAUUUUGCAAAUCAACUUUAUGAGGAACUCCAUUUCGAAGAUGAAGAGUUCGAAGGUGGUUCAUUUUUAAAUUAUUAUGAUUAUUAAUUUCAGUUUAUGUUUUGUAUUCUAACUAGUAUUAUGCUUAAAUUGAAAAUUGAUUUUUGUUUCUUGGUUUUUAAUUGUUUUUUCUAUAUUUAUAAGUAUGAACUCAACGGAGAUGCGGAUCCUCAAUUCCUAAUUGGAAAGAACAGCCUUGUUCAUUUGAUUCGUCUGGAAAAUGUAUUAGUGAUAAUUCUAGUGCUUUUUCAAAACAUGUAGCAGUAGAGAUUAGAGAUCACAUAAAUCAUCCGUUUAUGAUUUAUUUUAUUAUACCUUGAAAUUUGUCUAAUAAAUUCUCUUAUUUUUUCAGGAGAUAGCUAUAAAGAAAUAAGCAUAAUCGUCAGUUGAAAACAAUGAACCACACAACCAGUUCAAGAUCUUUUGCAAGAGUUCGGGAAGAAUAUAUGUAUAGGUUGUACAUUUUUAAGAAUUGUAGUUAAUUGUAGUUAUGGUGGAUAAUUGUUAGUGUUUGGUACUAUUGUUAUUGUUAAUAGUUUUAUUAAUGUUUGCUUUGGCCUAUAUAUGAAAUAUGGUGGGAAUGAUUUUUAUAUAAUUUUUUUUUAACAUUAAUAACUAAAAACUGAAGCCAAUUUGUUUUUUAUUAUUAAUAUAUUUGGUGUCGCUUAUGGGCAACAACAUAAUAAUUAUUUUAUUUAUCGAGAUGUUAGGUAAUGUCGGUUAGGAUUGACAAUAGUUUGAUAUUUUAAUGUUGCUUCUAAGCGACGUAAAGUACGAUGUCACUUUUAACCGACAUUGUUGUUCUUUUUUAUUUUAUCUUACUUUGCUUCUUGAUGGCGGAUUAAGGGGGCUAACCGACGUCAAUACCUUUUUCGUGACGCUAGCAAUGGUGUCGGUUCCCCUAUCCGACAUUGCAUGAUUUGAUGUCGGAUUUAUUCCAAAAAUUCGACAAUAAUUGGGGUUUCUUGUCGGUUUUUACACCGCCAGUGAUAGUCUUUUUUGUAGUAGUGACAUCAGCAUGAAUAAUUUAACUCUAAUAAAUCAGUUUAGAGAGCCUUAAUUCCCAACAUCAUGAUCGUAUGUAGUCCCGUUGAAUAUACGUGCACCAUAAUUCAUAGCAAGCAUAAGUGCUUAGUAUGGUACAUUAACUUGCAGUCGAAGCAAUCUAACUCGAACACGUCCUAAUCCUAACUCAAACCUCUAUCUCUUCUCGGGUUUUGGUUAGGUGCUGCCUCAAGGGUUUCACAUGGUUGAGCAUUGAUGAGUUUGAACAGAAGCUUUGACACGGGAAGAACAAUGUUCAAGCCUUUUCCAUACAUUGCUUUUUCUACAUAGGCUUGGUCCAAUAUGGCAGCUGCGUGCUGAACAUGCGACUUCUGGGGUUGCAAUGGUGAAUCUGGGCUCAUAUGUAGUUGCUUCAUGGGUUGCAAUGAUAAAUCAGGGCUCACAAGUCGCAUGCACUUCACAUACGCAAGUGCAGUCAAGCAACGUGAGCAUAAAAACAAGAUUUUUUUUGCGAAGGUUGAAUGGUAUAACUACAUAGUUGACUUGAAAUGAUCACCACGAAAAGGGCAUAUAGGUUAAGUUCUAGUACCAUGCAUAUGGUUAUAUCUUUUGCCUGUCUGCCGAUUUUUUUUGGUGCAGCCAUGGAUACCAAACCAAACUCAAAAGUUUGUCUUGUCCGUGAUUUUAUUAUGUGCAUUUCUCGAGUCCCAUGUUUCCCUAGCACUAUCAGCGAAAACCAAUCUCUCUCCGGCGAUCAAACCAUUUUUUCCGCAGGUGGGAUUUCGAGCUAGGCUUCUUCAAACCAGGUCAGCUUCCAAACUACUAUAUAGGCAUAUGGUACUCAAAGCAAGUCAUGAGAGGACUGUUGUUUGGGAAGCAAAUAGGGAAAUACCAGUCUCCGAAAGAUUUUCGGCGUUGAGGAUCGUAGAUGGUAAUCUAGUUGUCUUUAACGAGUCCAAAACCCCAGUUUGGUCAACAAAUUUAAACUCCACCACCAAUUCUGGUUCUGUCCAAGCGGUUCUUUUGGAUAGUGGAAACCUUGUCUUGAGAGCGGGGUCUAGUAAUAAUACUUCAGAGCCUUUAUGGCAAAGCUUUGAUCAUCCCACUCACACAUGGUUACCCGGAGGUAAACUUGGAUUCAACAACAUUACCAAACAAACCCAAUUUCUCACUUCAUGGAAGAAUUCGGAGGAUCCUUCAUCGGGACUUUUCUCUGUUGGGAUAAACCAAGAUGGAAGCAAUUCGUAUAGCAUAUGGUGGAAUAGGACUAUACAGUAUUGGACCAGCGGAUCAUGGGAUGCAAGUUCGCGUACUUUCAGGUUGGAUCCUGAGCUGAGGCUUAAUUCCAUCUAUAAUUUCAGAUAUGUAACAAAUGAAAACAUAAGUUACUUCACCUAUUCUCCUUAUGAUCCUAAGCUAGUAUAUCGAUGCUUGAUGUCUGUCACGGGGCAGGUUCAGCUACUGUCAUGGAUGGAGAAUACCAGGCAAUGGAAUUUGUUUUGGUCUCAACCAAGAAGACAAUGUGAAGUUCAUGCAACUUGUGGGCAUUCGGGAGUUGCAAUGAUGCAUCAGGGCCCCUCUGUACUUGCUUGAUGGGUUUUGAGCGAAAGUCGCCACCGGACUGGUAUUUGCAGGAUUAUUCUGAUGGUGUUCAAGAAAAACGAGUUUGCAGUGUGGGACGGAAGACAGGUUCCUAGAAAUGCAUAACAUGUUAAUGCCUGAAAAUAAACAGGCUUUGGAGGUUAGGAGUGUUGAGAAAUGUGGAUCAGUCUGCUUAAGUAACUGCUCUUGCACUGCUUAUGCUUAUGAUAGCAGUACUGGAUGUUCAAUUUGGACCCAAGAUAUCUUGGGCGUGGAACAACUUGCGGAAGAUGACAGUCACGGAAGAAUGUUAUACAUCAGACUUGCAGCUUCUGAGCUUAUGUAUCUUAAAAGUAAUAUGCGAAUGAUUAUUCGGGUUGUUUUGAGUGUCUAUUACUUGGAGAGCCAUCAUUUUUAUUGGUUAACCAAAUCUUUUAUUUUAUUUUCAGGCGGUAAGGGUCGUGCUGAUAAGCGUUCCCUUAAAAUUGCACUGGUCUCAGCAGCAGCAGGAUUGUUUGCUGUAAGAUUUGGCUAUUUCUUAUGGAAGAAAACAAUGGGAAAGAAAAGGUACUGCUUCCAUUCUGCCUGUCUUUCUUUGCUUCUCAUACGUGCACGCACACACACACAAAUAGAAGUACACGCAGUAGCAUGGAUUCUAGCAGUCUUUCUUUGUUUCUCAUAUACAUACGAAUGAUCCAUGCUCUAACAAUAAGACUGAAACAGGGAGCACAGGAGGAAGCAUGGUGGGAUUGAAAUAAACUAUGGAGCUGGAGGUGUAAAGAAUGAUACGGAACUACCACUUUUCGGUUUAAAGAGAAUAUUAGCUGCUACAGACAACUUCUCUUAAGCUAACAAACUCAGAGAGGGAGCUUUGUCGCUGUUUAUAAGGUGACCCUUCCAUUUAAUUUGUAAUGCUAAAGUACAUUGAUUGUUCUUGAUAAAAAUGAUAAUUGCUUUGUACUUGUCUUAGUAACCUUUUCCCCAAUUAAGUAAUAUUGGUACGGUGGUGGUUCUCUUUGUGGCAUUUCCCUUCCUCUACUGGGCACUUUGCUUGAAAAUCAAGGCGUAGCGAUAAAAAGGCUGUCAAAGAAGUCAGGGCAAGGACAUCAGGAGUUUUUGAAUGAGGUGGAGCUUAUAGCCAAGCUUCAGCAUACCAAUCUUGUUAGGCUCUUGGGUUGCUGUGUCGAACAGGAGGAACUGCUAUUGAUCUACGAGUACAUGCCCAAUCGGAGUUUGGACAAACUUUUGUUUGGUAUAUCCUCAUCAUUUCUAAAAUUUAUAUCUUUGAUAUUGUUGAUUUCAGGGAUGUCGACUUUGAUUAGGUUUGUCCAUCGAAAAAACACUAGCUCAUUUGCUUUCAUGGUCUGUCCAAUCAGAUCCAUGUGCAAAAACAGAAUUAGUUGGGGAAAGCGUUUUCGAAUUAUAGAAGGGAUCGCUCAAGGAGUACUUUACAUCCACAGGUACUCCAGAGUGAAAAUCAUUCACAGGGACCUAUAAGCAAGUAAUGUUCUGUUGGAUGGCUUGAUGAACCCCAAAAUAUCAAACUUUGGAAUGGCUAAGAUUUUCGAGAUAAAUCAGACUGAAGCACAUAUCAAUAGGGUUGUUGGCACAUAGUAAGUCGAUAUGGUACAUGCUUUCAAUCAUCUAAACCUUACUCAACCACUACUUUAGUACUUUUGCUUUUUGUACCAUUAAUUGAUGCAGCGGCUACAUGUCACCAGAGUAUACAAGAUAUAGCCAUUUUUAUGAGAAAUUGGAUGUAUUUAGUUUUGGAGUUCUAUUGUUGGAGAUUGUAAGUGGAAAGAAGAAUGUUGCUUUCUAUCACUUUGAACAUUCACCAACUCUUGCUGGAUGGGUAAGUACUAAACAAACAUUCCAACUUAUAAUCAUUCUGUUUUUAAGCCUUGCACUUGCAAAUGACCGUAAAUUCAACAUUUUAAUUAGGCAUGGGAGUUGUGGAAAGAAGGAAGAGGAAUGGAGGUGAUUGAUGAAUCAGUAAGGGAAACAUGUCGGCCAGAUGAAGCUUUGAGGUGCAUCCACGUAGGGUUUUUGUGUGUUCAAGAAGCUCCAAGUGAUCGACCAACAAUUUCUUUGGUGAUUCUUAUGUUGCAGAGCACUGAAACUACAUCUCUUCCACCUUCCAAAGAACCUGCCUUUUCAACAUAUAAGAAUUCUAGUUUUGUUCCCUCUUCUCAAACACCUACAAGUUUUUCCCACAACGCAAUCACCAUAAGUUUGCCAUAAGGUCGAUAGGAGUUGGAAGAGUAGUGACUGGCUAGAAGAUGAGAAAAUAGUGUAUUAAAUUAGAAAAAAAAAACUAAAAAAAAAAAAAAACACCCUGACAACUAUAAGUUUUAUACAAACACUUCAAGGGCUCAAUUGGAGAGAUAAAAAAACCCCUCAAAUGCGAGGCCGAGUCUCUUAGACACGUAUAUACAAAAUGGAUUUUUGGUCUUCUUUACGCAUUUUAACACAUUACAGGAACUCUUUGUGUGCUUUAUGGUUUAUUCCCAUCCAAACUAAACUUAAUAACACAAGAUUUUUUUUUUUAUUAUUGUUCAACUACAGAUGUGGACGUAACCAUAUCAUGAGAAGACAAGUACACUAAACUAAAAGAAAAAACAGGAAUUUUCUAACUUCUCCCAAUUUUUAGAAAACAAGUACACUACUCCAAAAACUAACUAGUCUAGCUAGAACGAACAAUAUCACAUUAGAAUCUUCAUAGUUCACAAAGACAUGGUUAGUGUGACCUGAACACAGAAUGGUACACUACGUGUCACUAUAUAAAUAGUGAGAUAUGUGUGUUAAAAAAUUAAUAACUUAAAAAUUAAAUUUGCAACCACUGGUAUAAAAACAAGUGAUGCACCAUCUGUAUUCCGAUCACAAUAAAAAAUUUCUCGUAAUGGCAGCUAUUGAUCAAUAUUAAAUAUCAAGUAUAACAAGAUUUCAAUGUGAAGGUUAAGUUGUAGACGUAUAAAUAUAUGAAUUUACCCUUAAAUAGUUGACUUUGAAUCCAUACAGUACAGUUUAAAUUCUACCCUUUCUGCUAUUUUUUUUUGGCAGCCAUGGAUACCAAACCAAUCUCGUUGUUCAAGUUCUCCAUUAUUUUAUUACGUGUAUUUCUCAAGUCUCGUAUCUCCGUUGCAGCUGACACCAUCAGCGAAAACAAUUCUCUGACCGGUGAUCAAACCAUUGUUUCUUCAGGUGGGAUCUUCGAGCUAGGUUUCUUCAAACCAGGUCAGCUUUCAAACUACUAUAUAGGCAUAUGGUACUCCAAGCACGUAGUAUCUAAGAGGACUAUUGUUUGGGUGGCAAAUAGGGAUAUACAUGUCUCCGAUAUGACCAUUUCUCUGAGAAAUUAGAUGUAUUCAGCUUCAGAGUGUUUUGUUGGAGAUUAUAAGUGGAAAGAAGAAUGUUGUUUUUUAUCGCUUUCAAAAUUCAGCAACUCUGCUGGAUGGGUAAGUACUAAAACAUUAUUCUAACUCAUUCUCAUUCUGUGUUUAACUCUUGCAAAUUUAUGAGUAAUCUAUAUAUAUAUAUAUAUAUAUUGAAUUUUAAUUAGGCAUGGGAGUUGUGGAAAGACGGAAAAGGAAAGGAGGUGAUUGAUGGAUCAAUAGGGGAAACAUGCUGGCCUGAUGGGGCUCAAAGGUGUAUCCAUGUGGGGUUUUUGUGCGUACAAGAAGAGCCAGAUGAUCGACUAACAAUGUCUUCGGUAGUUCAUAGCUGCAGAGCAAUGAAGCUACACCUCCUCCACUUUCCAAAAAAACCUUCGUUUUCGACACAUAAGAAUCUUGGUACUGUUGGUUCUUCUCCUCGAACACCUACCAAUUUUUCCCAUAAUUUAGUCACCAUGAGUUUGCCAGAAGGUCGAUAGGGGUUGCAUGAGCAGUGACUGAAAAGAAAAUAAGAAAAUAGUAUAGUAAAUUAGAGAAAAACAUCACGACAAACUAUAAGUUUUAUACAAACGCUUCAAGCAUUCAUUUUCGGGAGAGAUUCAAGCCGUAUUUGGAGACUUCAAAGCACAUUUCUGGCACAUGUCAAACUAUAUUUGAAGAGGUCAAAGCACAUUCUGGCACAUCUAAAUUAUUAUCCUUAUUAGCUAGGUUCACUAUUGUGGCAUAAUGAGUGUUUGCAUUUGUUUAUGCGAUUUGUUUACUGUCACAAUGUCGAACUUACUGCAGUAAUAUCUUGUUCUCUCAAUUCUUUUGAAUGUGCGAAAUGUCGAGCUUAUUGUAGCAAAUAUGUAGUUUAUAUAUUCUAUUGAUUGAGAAAACGUUCAUAGAAUUAACUCAAUUGUUUUUUGGUAAGUACAAUAUGAACACAUUGUCACCGAAUCAUAGGAUACAAUUCCCUUCAUACCAUCGAUGUUAAGAAAAAGAUACAACAUCACAGACUUAUAGGAUACAAUUUGAUUAGUAUGAGGGACAAAUCUCACGAUAUGAAUAGUUACCCAACUGUCUGUGUUUUGCCGAUCGACUGGCUCCUCACGUCCUACAAAAGUUAUACAUCAUCAGAGAAAACCCUAUUUGAUUAGAUGGUGAAAGCAUUACAAAUUAAUUUACAACCUAGUCUUGGAUUGUUGGAGAAGGUACACGUGUCCUAAUAUCCAGGUUUGACAAGUCAACCUCGGACCCAAAAAAAUAGUGUUUGUCCGUCUAACCUUAGACCUCGGACCUUCACUCACAUACCCGGCCAUUAGAAACUGUCACACCCCAAGUUUUCGAAUUCUUCUAAAUCCAGAAAUAAUAUAUCCGCCAUUGUAAUUUUCUAACCUUUUCUUUCCCAGAAAGAAUCAGAAACAAUUUGAGUUUCAGAAUGUGGGGACAUUCUUUCUUUGAGACAGCCUCGAGGCUUUUCCAUCAACGUUCCUCUCUAUGCAAGAUUCUUGUUGUUGUCACUGUGAGGUACUUGUUCAGUUAUGAAACAUACGUAUGUUCUUUAUUUUAAAAAACAAUCGAUUGUCAAUAUCGGUAUAUUUUUCAGAAUAAUAAUAUGUAUUCAUUUUUUAAUAAAGAACAGACGUCAUGCACAUGAAAUUUCUCUCUUUAACACACAUGUUUAUCGUGCCUGCAUAAUUUUUGUUUUUUUUUCUUUUGCAAGGAUUUAUGUAUUUAUUUAUUUAUAUCUUUUUUGCCGAUUAUAUAUGGUGCAUAACAUCUUUGGCAUUUUAUGUUAAAUGAAACUCUGCAUAUCAUGAUUUCUUCUGACUUGCAUUGCAUAUAUUUGCAGUGGGGGAGGCCUAGCAACAUUUCAUGAGACCAAACCAGUCCAUACUGUAUAUGCUGAUUCGGCUCAGGAAGCCGAAACAAGCAGGAAAAAGAAGGUGGUAGUACUAGGAACCGGUUGGGCUGGAGUCAGUUUCUUGAAGAAUUUGAGGAGUUCUUCUUAUGAUGUUGAAGUGGUGUCACCCAAAAAUUAUUUCAUGUUCACGCCUUUGCUACCGAGUGUUACAUGUGGCACGGUUGAAGCACGCAGCAUUGUUGAACCAAUUCGCAAGAUUACUGAGAAGGUAUGUGCCUAGACAUGUAAUGUGUAUAAAUUUUAUGAUCUGGAUGAUUGAUUAAUUGGAUAUGAUGAGACAAUUAUGCUUAAUUCUCUUUGGUUUCAAUGAUAUGGCAGAAAGGUUUAGAUGUUGAAUUCAGGGAAGCAGAAUGUUAUCGAAUCGAUCCAAAGAAUAAGAAAGUUCUCUGUCGAUCAACCCAACACAGUAAUUUGGGUUUGAAAGAAGCUGAGUUUAGCGUAGAUUACGACUACCUGAUCGUUGCAAUGGGAGCCAAAACAAACACAUUUAACACUCCUGGUGUUGAGCAAUAUGCUCAUUUCUUGAAGGUAACUUAAACUUAUUCUUCCUCCCAUGUCCGAAAAGUAUUUUACAAGAUGAAGAAAUAGUAAGUGUUAAUGUUGGGUUUGAGCUUUUGAUUUGCAGGGAAUAGAAGACGCUGUGAGGAUCCGACAGACUGUGAUUGACUGUUUUGAAAGGGCAAGUCUUCCUAGUGCAAGCGAAGAAGAGAAGAAGAAACUUCUGAGUUUUGUAUGUGUUGGUGGCGGUCCAGCUGGUGUAGAGUUUGCUGCAGAGCUUCAUGACUUUGUAAAAGACGAUUUAGCCAAAUUAUACCCUUCAGUUACAGGAUACGUAAAAAUUACUGUGAUCGAAGCAAGUGAUCAUAUUUUGAACAUGUAAGGCAUGCAUACAGGUUUCUGUAUUAGGGUUUUACAUGUUUAAAGAUGCUAAUUUAAUUUUUACACACUUGGUUAAUUUGGUGUUGCAGGUUUGACAAGAGAAUUACUGCAUUUGCUGAAGGGAAGUUCUUCCGAGACGGAAUUGAUGUAAAAACAGGUUCACUGGUCGUAAAAUUAACUGAUAAGGAAGUCUCCGCUAAGGAUAGAGACACAGGAAAAAUUUCAAAUAUACCUUAUGGGAUGGUUCUCUGGGCAACUGGUAUCGGGCCACGCCCUGAGAUUAUCGAUUUUAUGAAGCAGAUUGGUCAGGUUUGAUACGAACUUGUGCUUGUUUCCAAUUGUAGUCGAGAGCUUAACUUUGGAUUUGAUGCUUCAAUUAAUCAAAUGAUGUAAUUUGUCUGCACAAAACAGACUAAUCGGCGUGUUUUGGCUACGGAUGAAUGGCUGAGGGUGGAAGGAUGUGACGGCGUGUAUGCUUUAGGUGAUUGUGCAACAGUAAAUCAACGCCGUGUCGUGGUAUCUAUUUAAUGUUUUUCUGCUUAUGCCAUGCAUUGCAGUAUGGUUGAAAGUGUCGAUGCAUGUAUUGUUGUAUGGUAGAAUUUGCCGAUUCUAUGUAUGAUAUUUUGUUGUCAUUGCAUACCGAUUUGUUGUCAGGAUGAUAUUGUUUCAAUAUUCCGAAAGGCAGAUAAGGACAACUCUGGUACAUUAAGUCUAGAGGAAUUUCAAGAAGUCAUGGAGGACCUCAUGGUCAGGUAUCCUCAACUGAGCCUUCAUUUGAAGAGCAAGCAUAUGAGGAAUAUUGAUGAGUUGCUGGAAAAUAGUUGGAAAAACCCGAAAGAUGAAGUCGAUAUUGAAACGUUUAAAGCAGCUCUUUCCCAAGCAGAUUCGCAGAUGAAAAAUCUUCCGGCAACUGCCCAGGUUAACUCAUUAUAUUCACUUCUUUUUCCAUCACAUCUCCUAAUCCUCUAACUCAUAUUCCAUUUCUUUAACUAUUUUUGUUUUCUAAAUUCUAAUAAUUUAGGUAGCUGCUCAACAAGGUGCCUACCUUGCCGACUGUUUCAAUCGUAUGGAGGAAUGUGAGAAGUACCCUGAAGGUCCCCUCAAGUUCAGGGAUGUUGGACGCCACCGCUUUCAACCCUUCAGGUGAAAUUCUAUCACCAAUCCAUCAUACAACCGACUUUAAUGUCGUGCUUAGUUACAAUGCUAUGCUACUAGGCUCGUUGGCCUGAACUUUUUAUAUGAUUUACUUGAAGGUACAAACACUUUGGGAUGUUUGCCCCACUGGGAGGAGAACAAACUGCAGCUCAUCUUCCAGGAGAUUGGGUCUCAAUUGGCCAGAGCACUCAGUGGCUCUGGUACUCAGUAUAUGCUAGGUAAAUAUCUGAUACACAUUUUCUUUCACUCAGCUUAAAUCCGGCAUUAGCAUAUCGGUUUCUGCUGAAAGUUCUCGGAAUUUUUGCAGCAAGCUAGUGAGUUGGCGCACAAGGGUGCUGGUGGUUUCGGACUGGGGAAGGCGAUCUAUUUUCGGAAGGGACACCAGUCGGAUUUGAGACCAGAUGGGAGCAUAUAUAUCAUCACACUGGAACUGUGUUUCCACCAUUUGUCUUGCAAUAUAUUAGGCAGAGCAUUGGUUCCAUUUAUUUCUUACUGUCAAACUUGUAACCGGAUUGAAGUUAUGAUAUUUGUACUGCAUAUAUGCAAAUAACUCAUUUGUAUUUUGUAUGCAACUAGUAGUUGUUUGUAUGAACCAAGCCAAGACUGGAAAUCUACAGUCUAAAGGUUAAGGAGCUAAGCGCUCAAAUGGUUAACAACUUUUAUUGUUUGCACCCGAGGUUCUAGAUUCAAUUCUCUUCUACAAUAUUGGUUGUAUUGAAAGAAAAACUUUAUAAAUGAUAGCUAAAAACAUCAACCAUGUCAACGAAAGAGAUCAAAGUUGAAAUGAACAGAAGUCAACUUUUCUUAACCUGUCUCCUUUUUAUAAAGAUAUAAUGUCUUAUUUAGAAGUUCGUCUGUUCAAAAACCGAACUAGGGACACUGAGAGAGAGGGUGGGAUCAAUGAAUGGGCAAGUGUAGGCCUGAAAACCAAGGGAUAAGGUAUAUGUGAUUUUUUGUGUCUUGCCGUAUAGUACAAGUGAACCGGGUGCUAGAUCUUAGAAUUUCUCCCUAUCAAGAGCAGGGAAAAUGAUUAUGUACAACAAAAUGGCAAAACUGGGCCAAAAAGAAAGAAGUCCAAAAAAACCAAGAGAGAAGUGAAAAAACCAAGUGUGCCGGCUUGUUUAAAGCACUUCUAUUAAAACCCGCGCAGCCGCUCCUCAACGUUCUUCUCCUAAGUCCAGUGACUGACGGCUGUGGCAUUUCAUCAAACACCUUACCUGCACUUCCGAACCCCCCACCCCGUCCGCUAUGAAUAUCCAGAGCAUGCUAUCUUCUUCCUCAAGGUGCUUGCGAUGCUACAUAGCAGCAGCAGCAGCAUCAGACGUACGCGCUCUCACUUUCCUCCCCAACUCCGCUCCAAUUCGGCGCCCGAAUCACAACCCCCCGCCAUUCUCCACCUCAGUCGAUCCGCCAUUGUUUUCCACCGCAACCAGAUUCAUCAGCAGCUCUCGGACCUCUUCUUCCCCAGAGCAAGAAGCUACCCUGAAUCAAAUUCUUUCCUCCAUACAAAACGCCGCCACGUUACUCGAAUCCUUGUACGAAAACCGCCUUUUCCUCAGCCCCAAAUCGUUCAACAGCGUGCUGGUUGCGGCCGCCGCCGAAAGCGGCGACCUUUCCCUCCUAUCUCAGCUUCUUCAGGUCGCAAUCGCGUCUUCUCAACCUUUAAAUUCUGCUUGUUUUCUCACUGUCGCCAAAGCUUUCGCAAAGUCGGAUGAUUGCGCGGAGCUGCUCAGAUUAACCAAGCAGGUAAUGGAGCUCACCGCUCCCAGCAUGACAGUCAUAAACAGGAUUCUCUUUGCUUUUGGCGAAUGCGGAGAGACUGAGAAGGCGCUCCUGAUCUUUUCCCAGAUGAAAACUCUUGCUUUCGUGCCCGAUUUGUACACCCACAACACUGUUUUAGAGAUUUUAGGAUGUGCCGGUAGGAUUGAUGAAUUGGUGGGUCAGUUCGGGGUUAUGAAAGAGGCCGGCAUUGUCCCUGAUGUGGUUUCUUACAAUACUGUGUUGAACAAUUUGAGGAAGCUUGGGAAAUUCGAUGUGUGUUUGUUUUACUUCAAGGAAAUGGGUGAAAAUGGAGUGGAGGCAGAUUUGCUUACUUAUACUGCAGUGAUUGAGAGCCUGGGAAGAUCAGGAAAUGUUGAGGAGGCAUUGAGAUUCUUCGAUGAGAUGAAGGCGAGGGAGAUUCGUCCUUCCCUGUAUGUUUAUCGGUCGCUGAUCACGAACCUGAAGAAGAUGGGGAAGGUGGACUUGGCAUUGAGUUUAACGGAGGAGAUGAAUUCGUGUGAUUCGGAGCUUGCUGGUCCAAUGGAUUUCAAACGUAAUAAACGGUUGUAAAUAGUUAUAAGCUGGAGAUACCUUCUGGUUUUCGAUUUGUAGGUCUCUUGUUAUUGCCAUUUGAUGUAGUUGUAUGGUGAUUUAAAUCUGCUAUUCACUUUGUUUGCCCAGUUUUGAAAUGAUUUGUAUCAAACAUGAUUUGAAUUCAACAGUUUUUCUUCGAGCAAAGCUGUUCUUAUUUGCAGACUGAUGAUACUCAGAUUACUAGUCCUAUGGACUUCAAAUGAAAUAUACACUUGUAAGUAGUUAGAAGCUGAAGUUAUCUUUUGGUUUUCGGUUUCAAGGUCUCUUGCUAUUGGCAAUUGGUAUAUAGUUGUAUACCAAUUGGUAUAUAUUUGUAUACCAAUUGGAACGAUUUUGUAUCAAGAUUCAGAUUUCGACACUUUUGUUUGAGUGAAAUCGUUGUUAUUAGCAGACACAUCUCGCUAGGAAGCAAGAAAAUAGCUUCAUCUAUUAUUAUUGCAUAGCAGAGAAACCAGAGACUUACAAACCCAAUUAACCAAUACAAAAUGCAUACUUACUCCAUAACAAGAGUUAUGGCUAACUGAAAAUCAAGUAAACUUUUGAACAAAAAUUAACAAAUUCAGUCGAGGUGAAGUUCCUCGACAAUUCCACUUAUUCUUCCUCAGCACCUUCUUCUGCAAAACUCAAUUCAUGGCAAACCUCCCCAUUGGUGCUAAAGUAGGAUUUCAUCCCAACCAAUUCAGCAGCCCUUUUGGCUGGCCCCGAACCCCUCGGAGUAUCAAUACCACAUCGGACUGUCUUAAUUUUUGGCAGCACAUCUCCUAUCUCAACUGAAGGUGACUUGUUAUCCUCUGCUGCAACUUGGUACACCACUAUCUCACUUGGAAUCUCCCACCUCUUCUUCACCCGGCACUCCGGUCCUUGACUCCUGGAUGUCUCACGGGCAAUGCCAUGCGGCUUUCCAACCAAGGAGACCCGCCUCUUGUCACCUCUCUUACUGUCAUCCUUAUCAUCCUCAGGCCAAGACCGCUUCCGACCAUCACUCACUGCCGAAUUCCCAAUCUGAUUGUACCUACUAGGCACAACCCUCCCAGGCUUGAAUGGUGUUUUCUUAGCAGGCACAGACUUCUCGGCUCCGUCUUUAAAAAGCUUCUUGGGUCCAAUUGAUGCAAGAACCUUGUCUUGCUUCUUCACAGGCCUUUUGGACCCUCCAACAGUAGUUGCAGCCUGUUUCGGAGCUUGAACCUUGGACACAGUUUUCCUCGAUUUCGGACUCAAACUCAAACUCUUGCCCCUCUCUUUCGUAGCCCUCAAUUCAUCGAUGUCCUGAAGCUUCCAAAAGCACGAUUUCCGGCGACUCUGCGUUGCCUGAACAGGGGUGAUCUCGAACUUACUCGGCCUCUGAAAUCCGGCUCCAGCUAUAAUCUCAGACGGCCCCAAACUCAUUCCUCUCCGAUUAUCCUUCGACCUCACGCUCAUCAUCAUAGACUCAAUCUUUUUCAACCCAUCCAAAUUCUUCACACCUUGUUUCUGCUCCAUGAACUUCGCCGCCACAACCCUUCCACGCUUCUCUACCGCCUUCUCGUUUCUCUCAGCCUUUUCAAGUUUAAGCGCUUCCAGCCUCGAAUUCAAUCUACUAAUCUCCUUCUCAAUCUCUUCAAUCUCCGCAUCGAUCUUCCCCUCAUCUCGAACUCUCUCUUCUCCUUCUUUAACCUCUGCAAGACCCUUCUUCUUCGCAACCGCCGAGAAGGGAUCAAGAUUCGUAUUUGUGUCCAGCGGCUUGAAGGGCACCGAAGAUUUGACGCAGACAGGGGUUUUCAGAAUCGCGGGGCUCAGAUUCUCUUUGCUGCAACCCGAUUCAAACGACUCGGAAGAGCAAUUCAGCGAAAGGGGUUGGAGUAUAUCGGACCAGGAAGCCUUCACGACGGAGGAGCCACCUUCGGAGUCUUCGUUGUCGAAGGCGGCGUUGUUCCACACCUGAAGGUCUGGUGCGUUAAUGGCGUCUUGGCAUUCAACUACACUCAUUUUCGCUCACUGGGUUCGAAGUUCAAACGAUUUUAGGGGAAGAUGGAAAGAUUAGAUGAUGGGGUUUUGUACUGUAACUGCUGGUUUGUGAUUCUUGGACGUGAGAGAGAGAGAGAGAGAGAGAGAGAGAGAGAGAGAGAGAGGCGAUCUUUAUUUUUUUUUGUAUUUCGAGAUUUUUGACCGUUGGGAAGAAAUUUAGGAGUUGGGGCCAGCCUGAGGCUCCAUGUAAUCGUAGCCGUCGGAUGCUAAACGGCUCCUAUAGACGCUCCGAUUUGAGUUAAAGUUUUUUGUUUUUAAUGAGAUUUGAAGUAUUUUUGCUCUCGUUUUUUUUGGACAUAUUUGUUUUUACCUUUUACGUUUAUAUUUUUUUGGUUCAGAGGUUAUAUUACGUAGGGCUGUGCCCAAUUUCUCAGAAAAUAUAAUUUUGUUUUUUUCAAACACUAAAUUGGGUGAUUUUGGGAAACCCAAUUUUUGAAUGUUUAAAAAUUGAAAACUGAAGAGAACCAAUAUAUAAUUCUUGACAUCACAUGGUAAAAUCCUUGUUUUUCAACAUUAUAUUGUAUAGAAAAGUCUCGUUCAGUAACUCGAACUUGACAUGAGUAUCGUAAGGUGGUGUCACCUCUAACGUUUUUUUUCUUCUAUUAAGAUUAGACAUCUUUCAUAUUUGGUGCUCUUAAUCAUGUGAGGACUAGAUUCAUUAAAAUUGACAGUUGUGCGACCUAUUAGUUAGUACAAGAAAAUCUCGAUCAUGUCCUCGCCCGCCCACCCAAAGAGGCAAGAGCAUGAUUCUAAUUUUUCAUGGUAUAAAGUUGUAUUUCAAUUUUUUUUUUCAAUUAAUUUGGUUAUUUUUUUUAUGGAAUUAAUUUGGUAGUAUUGAAAUUUUUUGGAACAGUUCCUUCGGGAUUACAAGCAUUACGGGUGGAAUAUGACUCUUCCCUUCACCACAGAACUAAUAAUGGAGAAUGGUAAUUCAACUUAUUUACGAUUAUACCAAAAAUAAUUGGCUGACAAAUUUCCAACUUAUAAAAAAUAAAGAUGCCAGCUUUUUCGCAUCAAUAUAUGAAUAGGAAGGCUCCGAUUAGAGAGACAGAGAUAUCGGGGCGUAAUCUUUUUGUGAAUAGUGCUGAAGUGAAGAAAGCUCAACAAAAACAUACGAACACUAUGCUCAUAAUUGAGAUCGCUGACCAUUUCAUAGAACAUAUAUGCUUGACUUUCCGCGAUGCUCUUUUGGAGUGACCUACCAAACCAGCGAUUGAUGACACUUUCCAAGAAAAAAUUCCCGGAGUGUUGGGUGUCCAAAGGUCAUGACUCAGCCCCAACCCAAUCCUCUAGCCGCAGCCCACUCAGCCCACUUCCAAUCUUUCUCUAUAAACAAAGGGUCGAAGUCGAAACCCUAAAUCUUUUGCCUUGUCAAAAGACAACUCUUGUGACUGUAAGUUGGAAACUUUCCUGUAUCUUCUUCUUCCUCCUCCAUUAUUCUUCUCUUCUUUCUUCUUAUGUAAAGUAAAUUCUCUUUAUAUGUAUCUUCACUAAUAUGUAUGUAUAUUUAUAUGUGUUUAUAUACACGAUGAACUCAAUUAUCCGAACUUCUAUUUUUUAAGAUGCACUUUAUAUAUAUAUAUAUAUAUAUAUAUAUAUAUAUAUAUAUAUAUUAGCGUUUCGUAUAAAUAAGUUUUAUUUAGGCCCUGAUCAUCAUCAGCACUGACUUGAGGGGCGUUUUCUUUUAUAUUUUCAUCAGGUAAUGAACCCCUUAACCCAUGGAAAUCACCAGAGCUUUUAUAGAGGGAGAAAAGAAAGCACACAAUGAGCAAAAGUGCAGUAUUGACAGAAUCAGCAAUCUUCCAAACGAUGUUUUGUACCAAAUACUCUCCUUGUUACCCUUCAAAUACACAGCACGAACCAGUGUUUUAUCUAGAAGAUGGAGAUAUCUAUGGACUUCCGUUCCCGUCCUCGACUUCUGUGCGGGCUUCACAUCUGAGGUCGAUGAUACAAAACGGAUGCAGUUCAUAACCACUGUUUUGACUCGUCGUCAAGAAAACUCCAACAUAAAGGUUUUUCGCAUUGCGAGUGAAGAAUCUAGAGAUGCGAGUUUUGAAUUUUUACAUGACUGCAUCUGCUGGGUUGUGCAGCAUAAUCAGGUUGAAGAAAUUGUACUCUAUCUGAAGAUCGUAAAUGGCAGGUUUGAUUUGCCUCUUUGUGUAUCUGAGUGUGAUUCAUUGAGGAGUCUCACACUGGCAGCCACUAGCGGUUUUUACUUUCUCCGUGUUAGGAUGGCUACUACUACUAUUGGUCUCCGUUCACUUCACACCUUGUCUUUAAUUCGUGUGAAAUUCUUGGAUAAUAGGGAUUUGGUUAUGGAUUUAUUUUCUGAUUCAACAUUCCCUUUCCUUGAGAAAUUGACCAUUUUAAUAUGUAGAGGAAUAUGUGAUCUCAAAAUAAGUUGUUCGCGCCUUGAAUAUGUACGAAUGUUCCGAACAGAUUUAUUUAGGCUGCACAUAUGUGGAAUGAGACUGAAGAAUUUGGACGUUGUGGGCUGUUUCAUCCAUGCAACUCAAAGUUUCGUUGACAUAUUUGCUCCAAAUCUGCAGACGUUUCGUUGGAAACAUAAUUACCUUACAACUGGGAAGUAUUUGAUCCAAAUCUCUCCUACCAUGAGAACAUCUGACGUAAAUUUUUUGGUCCGGGGCAAUGAUAUUAGCAUGGCGAUGACUUGUGUCGCAGUCAAUCUUUUGUGCGGAUUAUCCCAUGUUCAACAACUUGUCCUCAGCAUCGAUGCUCUCCAGGUUCAUUUGCUCAUCUGUUUUCUUGUCUACUACUUUGAAGCUCUUUAGACUUUUAAUUUCAUAAAAUGAGAUAUAUAUAUAUAUAUAUAUAUAUUAGACUAGAGAAAUUGUGUUAAGUGAUGAUAUCAUCUACUUGUAUGCAUUUUCUGAAUUAUUUAAUUGAUAUAUGGCAUAUUUAACCACAUCCAGGUUUUAUCCAGAAUAUAUUUCGAAGAUGGUCUACCAAAUUCAUUUGUGAAACUUCAGACGUUGGAAAUUCAAACUGAGGGCUUUGGCAAACGUGAGAUCCCAGGUCUAACGUGCCUGUUCAAGAGCUCUCCCAUACUCCACACUCUCAAAAUCGACAUAUCCAAUGGCAGCGACCAUAAUGAUGUAAGUUUUUGCCUACUUAGAGUGUACUGUAUAUUGGCAAGUUUACAAGGACAGAUGAGGUUUAAGGUUACGCUGUGAACUUUAUAGAGUUUUGAAUAUAACUAGUAACGAUUAACGACAUAUUUUAUAAUUUUGUUGCAGGUAUGGAACAACAGUUUAUUGGACAUUACUGAAUGCACUGAAGAACAGUACUGGGAAAGUCAAGCUCAGGUUUUGAGUCCCUCCCUUUGUCAUCUAAAGGUGGUGAAGAUCGUUGUUGCCAGUUAUCCUAUGAAUCUUAUGAUCCCCGAGAGUGUGAUUAGCGUUGUGAGGGUUUUACUUCAAUAUGGAGGAGGAUUGCAAGACAUGGUUCUCAGUUCUUAUCACCCGACAUAUUUCCGAGAUCCUUGGAAGGAUACAAUUGGUUUAAUAGAGGGAUUUCCGCGAGCAUCUGCCAAUGUCAAAAUCUCAAUCGUUUUGCUUGCUGACUGAUUGUUUUUCAAUGUGCAUGGAUCCAUGUAGAUGAUGAAGCUAUUGGCUGGUUCUUCAUGUUUAAUAUGUGAUCAAAACGAAAAUGUAACUAAAAACAUCUCCCAUGUAUGCAAAUUGAAUAUAAACUUGAUGGAUUGGUGAUGUCAACAGUGCAAGUUAGAAAACUUACAACCGCAGGAUUUAAUCUCACUGAUUAAGCCUCCACCAUUUGAUCGACAGAAAAACACUGCCCGCUAACUAAGAGAGUCAAAACAGAGCUGAACUCUCUCUCUCUCUCUCUCCACCCUGAACUCGCACGCUCAGUCUCCCAGUCUCGCCGUCACUACCCACCACCACCAGCCCCCUCUUCGUUCGCCGUCCAUCACCACCGCAUAUCUACCUCCAUCUCGUCCUCCAGCUUCCACAUCCAGCUAAGCCGCCAAAUGUUAAAAUGAAACCCCAAAUUGAAGUCCAUAUCGAGUCCUCGACCUCCAUCUUCCACCUGCAGCUUAAAACAAGGUAUUAUUUGUGUUAUCCCUCUCCAAUUUGGUUUGAUUCUUCAAUUUUGAAAUUAGUGAUUUAUUGUUUCGAAUUUGGAUUCUUCAACAUCCAGCUAAGCCGCCAAAUGUUAAAAUGAAACCCCAAAUUGAAGUCCAUAUCGAGUCCUCGACCUCCAUCUUCCACCUGCAGCUUAAAACAAGGUAUUAUUUGUGUUAUCCCUCUCCAAUUGAUUCUUCAAUUUGGUUUGGGAGCAGCCUCUCCAUAAAUGGAGGUAAGGCUAGCCGACAUUCACCUCUCCCAGACCCUGUGUAAAGCGGGAGCCUUGUGCACUGGGUACGACCAGUGAUUUAUUGUUUCGAAUUAGGAUUUCAAUUGUUGCUUUUAUAAUUCAAAUUUAUUAUCCAUUCCCCCCCAAAAAAUGAUAAUUUUUUCCUACUAUUUUAUUCGAGUUGUACGCUCACCAUGAGAGCGUUGGGGCGAAACUCUAUUCGGAGUCCAUAUGAAAAAGUUGCAAAAUUGCACGUGGAACUCCAAUUAUUAAUGUGUCGUGGGGCCACGCUACCGACACUCUAUCCUCUUUACUUAACACGUCCUGAUUAUGAUAUUCUUCAAACACCUAAGGGUGACAAAAUCAUUUUAACAUGCAUGCAAGUUAUGAAGAAAGAAUAAACGAAAAUAAAAUAUGUAAAUUUAAAAUAUAAUGAAAUAUGCAAAUGCGGGAAAGUGUUUAGAGCAUACAACUAAUCAAGAGUACUACGAAAGGAAUAUGAUUACAAAGAAAAAGGGGUUCUACACCGAGAGGACUCGAAGGUACCAAUACGGGAAUGCCUCAACGCCGAGAUCCUACGCCUUGUUUUUAAGUCCUGAAGGGGGUGCAAAACAAAACGUGAGUGGACCAACGUUUAUAGUAAGAAUAAUAAGAAAACCGUUUUUCCUUUAUGAAAAUACUAACCCCAUGUUUUGAAAACACAUAUAAUACUAUAUAAAAGGUUCUUUAAAAACCCUAGCAUGCCAUGAAAACGUUCGUCAAACAUGUACGUAUAAACCAAUGCUUAGUAAUGGUAAUAUAGUCGCCCGAAGGCAAAUCUAUAAAAUCUUCGUAAAUCAUAAAACAGUGUACUUAACUAGGGGUAUCAUAGUCGCCCGAAGGCAUUCCAUCAUCCGAGCGUGAAGCUAUGCAACACUGGGUUACAACAGUGAAGAAACAUGGUAGGUCCUAUUACCUGAAAGUGAAGCUGUACGACUCUGGGUUACAUCAAAGAAGAAAAAGUGCAUAACACACCGACACUGGUUUCGCCAGUGAAGCUGGGAGCAUGUCAUAAAAUAUCUCACUACUCAUCAAACUGUGUCCUAUGGCCAUAGGCAUAUACAUACUCAUGUUGUGUGUAUGUCUUGUAUGAUUACCCUCUAAAUAAGUACCUAAAACAUAAAUCAUAUCUCUUGUAUCAAAUCAUCGGAGCUCAAAAGCUCAAGCAUUAUAUCAUAAAUCAUAUUCGUAAAUCCAUCAUAUAUCGUAAUGUAUAAAAAGUCAUGGUUCGCAAAUCUUUCUAAACGUAAAUUCAAUAAUCAUAAACAUUUCAUAAAACGUAAAUUCGAUAAAUCAUAAAUAUAUCUCAUGAAGUGUAAAAUCAGGAAAUCAUGCUUUUCAUGAAUGUAAUCCUCAUAUUUUGAUAAAAACAUGCAAUUUAAGAUGGGGUCCACUCACAAAUACUCCGUUGCCGAAGAAUCAUGCAAACUAAGGAGGAUGGGGUCGUCCUUAACAAACGCACCUAAGUGCAUAAAAUGACCACAAAACAACAAUAACAACAAAGCAUUUUCCCACUAAGUGGGGUCGGCUAUAUGAAUCCUAGAACGCCAUUGCGCUCAGUUCUGUGUCAUGUCCUUCGUUAGAUCCAGGUACUCUAAGUCUUUUCUUAUAGCCUCAUCCAAAGUUUUCCUAGGUCUUCCUCUACCCCUUCGGCCCUGGACCUUUGUCUCAUAGUCGCAUCUUCUAACCAGAGCGUCAGUAGGCCUUCUAAGCACAUAAAAUAACCAAUUAGUAAAAACUAAAACCUUACCAAAACAAUUGAAUUUGGGAAAACGGAGCGCGGAUUUGGAAUCAGGGCGUCGAAAUUAGUCUAGGAGGGGUCAUGGCCGAAACCGGAAAAAAGUCAACAAAAGUCAACAUUGACGGCCAACUGGUCAAUUGUCAACGCUGACUCACCCGAGCCAAGCCGCCGAAGUUGAGCCAAGCUGCCAGAGCUCACACUGGAUUUUGGAAUUUUUGGUCGAAAAUUUGGGCAAAUUUUGAAGCUUCGUAACUUCAUUGUUUCUUAACCAAAUUCGACCCAUAAUAUAUCAAAAUGACGAUAGGAAAGUGUAGAACAAGAUUAUACCUAUUUGGAAGCUCAAUGGUGGCCAGAGAUAGAUGGGAAAUAGCCUAAAAGGUGACAAGUCCGCAGGAAAACUGGGUUCUUCGUCGAAAACUAAAAAAACUUUAAACAUCCAUAACUUCGUCUAUACUCAACGAAAUUAAGUGAUUCAAAAGUAAAAAUUAUACCUCGAAAUGAGACGAAAAGAUUGGUACCCUCCUCAAUGGCUAAGUCGUUAUGGUUUGGUCAAAAAAUGACUUGAAAGCUAUGGAGGUUGUGGGAAACAGGGUAAACUUUAAAUGUUCAUAACUUCUUCAAUUCUUAACCAAAAUCGACAAUCUUUAUAUGGAAAUGAAGCUUAAAAUGAGGAGAAAACAUAUGUACCAAUUUAGACCGAGUGGUGGUGGGAGUUGGUUGGAAAACGCCUGCAAAAGUCGUAGUUUUCAUUGAAAAACUGGGGAAGUCUUUCCCUAAGGCAUUUAUGGUCCAAACGCCACCAAAGCUUCUCAAAAACCUUCCAAUCAUAUCCCUAGACAUGAUCAACUAAGUUUUGGACUAAGUUUGGGGCUUACCUUCUUGGAUAUGGCGGGAACUCGCAGGGAAAUUUUGUGCACAAUGGCUGCACAUUAUAGCGCAAUGGAGAGAUUUCUCAAGGUUCUUGAGAGGUUUUGCGUAGAGCGAAGGUUUGCGCAGGGCAGUUUGUGUGUUAAAUUUGAGGUCCCUUUAAUGUUUCCUGCCGCUUGGUAUUUAUAGAGACCUACAUACCUAAGUCAUGAAAAACAAUCCCAAUUGCAUUGUGACUCCAAAUCUUUAAUUGUUGCUGCUGCCCACAGACCUAUCCUAUGCAUAAUCACAAUAAAUGAAAACUCUGAAAACUUUAUCCUUUAUGCGCCUAAGUCCACGCCUUAGGCCUUAUCACAUCAAUCAAAGCUUAAUCUCAUCUCCCAAAACUCCAUCAGUAGCCUUUAUCCCAUGCAUGCAUAAUAAAAUGAAAUAUAAUCCCAUCAUGCAUGCCUUAUUAUCUGAUACUUUAAAGACCAUCUUCCAUCAAACACAUGGCAUCCAAUUGUUGCACGGCAUCAGUCACUCACCCAUUCAAUCUCAUCUGUAUACUAACCAACAUUUAAUUUGCACGCAAAUUGUUGCUUAACCAGAUAAGAGUCUCAAAGCUUGAGAUAUAGUUUGCAUCCCAUUUUCUGUACUAAAAGAUAAUUAUUAUGAUAAAACCAUAAUAAUAUCUUUAAAUAACAAAAUUAUCUUCACCUUUUCAUCUGUCCGUCUGGCACUAUGCUCAACCAACGACCUCGGUUGCACGGGCCGAUGGUGUAAAUUUGGGUCCAAACAAAAGGCAUUCCCAAAUUUGGUAGCUCAAGGUCCUCCCCUCCUUGCAGUACCUCUUCUUUGCAACCCCACCUUUAAAUAUUAUCCCUCUGCUUGUAAUCUUAAGUAGUAGUAUGCUCUACACAUGUUCAUCAUUCUCACACUUUAAUUCUUAAAGAUAUGUAUUUUAAUAUGAUUAUUAUAUUCAACGCAAAUUUGCAAGCAUGCUUACAUGUUCUUAGUAUAAGCAUGAUAUGAUGGCUUGCUUCACUCAUUGGGAGUCGGCCAGCAAGUGGCUAUCCUGGUGUCCUCCGGACAACGGGAUCGGGGCAUGUCAUAUAUAGCAAGUUUGUUUGUUUUUUGGCUGUCUACAUGCUUGGACGUUCUUCAAUAAAAUUAGCUCAGACAAAUUGGUUAGGGUUUCAUAUAAUUAAGUUUUAUUUAGGCCCUGAUCAUCAUCAGCACUGACUUGAGGGGCGUUUAUUCUUUUGAUCUUUUUAGCAAGUAAUUAACUCAUUACUCCAUGGAAAUCACCAAAGCUUUUAUAGAGGAAGAAAAGGAAGCACACAAUGAGCAAAAGUGCAGUAUUGACAGAAUUAGCGAUCUUCCAAAUGAUGUUUUGUAUCGCAUACUCUCUUUGUUACCCGUUAAUUCCAUAGCACAAACCAGUGUUUUAUCUAGAAGAUGGGAAUAUUUAUGGACUUCUGUUCCCAUCCUCGACUUCUACGAGGGGUUUCCAUCUGACGUCGAUGAUAUUAAAUGGAUGCAGUUCAUAACCAAUGCUUUGACUCGACGUCAAGAAAAGUCUUUGACAUAAAAAUCUUUCGCAUUGCGAUUAAAGAUUCUGGAGGUGCAAGUUUAAUUUUUUUAAAUGAUUCUAUCUGCUUGGUGGUGCAACAUAAUAAGAUUGAAGAACUUGUACUCUAUCUGAAGUUCGUAAAUGGCAUGUUUGAUUUGCCCCUGUGUAUUUGAGUGUGAUUCAUUGAGGAGUCUCACAGUGUUAGCCACUAGCAGUUUUUUGUUUCUCCGUGUUAGGAGGGCUGUUACUACUAGUGGUAUCCGUUUACUAUACACCUUGUUUCUAGGUUCUGUGGAAUUCUCGGAUAGUAGUGUUUUGGUUAUGGAUUUAUUUUCUGAUUCAGCCCUCCCUUCACUUGAGAAAUUGAAAUUGAUUAUAUGUAAAUGUAGAGGAAUAGGUGAUCUCAAAAUAAGUUGUCCACGCCUCGAAGAAGUACAUAUUUUCGGAACAAGUUUAUUUAGGCUGCACAUAUGUGGAAUGAGACUGAAGAAUUUGGUCGUCGAGAGCUGUUUUGUCCAUGCAACUCAAAGUUUUGUCUGUUAAGCAUUAGCCAUUUAACCAAGAAAACGAAGGAAUCUAGAGAGAGACAGAACUUAGAGAGAGAAAGUUCGGUAACUGUAUUUCUAUUUCUUCUUACUUAAGUUAUUACAUCACACUAGUAUUUAUAGAGAAGCCAUACAUCAUAACUGCCUCUCCAACAAUCCUAACUAAUUACUCCUAUCUUGAGCUGACAAGUGGCACUAUAUCUACCCUUGAUUAUACUCUAACAUCCCCCCGCAAUCACAUGUGUGGAUGAACCAAACAUGAGAUUGUUACAAUGAGUGUGAAAUAGGGGUGCACUAAGACCCUUAGUGAAAAUAUCUGCAAACUGUUCUCGAGAUGACACAAACUGAACAGCAAGCUGCUUCUUGGCAAUUCGCUCCCGGACAAAAUGGACAUCCACCUCAAUAUGUUUCGACCUUUGAUGUUGAACAGGGUUAAAUGACAACGCUAUUGCCGACAGGUUGUCACAAAAAAGGACAGGAGGAGAAGAUAUUUGAACCUGCAGAAAUGCAAGAACUUGUAAGAUCCAAUCAAGCUCAGCAGAGGUAGUAGACAUAGCCCGAUACUCAGCCUCUGUGGAGGACCGAGAAACAGUUUGCUGUUUCUUGGAAGACCAGGAAACAGGAUUUGAACCCAGAAACACUACCAAUCCAGUGGUGGACCUGCGAUCAUUCGGAUCACCCGCCCAAUCCGCAUCACUAAAAGCUCGUAUUGUCAAGUCACUCUUGGAGUAAGUAAGACCAAGCUGCAUUGUGCCUUUCAAAUAUCGGAGGAUUCUCUUUACGGCAGUAAAGUGAGACACCAUAGGAUUUUGCAUAAACUGACAGACUUGGUGUACAGAGAAUGAGAUAUCUGGACGGGUAAAUGUAAGAUAUUGUAAGGCACCAACAAUACUUCUAUAGGCAGUGGGAUUGUUAUACGGAAGGCCAUCAUCUUUCAAAAGCCUGUUAUAGGGUAAGCAAGGAGUAUCACAAGGCUUGGCCUCGAGCAUUUCUGUCUUCUGCAGCAGGUCCUGAAUAUAUUUAGACUGGGAAAGAAACAAACCAGAAUAUGUUCUAGUGAUUUGGAUGCCAAGAAAAUAAUGUAACUUCCCAAGAUCCUUAAGAUCAAACUCAGAAGUAAGGGACCGAAUAACCUGUUGGAUAACAGUGAUGGAGCUUCCAGUAAUGAUAAUGUCAUCAACGUAUAGUAAUAGAACCACAACAGCACUACCAAUGGUGUUUAUGAACAGAGAAGAAUCUGAAUAUGUUGUUUUGAACCCAAUUGUUGGAAGGAACGUAGUGAACCGCUCAUUCCAUGCUCGAGGAGCUUGUUUCAAGCCAUAGAGAGACUUGUGAAGCUUACAAACAAGAUGUGGAUGGCUAGAAUCUUCAAACCCCGGAGGUUGGGACAUAUAGACAUCCUCUUGCAAAAAACCAUGCAGGAACGCGUUCUUCACAUCCAAUUGUCUAAGAGGCCAGCCAAAGUGAGCAGCAAGGGAUAAAACUAACCGGACUGUAGUUGGUUUGACCACAGGACUGAAAGUCUCCCCAAAAUCUAAACCAGGUUCUUGGCUAAAUCCUUUUGCAACCAAACGAGCCUUAUGUCGACCAAUGGACCCAUCAGCAUUCCGUUUGAGUUUGAACACCCACUUACAGCCUACAAGAUUCUUCUGAGAUGGUAAGGAAACCAAUGACCAAGUGCCUUGAGAGUGAAGUGCAUGGAUUUCCUCCUGCAUAGCCUUGUACCAAACUGGAACCUUAAGAGCAUUCUUAUAGGAUGUGGGUUCAAUAACAGAUAGAUCCACUUCACUGGAGUCCUCCAAGGUAGCAAGGAAUGCCUUUCUUUUGACAAUACCAUUUUUGCUCCUAGUUUGCAUAGGAUGCAAGUUAAUGGGAGCAAUAGGCAGGACCACGGGCAAGUGCUCAGGACUAAAUGUUGAGCCUAUAGAAUCAACAGGACUUUGUACAUAAUCCACAGGGAGCAGGGAGGAAACAUUGUGACCAGCAAUAAUGGACUGUGAUGGUAAUUGAGGCUGAGACCCUGCAGGAGAAAUGGAUGCUAGUGGCACUGACUCGGGGGUUGCAGAAACAGUGUGAUUAUGAUUUGAAAGAGGACAAUGAGAUGAGGAGGAAACCAAAAUGUUAUCGAGUGUAGGAAUUAAUGAUGAAUGUGAAAGAGUGCUAGAAGACUGAGGGAGAGAAUACUGAUGCUUCUGAGACAGCAAGGUUUUGUAUGGAAACUCUAACUCAUUGAACACUACAUGCCUGGAUAUGUAAUAUUUGUGCCGUGAGACAUCAAAACAAAUAUACCCCUUGUACUGGGAAGCAUAACCAAGGAAGACACACUUGAUGGUUUUGGGUUGUAAUUUAGAUGCAUUAUAAGGGCUGAGAAAUGGAAAACAUGAACAGCCAAAGAUCUUAAGAUGGGAAAUGAUGGGGAGUUUACCAUACAAAGCUUCAAAAGGGGAUUUAUUUUGUAAAAUAGUGGUAGGCAUUCGGUUAAUAAGAUAGACAGCAGUUUGACAACCAAAAGACCAGAAUUCAGAGGGUAGAGAAGCAUGUUGAAGUAAUGUGAUUGUGGUUUCAAUGACAUGCCUAUGUUUACGCUCAGCUAAACCAUUUUGUUGAGGUGUAUAGGGACAAGAUUUGUGAUGUAGAAUACCUUGAUGUUGUAAGAAGGAAUGCAACCUAUGAUUGACAUACUCACCACCACCAUCAGUUUGUAAUAUUUUGACAGUAGUAGAAAAUUGAGUGUGUACAAAAGAACAGAAUCUUACAAAGGUGGUAAAGAAAUCUGAUUUAUUUAUAAGAGGGAAUAUCCAACAAAAACGAGUACACUCAUCAAUUAGUGUGACAUAAUACUUGAAACCAUCAAUAGAACUACAAGGAGCAGGACCCCAAAGGUCACUGUGUACAAUUUCAAAUGGAAUUGAAGAUUGAUGAGUUCUAGGUGAAAAAGGUAACCUGGUGAAUUUACCCUCUAAACAACUUUGACACACAGUGGACACAACAUCUUUAUCACAUGGGAUAUUAGCAUUUUUCAGCAUCAAUGAGGUAGUAAUAUUAGAAGGAUGACCGAAACGGUUGUGCCAAACACUGGAUUUGACAAGCUGUCCAAGACAUGCAAUAGUCUGGUGAAUAGAAGAUCGGGACUGAGGAAGAGUUGGUAUGGGAUAAAGUCCAUUACUGCACAGGCCUUUGUGGAGGAUCCUCCCUGUGGCUUUGUCCUGGAUCCAAAAACAAGAGGCAUCAAAUAUGAGCUAACAAUGGUUAUCAAGACAAAUUUUAUGAACUGAUAACAGGUUAUGAGUCAACUUUGGUACAUAUAAAACGGAAUUCAAUUUAAUGGGAUAUGUAGAAGGUUUGAUAACACUACUGCCAAUAUGAGACACAGUCAAACCUUCACCAUUGGCAGUUUGCACAAGCUCAGUAGUGGGAUAUGGCGAGGCUAAAGACAGAUUCUGAAUAUCAGCAGUCAUAUGGUUUGAGGCUCCCGAAUCCGCAAGCCAAAACGGAGGAGAGGUUUGAGAAGAAGAGCAUUGGGAGGGAUGAUUAACCACAGUAUGCAUAGCAUGCAUAUGAGGCAGAUUUGGAGACUGAGAAGUCGACAUGGAGACUUGUGAGGGAUGAAACUGCGAAUCACCAAUGUAAUUUGGCCCUUUGUCAUUAUAAAAACAAAACCAAGUGGAAUGGUUUGUCUUGCCACAAAUAUGACAACCUUGUUGUGAUUGAGAUCUCGAUCCGCAAAAAGAUGCAGAGUGACCAUAUGUGUUGCAUAGCUGACAAAUGACGGAAGGAGAUCCACCAGUAUACCCAUUUGGAGAAGAACCAAGAACUCCUGAAGUUGAAUUAGGAUACACAUUAUAAGACUGUCUGUGGAAUUUGACUCCGUGAUUAAACUUGCCCCUGCCUUUUUGUUUGUUAUGAUUAAACUGCCUGUUCCCUCCUGAGAAGAAAUUAGAUGGACCAGAAUUAUUAUGAAACUGAGAUGGAGAUCGUUUGGUAGCCGAAGAAUGAUCUGCAACCAUAGCAGACAAAAGUGGACCCUGAACAUGAGUUUCAACAAUGAGCUCCUCAGCAAGAAGUUGAGAUCUAAACUCCUUAAGAGAUAUAACAUUCUCACGGCCCCGAAUCACACACCUAAAGGUAUUAUAUUCAGGAGGUAAUCCAUUAAGUGCAAGAAUCACAAUGUCCUCAUCUGCAAAGUGUACCCCAGCAGCAGAAAGAUAAUCUCGAGCUUCUUUGAUCUUUUGCAAGUACUGAGACACACUAUCAGACCCUUUCUUGAUUGUUUGGAGAUUGGACUUCAUUUGAAAGAUACUAGUUCGAGAAACAGUGGAGAAUUGUUCCUUCAAUCUAGUCCACAAAUCUUGAGAACUAACACUGCCAAUAGCACAGGAGACAGCAACUGGAGAUAAAGUUGCAGUGAUUAAUUGCAUUAAAGCCCGAUCAUGCAUUUUCCAGACAAUGUAAUCCUCAUUUUCCACAGUAGAUAAACCAGGCUCAUUGUUCCGAUCAACAGCAGAAUUUCCAGAACGUUGAACAAAACGAGCAGGACAAGAAGUAGAUCCAUCAACAAAUCCCAUAAUCCCAUGUCCGUCCAAUAACAAUUGCAUUUGAAAUUGCCAAUUUAAGUAGUUAGAAUCAUCCAAUUUCACAUGAACAGAUGCAGAAACAGUGGAAACAAGAGAUGUUAUGGGAGAUUGAACAAUCUGAAGUUGAGAAGCAGUCACCAUAAUUUCGUAUAUCAAUGAAGAAACUUAACAGAGGCAAUAUCACAAACACCUGGCGGGCAGAAAAAUUUUUUAAUCUUGAAGAGAAUCGAAGGACAAUAUCAGAAACCCUAGAAAUCGAAGGAGAAGAAUACCAAUCCAAUCUUUGAAGAACCACAACACCAAGUGCAGAAAUGGCUGUGGGAAGAAGACGAAGAACUCGACGAGCAGCGAGUAGCGGAAGCAACUAGAGGAUCGAAGAUGCGCAAGCAAUUCCAGCGAUUGAUACCAUGUUAAGCAUUAGCCAUUUAACCAAGAAAACGAAGGAAUCUAGAGAGAGACAGAACUUAGAGAGAGAGAGUUCGGUAACUGUAUUUCUAUUUCUUCUUACUUAAGCUAUUACAUCACACUAGUAUUUAUAGAGAAGCCAUACAUCAUAACUGCCUCUCCAACAAUCCUAACUAAUUACUCCUAUCUUGAGCUGACAAGUGGCACUAUAUCUACCCUUGAUUAUACUCUAACAUUGUCGACAUUUUUGCUCCAAAUCUGCAGACGUUUCGUUGGAAUCUUAAUCACCUUACAAUUGUGAAAUAUCUGACCCCAAUCUCAACUGCCUUGAGAACAUCUGAUAUUGAUUUUUUGGUUCGAGAUAAUAAUAUUAGCAAGGCGAUGACUUGUGGCGCAGUCAAUCUAUUAUCUGGAUUAUUCCAUGUUCAACAACUUGUCCUCAACAUCGACACUCUCCAGGUAAUGCUCAUCUGUUUUUUUGUCUACUACUCUGGAACUUUGGAGACUAUUAAUUAAUAUAUGGCUAAUUUAACCAUUUACAGGUUUUAUCCAAAGUGUAUUUUGAAGGUGGUUUACCAAAGGCAAAUUCAUUUGUGAAACUCCAGACGUUGGAAAUUUAUACCAAGGGCUUUGGCAAACGCGAGAUCCCAGGUCUAACCUGCCAGUUCAAGAGCUCUCCCAUACUCCACACUCUCAAAAUUGACAUAUCCCAUAGCCGCGACCGCAAUGAUGUAAGUUUUUGCUUAGUUAGGUGUACUGUAUAUUAGCAAGUUUUAAAGACAAAUGCGUUUUAGGAAAAGCUUGAUUUUUCUACUGAUUGAAAUCACUAGCCUGACAUUACUGUGUACGUUAUAGAGUUUGAAUAUGUAACUAAUAAGUAAUAACGAUAUAUAUUAUAAUUUUGUUGCAGGUAUUGAACAACAGUUUGUUGGACAAUGCUGAUUGCACUGAAGAAAAAUACUGGGAGAGUCAAGCUCAGGUUUUGAGUCCCACCAUGUGUCAUCUAAAGAUGGCGAAGAUCGUUGCAGCCAAUUAUCCUUUGAAUCUUAUGAUCCCUGAGAGUGUGAUUUGCGUCGUAAGGUUUUUACAUCAACAUGGAGGAAGCAUGCAAGAAAUGAUUCUAUGUACCGACAAUGAGUUUCUGCAGACAAAUCCAGAUCCUUGGCAGUAUAAAAUUGGUUUGAUAGAGGGAUUCCCACGGGCAUUUGCUCAUGUCUUCCGAAUGACUGUUUUCCAAACGUGCUUCAAUCAAUAUAGACGACGAAGGUAUCAAACUAAUAGUUGGUUUAAUAUUUCAGGUUCGAUAUGUAAUACAAAUUAAAAUGUAUAAACAUACUUGUCUAGGCAGAAAUAGAUAACUUUAAUUUUACAUUAAUUUUUUUAUCCUAAAUUGUAAGAGAUUUGUGGAAUACUUGCAAUGAACACUAAUUAUAUCUUUGUUCCAUUUGUUUUCAAUAUGUUAUAAUACUUUAUAAUAUAUGUCAUUCUGAUUUUCAAUUUAUAUAUCCACAAUGAUUAUGUAUUUUUUAAGUAUAAACAGAUACUUAUUUAUACAAUAUAUAAUAAAAUUACUUAAAUUCGCCUAGGUUCCGACUGGCUGCCUAGGCGCUAGACUAUAGUCCGCUGUCCGACUAGCAGUUAACAUCUUUUAGAAACAUGAGUUCAACAAUAUUUUUAAUUUCUAUGUUCCCUUUUGAAACUCAUUUUAUAUUCGAAACUCCCUCCCUCCUGAAUUACUUUAAUAGUUUGAACACUCCCCAUUUCCCUUAAUAAUAAUAACACUAUAGAAACCAUAAUACUUUGAUUUGGUGGUCUCAAGUUCAGUGGACGAUUCAUCUGAUACUAAUUUAAUUUUCUACCCCUUAAUAUAAUUUAUUUUUCUACUUUUUAAUAUACUUUUUUUUGACAAACCCUUAACGUAAAUUUUGUAUAAUAAAAAUAAAAAAAACAUACGACGUGGCAUAAUGUGGAUCAUGGAUUGUAAUGGACGGUCCAGAUUAAAAGCAUUGUACAAUCCGGUACUAGGCCGGUAAGGCAGAGGAUCCAGGUAGACGCUGGACCGUUCCGAUCAGCGGCACUUGGCCCUCUGCAACUCCAAAACUCGUGCUAACUUCAGCUUCUUCUUCCAGUGAGCCGUUAGGGGGGCUGUUUGUACGCCUGGAUAAAGAUUUCGGACUAAAUUAUCCCGGAAUUGGAUUCGAAGAUGGAUUCAGGGAGGCAGGUGUUCACGGUGGAUCUUCUGGAACGAUAUGCGGCCAAGGGGCGCGGAAAUAUCACCUGUAUGGCUGCCGGAAACGACGUCAUUUUGCUCGGAACCAGUAAAGGUUGGAUCAUUCGACACGAUUUCGGCGUCGGCGAUUCGUUUGGUACGUUACUCUUAUCCAAUCCUUUCGUUUGGUACUUUCAAUUCUUUGCCAAUUCACAAAUUUUUCAUUUGAUGAGAAUUUAGAAUUCAAUCUUUUGUAAUUGACGUGAAAUUCGAGACCUUCAUCUCAAAUUAGUGAUUUUUAUUUAUUUAUUUUUUUUUUUUUGCAGAGAAAGUCUUGAAUUCCUGUCAAAUUUCGGAUUUUGAUCCGAGCUUAUAUGCUUAGUGAUAGUGUUUAGCGUAAUUAGCUAGAUAGGAUAUGAUUAGUAGCAAUUUACUUGAUUGAUUGAGCUGAUUAGAACAGUGUUUUGCUUUAGUUGCUAAGAGACCCGUUGUCGAAUUCGGUUGACUAGAUUGUUUUGCUUUCUAUUUUGUGUAUGGUAUGAUCAAACAAUGCUUGAUGGUUGUUGUUUAUUUGAGCUAUAGAUAUUGAUCUCUCGGUGGGUCGUCCUGGGGAGCAAUCCAUCCAUAGAGUUUUUGUUGAUCCUGGAGGGAGCCACUGCAUUGCCACCAUUGUUGGGAGUGGGGGUGCUGACACGUUCUAUACUCAUGCAAAAUGGACCAAGCCCCGUCUUUUAACCAAGCUAAAGGGUCUUGUUAUGAAUGCCGUUGCCUGGAACAGACAACAGAUUACAGAAGGUAAUUUGUCAGUCCAUUGACUAUUUUCCCCCAUUGCAUUUGGAUGGAGGGUUUGUGCAUAUUGACUCAUUUGAGCUAUUGUGUGUGAUUUUGUUCGUAAAAAUCUCAGCUUCAACAAAGGAAGUCAUUCUCGGUACAGACAACGGCCAACUUUAUGAAAUGGCAGUUGACGAGAAGGAUAAGAAGGAGAAAUACGUAAAGUUUUUGUUCGAAUUAUUAGAACUUCCUGAGGCUUUCAUGGGUUUGCAGGUAAUCUUUGAUCACCUUCUCUAAUAGAGAAUUGAUUUGACAGUUACCAAUUUGCAACUCUACGCAUCAUGAUCUUGAUCUCAUUCUUUGUGUGCAGAUGGAAACGGCAACCAUUCUCAGUGGGACUAGAUACUAUGUAAUGGCUGUAACUCCUACAAGACUCUAUUCUUUUACUGGUAUUGGAUCACUGGAAGUAAGUUUUCUUCCAUGCCUAGUGAAAUUGUCAUUUCCAGUGACAAUAUAUUUGUUGCUGUUACAAUUCUCAUAACCUGAAUAUUCUGCGUUUCUAGACUGUUUUUGCUAGUUACUCGGAACAAACAGUGCAUUUCAUGGAACUUCCUGGUGAAAUUCCUAACAGGCAAGUGUUUAUGUUGACACUACUAAAAUUAUUUUCAAAAUGGGAUAAAAAUAUUCCCUAUUUUUUUCCCUUUUAUUUUUUGGGAAUCAUUUUUCCUUUUAUUAAAUAAACUGUUACCUUUGAUUUGCAAAAUUGUUGAUGUACUGUUUCCUGUCAUUCUUGUUGAGCUUUCUGGUUUCACUUUGUCAUCUUUCAGUGAACUGCAUUUCUAUAUCAAGCAAAGAAGAGCAAUACAUUUUGCAUGGCUUUCUGGUGCUGGUAUAUAUCAUGGUGGUUUAAAUUUUGGAGCACAACAUAGGUACAAGAUAACAUUCUUCUGUUCUUCCUUCUUUUCUGAUGGCAUUGUCUGUCUAGAUUCUGAUCAUUCUGCCUUCUACUGAGUAGUUUUAUGGUUGACAUUGUGAAACUUGUUAAUAGCAUUCCUUGAUAUAUUUAAUAUUUAAUGAUUGUUAGCAUGUAACCUUCCCCUGAUUUAUCUCUUUUGCAGUUCUCCUGAUGGAGAUGAAAAUUUUGUGGAGAACAAGGCUCUUUUGAACUAUUCAACUUUGAGUGGGGGUUCUGAAGCGGUGAAACCCAGUUCUAUGGCAGUUUCAGAAUUUCAUUUCCUGCUUCUUAUCGGGAAUAGGGUUAAGGUAUUCACAUUUUAAUUCUCUGAAUAACUUUUUUCUUCUCAGUGCUGUUAUCUCUAUGUCCCUGUUGAGUAUCAUGUUAUGAACUGCUGCUGAUGCUAAGCAUUAGGUUAAAUGCAUUAGAUAUGUGAUUCUUUUAUUAUUCACAGAAUACUGCUGAAUACUGCACCUGCCCCCUUUUUAGCUUCCAUUAUGAGUGUAAUUCUUUUGUAGGUUGUAAAUAGAAUAAGUGAGCAAACUAUUGAGGAGCUUCAGUUUGAGCAAACACCCGAAGCAGUUUCAAGGGGUGUCACUGGAUUGUGUAGUGAUGCCACUGCUGGGUUGUUCUAUGCAUAUGAUCAAAACUCUGUAUUUCAGGUUUGUGUCUUCAAUUGCCUAAAUAUUUUCUGAAUUUAGUUCAUUUUGCAUCAGACAGUAAAGUUUUCCGUACUGCUGAAUUUGAGAACAUAAUGUAGGUGUCUGUUAAUGAUGAAGGCCGAGACAUGUGGAAAGUUUACCUGGACAUGAAGGAGUAUGCUGCUGCUUUGGCAAAUUGCCGCGACCCACUUCAGAGGGACCAAGUAUAUUUGGUGCAGGUCGUAUCUAAGUGAUGGUUAUACUCAUUGUCGCUUAUUGUAAUUUAUUCUCACUAUGGCACUUAAUUAAAAAAAUGUGAAGAUUAUUGCGUUGCUGGUUGUAUAUUUGUCUUCUCAAUCUUGUAUUUACCUGGGUAGUCAGUAACGAAGUAAUUUGAUUUGCAGGCUGAAGCUGCAUUUUCCGCCAAGGAUUAUCUUAGAGCAGCAUCAGUCUAUGCAAAAGUGAAUUCUCUAUUUCCUUGAUCUGUUUUCCCAUAUAUUUAUUGCAAUAAUGGCUAUAGGUGCAGCAGGCCAUUUGUUGUUUAUUAAUGAUAAUAUGAUUCUUUUCUAAUCUUAUUGCCUCGAUUUUUCAGUUUUGGUUAUAUUUAUACUAGAUUUGAACGUACUUCUAAUUGUGCAGUCACAUUGAUUACAUUUAGGAAUAUGCAUCACUUACUGAGAUAUUGUGUGGUAGCUAUUAAACUAUAAAGUACACAUUGUUUUUGUCUUGAUGUUUCUCAUAUUGUAAGGCAAUAUCUGAGAAAUUACCAGUUAAUAUCUUUUCAGUGAACAGCUACAUUACUAAUAUCGUUAAAUUGAAAUUGGCUACCCUUUCCAUUCUAUCAGUCUGAUCACCCAGGUCUCAUAUUUGAUGGAUGCUGAGAGUAAUUAGUGAUUUAAUUUGGUCGAAGCAUAAUAACAAUGAUUUUCCUGCCACUUCUCUAUGAUUGUUUUGAUUUAUUUCUGGUUAUUAUAACUUGUUACAGCUCAUUUAUUAAAUUAUGGGAUUGUCUUGCAGAUUAAUUACAUAUUGUCAUUCGAGGAGAUCACUUUGAAGUUUAUCACUGUAAAUGAACAGGUACUUGCAAAAUGUUCCUUGCACCGUCUGUGUUUUUGAUUUGGUAUUAAACUCUUAUGCAUUUUUUAUUUUACUUGGCAUGCUUGCAGGAUGCUUUAAGAACCUUUCUAUUGUGGAAACUUGAUAGCCUUGCGGUGGAUGACAAAUGCCAAGUAACAAUGAUUUCGACAUGGGCAACUGAACUGUACUUGGAUAAGGUCUUACUUAGCUCUUGGAUAAAGAACUAGUUUUUUCUUACCUCUCCUGCCUUAUUCUGGAUAGCUUGUAAAUGUUGCAUUCUUUUUUCUUAAUGCAUAUCAAAGGGCAAGAAGGAUAAUUAAUGACGAUGCAUUCUGCUUAAGAUAAAAUCUGAGAACAUCUUCCUUUUGACUCUGUCGUCAGUUUAUGCACACUUAAAAUAGAAUAAUGUAGACGUUGAAAGUUUCCUUUUACCUGAAGUUACGAAUCCAUCACUAAUAUGUUGUUUUUCAUUGUAGAUAAAUCGUCUACUAUUGGAAGAUGAUACUGCAGUGGAUAAUCGUAAUUCUGAGUAUCACUUGAUCAUUAAGGAGUUUCGUGCAUUUCUUAGUGACUCCAAGGAUGUUUUGGAUGAGGCAACUACCAUGAGACUUUUAGAAAGGUAAUUGUCAUUGAAUUUGCUUUGAAUUGUUCAUCUCGCACCAUUCUUUUUAAAUUCUUAUACAGCUAGGGAAUCCCAUAUGCUAAUAUCAUGUUGUUUAAAUGUAUCAGUAGAAGAAAAUGUCAUUUUUAAAUAUUAUCUUCUACAAUUAGAUUAUUGUGAAAGAUCUGUGCCAUUAGGUACUUGGUGGGUCUUUCUCUUUAGAUUAUAUUAUAGUUGAAAGAAUACUAAAACAAAGGAUCCUCUGGCUACAUGCUGCAGUUAUGGCCGAGUCGAAGAAUUGGUUUUUUUUGCUAGUCUGAAGGAACAGUAUGAAAUUGUAGUCCACCAUUAUAUUCAGGUGCUUUAUGCUUCCAAUUUAUUUCUUAUUUGGUUUCAGAUUCUUGUCAUUAUCACCUGUUUUGCUACUUCCAUGGUUUCUUUUAGUUUUUUUUUUUUUUUCUUAAAUGUCCUUCUAGUCAUGCUUGUUUUGCAUUGACUGAAUGCACAUUAGCAAGGAGAGGCAAAGAAAGCAUUGGAGGUGCUCCAAAAACCUACUGUUCCUAUAGAUCUUCAGGUAUGGGUUAUGUUCUCUGGUUUGGUGUUUGAAAUUUUUCCCAAACAGGUUCCAGAUGUUCUCUAGUGUUUAUGUUUUAUAAUAUUAUUAGUAUAUAUGUGUUUUAUUUUAUCAAAUUAUGCAAUCCUUCACUUGCAGUACAAGUUUGCACCAGACCUAAUCAUGCUUGAUGCAUAUGAAGCUGUGGAGUCAUGGAUGACUACAAACAACCUCAAUCCAAGGAAACUCAUUCCUGCAAUGAUGCGUUAUUCAAGUGAACCACAUGCAAGGUAUUAUCUCAUGUUCAUACUGGACUAGAAAUUGCAAUUAUGAAUUGAAGAUGGAUAAGGCUCUUUAGAUACUAAUCAAUUUCCCUUAACACAAAAAGAGCACAUAUCCACUAUAUUUUAUUUGUUGAUUUAGACGUAAAACUUGAAAUUUCUAAUUCAUUGUGAGAAGUAGCGUAUUGCAAUGCCUUCUUUGUAUACAUGUACCUCCUCUCGCAUGACAUAUUAGGUUCCCCUGGUGUAUUUUAUACUUUGGUCACUGAAGUAUUUUAUACUUUAGUUAAUGAUGCAUUUAAAAUUAAAGCUUUACUCUUCUUACUGCUACUAAUUUAUUUUAUAUCACAUGCAGAAAUGAAACACACGAAGUCAUCAAAUAUUUGGAAUACUGUGUUCAUCGUUUGCAUAAUGAGGAUCCUGGUGUUCACAACUUGCUAUUAUCACUAUAUGCCAAACAGGUUGAUUUCUUGAAGAAUUUGAUAUGAUUUUAGUAUGAUCUUGGUUUACAGGCGUAUACACAUACAUACAUACAUACAUACAUACAUACUUACAUUAUUAAUUAUUAUAUACAUCUUUUAAAAACUGUGAUGUCCCCGUUUCUUAACUCACUUAUGCCUACAAGGCUCCCCGCUUUGCGAGGGUUGGGGGGUAUGAAACAUUUAUCGUAUGCAACCUUACCCUUGCUUUGCAAGGAGGCUGUUUCCACAACUCGAAAGUAGGAAAAUAUUUUGUAGCUUGAAAUUUGCGGAAAAACCACAUCCUGAGUUUAAAAGUGAAUUAUAGGCUUAUAGCCAUAUCUCUUACUUUCCCCUCGGUUUAUUUCAGAUGAAAUUAUAUGUAUGCGAAAAUUUCUUUGCCUUGUAGCCAUAUCUAUAUAUGAAUGCGUUUCAUUGCUUUCACAAUAAUUCACAGGAAGACGACGGUGCACUUUUGCGUUUCCUUCAAUUCAAGUUCGGAAAAGGACGGGAAAUUGGCCCAGAGUUCUUCUAUGAUCCCAAGUAUGCUUUACGCCUUUGCCUCAAGGAAAAGCGAAUGCGUGCCUGUGUUCAUAUAUAUAGUAUGAUGUCCAUGCAUGAAGAAGCAGUUGCUCUUGCCCUGCAGGUAUAGUUUGAGGCUAUGUUUUUGUGAUUCAACUAUUAUUGCCCCAAUCUAUAUAUUGUUUUACUUGUAGCAAAAGGAUUUCAGUUUACAUGAUGUUCUCGUUUUUGGACACCAAGGGUCCUCUCUGGUUUAUUUAUUUGUUAGAACUACCUUUACAACAUGUGCUGCCAUUGGGAUAGUUAAGAUUGAGGUUAUCUGAAUGUUGAAGUAGUUAUAAAUUCCAUGUAUCUUGUUUCUCCAACUCAAUGGGAAUAGGAACAAUCACCUCCACCUAAUAUUCUCUUCUCCAGUGGAACCCAGGAAAAUCUAAUUGUUACAUAAUUCUUUUACGGUUAUGUAAUUGUAAGUUGAAAUGGUUUUAUCCUAUUUUUUCAUAACUUGUUCUUUUGGUGCCUUAAGGUUGAUCCUGAGCUUGCUAUGGCUGAGGCUGACAAGGUUGAAGAUGAUGAGGACCUGAGAAAGAAGCUUUGGCUCAUGGUUGCGAAGCAUGUUAUAGAACAGGAAAGGGGAGCUAAAAGGGAGAACAUUCGGAAGGCAAUAGCAUUUCUUAAGGAAACUGAUGGCCUUUUAAAGAUAGAGGAUAUAUUACCGUUCUUCCCGGACUUUGCCCUCAUUGACGACUUCAAGGUAGAACUAUCAUACCCUUCUGCUUUGUCAUGGUUUGUAAUGUUUAUAACGAUUCAAGUCUUUUGCGAAGUUUCAAGCUUUCUUCUUUUCCGCCAGAAGUGAUUUUCUCCGAUUCUGUUUUUGUUGGCCACUUUACAUAUGAUUUGUGAUGUUGAAUUGUGAAUUUAUUUGCAUGUAUGGAAACAUGUUUUAUUGUGUUCUGGUUACAGUGAAUAUGAUUAUAUAGCUUUAUUUGUUUCCCCUUUAGGUUGCCUCUUUAUCAAUUGCUAUAGUGGUUGUUUAUAUAUUAGAUUUCCAUUAUGAAGUGGUUUUCAGAAUAUUUACUUGUGUGGUGCUGUUGGAACUAUUAGUUUUCAGCACGUUGGUUUUGAACUGAAUCUGUAUGUAUGUAGGAGGCAAUUUGCUCGUCAUUAGAGGAUUACAACAAUCAAAUUGAAGAACUGAAGCAAGAGAUGAAUGAUGCAACACAUGGUGCCGAUAACAUUAGAAAUGACAUUAGUGCACUUGCUCAAAGAUAUGCUGUGAUUGAUCGUGAUGAAGAAUGCGGGGUAUUGCUCAUGUUGAUGUUGUAGUUUCAAGUUAAAUUGGAUUUGCUCAUACUUUCAUUUCUUUUUCCAAUACUUGCUUUUCUUUUUCUUCUUCUAUCAGGUUUGUCGGCGUAAGAUUUUAACUGUGGGUAGGGAGUAUCAGUUGGCUAGAGGCUAUGCAUCCGUAGGCCAAAUGGCUCCAUUCUAUGUGUUUCCAUGCGGACAUGCCUUCCAUGCCGAAUGCCUGAUUGCCCACGUCACACGUAGUACAAAUGAAGCUCAAGUAAGUUGAAGUAUUGUUUUCUGUAUUCUUCUCUUUUAUCAUUAUCAGCUCGUAAUAACAUAGUAUUCUGCAAAAGCUUUACAAUGUGCGCCCAAGUAGUUGAAGCGUAAGAAAUACUUUGGGCUAGAUGAUGCUUGUGCCAGUUGAAUUAAUGUUUUUGUUUGGUAUGAAAUGAAGUUUUGGGAGAGACAGGUAUAACAUGGCUCACUGACCUUUUCAAUAGGAUUUUGAAAACGAAGAAGAUGCCAAAUGAGUGGCGAACGAGCACUUUGGUGCCUAUCUACAAGAAUAAGGGCGACGUACAAAAUUGCAUGAACUAUAGGGGUAUUAAGCUAAUGAGUCAUACAAUGAAGCUCUGGGAGAGAGUCAUUGAGCAUAGAUUGAGGCAAGAGACACGGGUUUCGGACAACCAAUUCGGGUUCAUGCCAGGGCGCUCAACCAUGGAGGCAAUCUAUCUCUUACGAAGAUUGAUGGAAAGAUAUAGAGAUGGGAAAAAGGAUUUACACAUGGUCUUUAUAGAUUUGGAAAAAGCGUAUGAUAGGGUCCCAAGAGACAUUCUUUGGAGGAUUUUAGAGAAGAAAGGAGUACGAGUAGCAUAUAUCCAAGCUAUAAAGGAUAUGUAUGAAGGAGCAAAGACCGCCGUAAGAACUCAUGAAGGACAAACCGAAAGCUUUCCCAUAACUGUAGGAUUACAUCAAGGCUCAUCCUUAAGUCCUUACCUUUUUGCGUUGGUAAUGGAUGAGUUAACAGGACAUAUUCAAGAUGAUAUUCCUUGGUGUAUGCUUUUCGCAGACGAUAUAGUGUUGAUAGAUGAAACUCAGGAAGGGGUAAAUGCAAAGCUUAACCUUUGGAGAGAAGUGUUGGAAUCUAAAGGUCUUCGCCUCAGCCGAUCAAAGACAGAAUAUAUGGAGUGCAAGUUCAGUGCAAAUGGAGGCCAAAACGAGUUAGGGGUGAGGAUCGGAGAUCAAGAAAUACCAAAGAGCGACCGUUUUCGUUACCUAGGAUCUAUCUUGCAAAAGAACGGAGAAUUAGAUGGAGAUCUCAACCAUAGAAUACAAGCUGGAUGGAUGAAGUGGAAGAGUGCAUCCGGCGUGUUGUGUGACCGCCGUAUGCCACUGAAGCUCAAGGGAAAAUUUUUAUAGGACGGCAAUAAGGCCGGCAAUGCUGUAUGGCACAGAAUGUUGGGCGGUGAAACAUCAACACGUACACAAAAUGGGUGUAGCGGAGAUGAGGAUGCUUCGUUGGAUGUGUGGGCACACGAGAAAGGAUAAGAUUAGGAAUGAGGAUAUCCGGGGGUAAAGUAGGAGUAGCCGAAAUUGAAGGAAAGAUGAGAGAAAAUCGGUUACGGUGGUUUGGACAUGUGCAAAGAAGGCCUACUGACGCUCCGAUUAGAAGAUGCGACUAUGGGACAGAGGUUCAGGGCCGAAGGGGUAGAGGAAGACCUAGGAAAACUUUGGAAGAGACUCUAAGAAAAGACUUAGAGUACUUGGAUCUAACGAAGGACAUGACACAGGAUCGAGCACAAUGGCGUUCUAAGAUUCAUAUAGCCGAUCCCACUCAAUGACUUGGAUUUUCCAAGUCUCCAACCAAGAAGUUUUCCUCACUCGGGAAAUUAAGGGAACACUACCCCAACCUACAUGCUCCACUCAGAAAGCUUCAACAUACAAGCUUCAACAAAAGAAAAUUCAAAGAACUUAGCGAAGAAGGCUUUGGUGUAUUUAACACAAUACGUUGAAAUGAAGGAAAGCUUAUUUAUUGAUAUCCCCGAUAAGCUACAAAUAUGUACAUAUACAUGAGUCAAAAUAAACACACACAAGAGGGAGCUUUCACAAAGGUUGCUUAGGAGAAGUCUCAGCAGUCGGUAGAGCCCCAGAAAGAGAAGGCACCGGAGGGGGGAUCAUUUGGAGCCUCAGUACUGGACAGAACCCUAGAAGGAGGAGGCAUCAGAGGUUGAUCAUUUGGAGCUUCAUUACGCGGUACAGCCCCAGAAGACGAAGGCAAUAAAUGCCUUUGGAACAAACCCACAAAUCUCUGAUGAUCAAGUAAAACCUGACCAUCAGUUUCCUUCAUCUGGUCAAGCUUCCUCUUCAUGUUUGUAGCAUAGUCAUGUGCGAGCCGGUGCAACUGUUUAUUCUCAUGCUUGAGCCCUCUAAUCUCCUGUUUGAGACUCAUCACUUCAGCCGCCAAUGAUUCAACUUGGCGGGUUCGAGCAAAUAGGCGUUGUGCCAUAUUAGACACAGAACCUGCACACUGAACACUGAGAGCCAGCGAAUCCUUAACAGCUAACUCAUCAGACCGUUUGGAAAGUAGUCUGUUAUCUUUGGGAGUGAGAAGGUUCCUGGCCACCACCGCAGCGGUCAUAUCAUUCUUCAUCACGGAAUCCCCAACGGUAAGAGGACCAGUUGGGGAGACGAAGGAUGGGCGCCAUAUGUUGUCUGGAGAAGGCGGGGCUGCCUCUUCAACAAGGUUCAAGUCAAAACGACGGUCGGAGGGGCCAGACAUUUUCAAAGGUGUUGAAGAGAGAAGAGGUCGGACAAAUCAAGAUCUUAGAAGUGCAAGAAUGAAGCUUCUACUAGUGGAGAUUCAAGUGUGCUUUGGAACUUAAUGCCAGCCCCUAUAAAAAUCUGCACUCGACGGAGCUUCAGAAAUCAAAGAGGCGCCUGCUCAGAAAUCGAAGAGGCGUUUGCUUUCUCAAAAGUUGGGCUGCUUAGAGAUCACGAGGGUUGAUCUCAGAAAUCGAAGAGCCGUUUGCUUUCUCAAAAGUUGGGCUGCUCAAAGACCACGAAGGCCGAUCUCAGAAAUCGAAGAGGCGCUCGCUUUCUCAAAAGCUGGGCUCCCUAGAGACCACGAGGGCCGAUCUCAGAAAUCGAAGAGGCACCUACUUUUCCAGCCUUGUCAGCACCUGUCACAUGCACACUCAGCUUUGCGGAAAUUAUGGGCAUUCUGUCAAAGACUUCUGGGGAAGUAGAAAACACAUGAAUCUUACUGUUCAAUCACCCACUUCCCACACGCAACAAUAGCUCAUGGGUACCACAGAUAACUUUGCCAAAGUUCUCUGCCAAAGUUGAGCACGUGAAGCUUGCAGCUCCCACUACAUCGCUCUGACCAAGAAGGGUAAAAGAAUAGCAAAGAAACAGCACUAACAAAGUUUAGACCCAUAAAUUUUGAAGGUCUAGCUACCAUAUUAUUACCCACAAUGGUAAAGGAACAGUACCACUGUUGGAUAAUUGGAAAGUCCAUGUAUGUCAACCUCUGUGCUUCGUGGCAAGGUAGACUAGCAAACAUGCCCAACCUUUACUCACAUUCGAGAAAACACUCCCAAUAAGAUUGCUUGCUCCAAAAUCGAAGAGGUACCGUCCUCCGAAUCUAAAGAGCCAGACUCCCAACAUGACUACUUUCUUAAAAAUCGAAGAGAGGGUAAAGGAACAGUACCAUUGCUGGAUAAUUGGAAAGUCCCUGUGUGUCAACCUCUGUGCUUCGUGGCAAGGUAGACUAGCAAACAUGCCCAACCUUUACUCACAUUCGAGAAAACACUCCCAACAAGAUUGCUUGCUCCAAAAUCGAAGAGGCACCGCCCUCCGAAUCUCGAGAGCCACUCUCCCAACAUGAUUACUUUCUCAAAAAUCGAAGAGACACUGCUCUCCGAAUCUCGAGAGCCAGACCCCCAGCAUGAUUGCUUUCUCAAAAAUCGGUGAGGCACCGUUCUCCGAAUCAAUCGAAGAGGCGCUCGCUUUCUCAAAAGCUGGGCUGCUCAGAGACCACAAGGGCCGAUCUCAGAAAUCAAAGAGGCACCUACUUUUCUAGCCUUGUCAGCACCUGUCACACGCACACACUCAGCUUUGCAGAAAUUAUGGGCAUUCUGUCGAAGACUUCUGGUGAAGUAGAAAGCACAUGAAUCUUACUGUUCAAUCACCCACUUCCCACACGCAACAAUAACUCAUGGGUACCACAAAUCACUUUGCCAAAGUUCUCUGCCAAAGUUGAGCACGUGAAGCUUGCAGCUCCCACUACAUCGCUCUGACCAAGAAAGGUAAAAGAAUAGCAAAGAAACAGCACUAACAAAGUUUAGACACAUAAAUUUUGAAGGUCUAGCUACCAUAUUAUUACCCACAAGGGUAAAGGAACAGUACCACUGCUGGAUAAUUGGAAAGUCCCUGUGUGUCAACCUCUGUGCUUCGUGGCAAGGUAGACUAGCAAACAUGCCCAACCUUUACUCACAUUCGAGAAAACAGUCCCAACAAGAUUGCUUGCUCCAAAAUCGAAGAGGCACCGUCCUCCGAAUCUCGAGAGCCAGACUCCCAACAUGACUACUUUCUCAAAAUCGAAGAGAGGGUAAAGGAACAGUACCAUUGCUGGAUAAUUGGAAAGUCCCUAUGUGUCAACCUUUGUGCUUCGUGGCAAGGUAGACUAGCAAACAUGUCCAACCUUUACUCACAUUCGAGACAACACUCCCAACAAGAUUGCUUGCUCCAAAAUCGAAGAGGCACCGCCCUCCGAAUCUCGAGAGCCAGACUCCCAACAUGAUUACUUCCUCAAAAAUCGAAGAGACACUGCUCUCCGAAUCUCGAGAGUCAGACCCCCAACAUGAUUGCUUUCUCAAAAAUCGAAGAGGCAUCGUUCUCCGAAUCUCGAGAGCCAGAUACCACAGACCACUUUUUCAAAGUGCUCUGACAGAGUUAAAACAUGUGAAACUGGCAGCUCCCACUACCGUGCUAUGACCAAGCAGGGUAAAAGAAUAGCAUUACUACUUGUUGUUAGGGAGACUCCUAUAUAUGUCGACCUCCAUCCCCAACGGACAGGCAGACCUGCAAAAAAUGCUCAACCAACCCUUCAUCAUAUCUGAGAGGGCACUCCCAACAAAGCCUUUCGAAAUAUUCAGCUUUCUUUCCCCCCGAUAAUACCUCUGCAAACAAGCUAUACUAGAGCAAGAAUAUCUCAUAUCAUCAGGGUUAAAAGCAAGAGUAUCCCAUAUCAUGCUUUUUCCCUGUUUUUUCUUUUGGCCUUGUUUUUACCUGCAAGACAAGGAGAAAGAGAGCAAUCAGUCAGCACUUGGAAUCAAGCUUCCAGCCAGGAACUGACUGCCUGGAACCCCUUACCUGAUUACUUACCUGGCAUUGCUCUCGAGUACUCAUCUUCAACAUCUUAUGUUUCCAGGGAAGAUUCCGCAUCUGCUUGAGGAACAGAUAGGGCAAGUGCGAAGGAUACAAGGAAGCAUGUGGAGACAAGCGUAACAGCACACGUGCCGAUACAUCCAUUACUCUGUCAAAAGCAAAAGUAUCCCAUAUCAGCAGGGUGGAACGUACUCUAGAUUUGAUGGACUUGUUUUGACCCUCAAAUUCUUCAGUCGGCCUUAUACUCUGGAGGAAACCAGAAAAACCCUCCAGCUCAGUUCAAGAAUAAGCCUGUGGAAAGUUACUUCUUCAAAAGCAAAAGUAUCUCAUAUCAUCUCUUCUCAUUUUUCUUCUCUUUAUCCUUCAUGCUGCUGCAAGAUGGGGAGAAGGUGAACAAUCAGUCGGAGCUCUGAUUGCUUACAUUGUCUGUCACCUCUUUCAGCAGACCCCCUAGCUCGGCGACUUGGGGGACUCCUACUACAUGGUUUGUAUCGCGCUUGACCAAGCCUGAAACUACAAGUAAGCUUCAAGUGAAAUUGAUACAUUACCUUGUGCAUCUCCACCAGUUAAAGAUACCACCCCUGGAUGGAGGAAGAGUACUUCCAGAGAAGAUGCCACAUCUACCUAUGAGACAGAUAAGGCAAGUCAAGACGACACCACACUCCGAUACUUAGAAGUUUCGUGAUUACGAGAUCAUUCUCCCACAAUAUUUCCUAAUGUCAUUUGUACUAAAUCAUUCACUCGUACUCACUAAAGGAGAGCUUGAACCUAUGUACUUGUGUAAACCCUUCACAAUUAAUGAGAACUCUUCUAUUCCGUGGACGUAGCCAAUCUGGGUGAACCACGUACAUCUUGUGUUUGCUUUCCUAUCUCUAUCCAUUUAUAUACUUAUCCACACUAAUGACCGGAGCAAUCUAGCGAAGAUCACAAAAAGCGACCGAUUUUGUUACCUAUGAUCUAUCUUGCAAGAGAACGGAGAAUUAGAUGGAGAUCUCAACCAUAGAAUACGAGCUGGAUGGAAAGAGUGCAUCCAGCGUGUUGUGUGACCGUCGUAGGCCACUGAAGCUCAAGGGAAAAUUUUUUAUAGGACGGCAAUAAGGCCAGCGAUGUUGUAUGGCAGAGAAUGUUGGGUGGUGAAGCAUCAACACGUACACAAAAUGGGUGUAGCGGAGAUGAGGAUGCUUCGUGGGAUGUGUGGGCACACGAGAAAGGAUAAGAUUGGGAAUGAGGAUAUCCGAGGUACAGUAGGAGUAGCCGAAAUUGUAGGAAAGAUGAGAGAAAAUCGGCUCUGGUGAUUUGGACAUGUGCAAAGAAGGCCGACUGACGCUCCGGUUCGAAGAUGUGACUACGGGACAGAGGUUCAGGGCCGAAGGGGUAGAGGAAGACCUAGGAAAACUUUGGAAGAGACUCUAAGAAAAGACUUAGAGUACUUGGAUCUAACGGAGGACAUGACACAAAACCGAGCGCAAUGGCGUUCUAGGAUUCAUAUAGCCGACCCCACUUAGUGGGAAAAGGCUUUGUUGUUGUUGUUGUUUGGUAUGAAAUGUAUUUCAGUAACAGGAAUUUUCUAUAACUUGCCCUAUUUUUUUAUUGUGUAUUGUAGGCAGAGUAUAUAUUGGAUCUGCAGAAGCAGCUUACUCUACUUGACGGGGAAGCUAGGAAGGAUUCAAAUGGUAGCCUUACUGAGGAAACCAUAACAAGCAUGGCCCCCGUAGAUAAGGUCUGCAUUUUGAUCUUCUUUUGCUUUACAUCGUAUUUUAUUUGAUUUAUUCUCUGUUUGGUUAUUAGCCAUUUUCGAUAAGUUUCUAUUUGAUAUCAACUAUUUUCAUAUGUACGAUUUCAACUUAACUUUGCAGUUUCUGGUGAUAGUUUUACAAAUGUAUCUUCAUUACAUAGUUUUUUAUUUGAUCUCUAAUUGAUUCAUGAAAUUAAGAUCUGUAUGGUAAGCUAAACCGAGUAUUUCAUGUUGGCAGCUGCGGUCGCAGUUGGAUGAUGCAGUGGCCAGCGAAUGCCCAUUUUGUGGGGACUUGAUGAUCCGUGAGAUCUCUCUACCUUUCAUCCUGCCUGUGGAGCAACAGCAGAAUACUUCAUGGGAGAUAAAGUCGCAUAAUCUUGGACACCAGAGGAGCCUGGGUUUAUCUUUAUGAUCGUCUUUCUCUUCGUACGGGUGCCAUGUGAGUUGUGUACUCCUACAGAGAUGUCUCGUUGCCAGUUGCGGAACUUUGUUAUCUUUCUUCUUUUGUAACAAUUUGUUUGGCGUCAUAAGGGCUGUUAACAGUGCCCUUGUUGCUUGUAUAAUUUUUUUUGUACCCUUCGGGCGGGCAUUUCCGCUUCCUCAUCUUUAUCAGGGGAUUUUGGGGCCCUACACGGUAUGUAGUUACAAAAUGGUUCCAAGUUGUUGUCAAAGAAACACUAUUUGCAGUGAUUACUUUUCAAUGGCUUUAAACACCGAGACUGUAUUGUAAGUGAACCAUGCUGACUAUUUUUGGAAAGAGAUUUGAAUUUUCGAGCUCUUAAUUAUUGGACCACUGUAGUAAAUUUGCAAAUUUGGGUUAGAUCAGUCGGCCAAGAGUUAUGUGCCCGCUCCCUUACGCCGCCAUCCAAGUUCGACUUGCCCUCUAUAGAGUACUUUAAAAUACUCUUGUUACAAAAUAAAAUGGUAGAUUUGAAAAUCUAUAUAUAAAGCCAAUGAAAAAGAUGAAUAGUGAUUUUGGUGUCACCACAAAAAUAUUUGGACAAAAAUGCCCCCAAGAUAAAAAACUUCAAAGGCAUUCCAAAAUAAUGCAUCAAAUAAGGUAGGGGCAUUUUCAUCAUUUUAACAGUAUUUUUUUUAAUAAUUAAUUUUUUUUGUGGUUUGUUUGUUUUUGUUUUGAAUUAGUAUCUCACAAUAGGUUGGCAAUAAUGUAAUUCAAUUUCUCUAUUUUUAAACAAGUUCAAAACAUCUUAAGAGGUGUGUAAUGUCUGUUAUAAAAAAAUGUAUUUCGCACGCGGAUAAUAAUGUGAUUAAAUUAGUUGUCAAAUGAUUUUUUUUAUUUUUUUUAACAAACGAUAUUAUCUACAUUAAGGGGGAAGGGGGUGGGCUUAGUCUUACAAUGAGCUAGCAAUAAUGUGAUUUAAUCAGUUGUUUUUUAAAUAUUAUUUUCUCUAUUUUUAAACAUAUUCAAAACAUCUUAAGAGGCGUGUAAUGCCGGUUAUAGAAAAUGUCUUUCUCACGCGGAUAAUAAUGUGAUUAAAUUAGUUGUCAAAUGAUUGUUUUUUCUUAUAACAAACGAUAUUAUUUAUACUAAGGAGGAGGGGUUUACUUAGCCUCACAACAGGCUAGCAAUAAUGUGAUUCAAUCCGUUGUUUAUUAAAUAUUAUUUUCUUUAUUUUUAAACACGUUCAAAACAUCUUAAGAGGCGUGUAAUGCCGGUUAUUGACACACCCCGACCUGGAAUGUCCACUAGGACUCCGAAUCGAGCUGUGAUGGCCGACACCAGGAAGGUGACGAAGCCAUAAAAUGUAGUGAUGUGGAAAAUGUGAAUAAAUUUAAACCUAAAAGUGCCUAAAUACAAGAGUGUGAUGUGAGCAGGAAUGAACCCAUUUAUAAUAAGGCUUAUACCCUCAAAGGUAGCCACCUAUACUGAGAUUUGCCAAGAAUCCUCGUCGAUAAGAAAGCUCAGCUACUAAAACCAGGAGGGGCGAAAAACAAGGGUGUGUGGGCCUGAAAAUAAAGUUUUAUAAAAACCUUUCUGAAAACAUUGUAACCCAUCGCUGUAAAACAAGUAUAGUUUCCUGAAAAUCAUACUACGUAUAAGUAUGAAAUCAAAUGCAUGCCAACAAUAAAUCUAGAAAUAUGCCACAUCAGAAUAUCUCAAUGGCAAUAUAAAUAUAAUUAUGUGCUCAAUAAUUUAUAAUAGCACGCAAGUCGGAGUCACUUAAUGUGACCUGUAUGACUGCACCUAUUGCUCAUCAAUCUAUGCUAACACACGAGUCAGAGUCACCUGGUGUGACCUGUACGACAAGCUAGGUGUGAUAAUAUACGUUAUAGUGCUACGAUCACGUGAAAGCUAGAGCUAUGCGUGGGUCGCCUACGAGUAGGAGUCACCUAAUGCGACUUAUACGAUAGGCUAGCACCUAACUUGGAUCUAAGGUGAGCAUGUGGUGCGGGAGGUGAACAAUCACGUGAAGACUGGCCCUGGCCCAAGACGGGAGCACUAACAUCGGGGUGCAGCAAUGAUGAGUGAACUAUAUGAGUAUAAGCAUGCCAUAAUGAUGCAAUAACUCCAAUCAACAUAAUAAACUUACCUGAACUUACCUGCACAUCUCGUAGGAUCAUCUUGGUAUUUCACAAUAGUGCAAACAUUUCUCAUAACAUAAUUUAAUAAUGGCAUGAAGUACAUAAAUCAAUUCAAAAGAAUUUGUGGAAACUAUCAACCAUAUAUAUAUAUAUAUAUACUAUAAAAAAAGAAAAGACCCACUCACCUGAGGUCCGCGCUACAACUCUCUAGCACGAAUAUCGAGGGUCACAAACAAUCAACGCCUAGAACAAUUAUCAAAUCACAUCUCAGAAUUCUUAUCGAUAGAACACGUAACUUACAUAAACACAUCCCCAAGGACGUUCUAGAAUGGUUUGAAACCCAUUGACCAAAAGUCAAUUGUCGAUCAAAGGUCUGCGAUAGGGUCCAUAACCCUACGUAACUCAAUUCGGAAAGAUCCAUAUGUCAGAUUCCCAAUCCGUAAGUUUCUAAGAUCCUCAAAUAUUACGUAUUAUAAUGUACUAAAGUUUGGUGAUGAUCCAACGGUCAGAUCGUCAAUUCAUAUAAGGAUCAAAUGUGGUCUCUAUCAAAACUAUGUCCAAACGAUGAGAUUUCAUCAAUCGGACUUCACAUAUAGAAUUGGGGUAUCAAAUUUAGCCUAGGAAGGUCAAGGGGUGCCUCGGUCCACGCACCGCUGCACACAGCGGUCGGCCUCCCUGACUCGCCGGAAAAAUCAACUAUUUCUAAAAAUUCUCAAAUUUUACAAGAAUGAAUAUCUCAAUGAUUAGAGCAAGUUUUAUACCUUUGUUCAAGUCCAAUUUGACCGGGAAAAGCUUCAAAUCGUUACGAACCCACCAGAACCCUAGAAAUUGGUGGCUUUCGAUUCGACUUCUCCGGUGUUCCGCCGCCUCCAAAGUUGUUUGGGCUUUGUUCUAGGCCUCAAGGGAAGUCUAAUGAUGGUGGUAAUUGGAGGGAAUCAUUUCACAAAUGGUGGUUCUCGCCAUGACUCAUUUGGAACCCCCACGAGUUCGAUGGUUUCGUUCUCCUCAAAUCGGGGGUUAAAGGAACUGGGUUUUGGUUGGAAAUGGAAGAGGUGUUGAUAUUGAGUGACUUCCAGGUGGUGGGUGACUGUGAAUCGCUAGAAAAACCGCCCAAAAAGGUGUCGGAAAACAUGGUGGAAGUCGGCCGGGUUGCACACGGGAAACGGGUCAAGGUGGAUCUGGGUUGACUGCAUCUCCCACUCUCUCCUUUCCCUCCUGACCCUUUGUCUGAUGGGUCAGACUCUCAUCCCUCAUCUCCUGAUUUGUUCCUCAUCUCCCUCUCUUCUCUUCCGAUUGGGCAAUUAUGCCCAAUCCCUUCUCCUCUAUUUCUCCUCCUCCUUGAUUCCUUUCUUUUCCCUUCUCAACCACACACGUGGCAUACCAAUUUAUUAGUAUAAAAUAGUAUACUAUAAUUAAAAUAGUGAUUCCUUCAAAAUACUUUCGGAUUCGUAGCUCUAUAAAACUUUAAUCGUACAUCUGAUUUUGAUUCCGCUUUCGCCUACGCGUUCGUAUCGUUGAGUACUUCAAGAAUACACUAAAAGAAUAUUUCGUACGUCUCAUUAUAUGUUGGUCAACGAAAGUCAAUACCAUCGCCUCUAGGACAUUUUUGUAAAUUCACAUUUUAAAAAUAAAUAAAAACGUAAAAUUAGGGACGGGUUGUCAAAGUUAUAAAAAAGGUUUUUUGCAUGUGAAUAAUAAUGUGAUUAAAUUACAUUAAAUUAGUUGUCAAAUGAUUGGUUUUUUUUUUUUUUAACAAACGAUAUUAUCUACGCUAAGGGGGAUGUGGUGUGUUUAGCCUCACAAUAGACUAGCAAUAAUGUGAUCCAAUCAGUUGUUUAUUAAAUAUUAUUUUCUCUAUUUUUAAACUCGUUCAAAACAUCUUAAGAUGCGUGUAAUGCCGGUUAUAGAAAAGGUCUUUCGCACACGAAUAAUAAUGUGAUUAAAUUAGUUGUCGAAUGAUUGUUUUUUUUUUUUUAACAAACGAUAUUAUCUACACUAAGAGAGAGUGGGUGGUCUUAACCUCACAAUGGGCUAGCAAUAAUGUGAUUCAAUCAAUUGUUUAUUAAAUAUUAUUUUCUCUAUUCUUAAUGUAAAUUCUAUAGAGACCGAUUUUAUUAUGUGAAUUCAGCUGCUUGAAUUAGUUUAUGAAGGGUUUCUUCUAGCAUGAUCUAAGAUUAUUCAUUUACUUCAAAUAUUUGACUUUCCUUUUGUCAAUUUACGCAUAUAAAUACAUUUAAAACGUGUAAAUCGUGCGUAGCACGCCUUGAUUCAAAAAAUGUCUUAUGCAUGCACAUGAGCACGUUCAAGAAGGCUAGUAAAUAAAUAAAUUGGAUGGUGGAUACUGAUCAAAUCGCUAGAUGCCUACACUUACGUCCGCAUGGUAUAUUUCUACGUCAAGUUGGUUUGCUACCCGCUUAUCAAAGGUGGGGUCUGUCCUCUCUGAGGAUUUAGGGCAUGCUUAAUGAAUCACUGCUCGACUUAUUCAUCAUACAAUCAAUUACUUUAAUACCCUAUUUAAUUACAAGCACACACUACUAGAUUUGACAGCAUAAUAUACUUCUAGUGUAAACAACAAUAUUUUAACCCAUUUAGUGGAGUCGGUUGUAUGAAUUUUAGAAAGCCACGAUUCACCAACAAUUUCUUCUUAUUUAUUUAUUUCUUUAUCAAAAGUGAAAAACUAUUAAAAAAAAAAGAAGAAAAAAAGUGGAAUCUGGAAAUAACAUUGAUGCUUGCUUGUGCUCUUUUUAUUCAUGCAUUUAUUUUCUCUUGUUGAACUCGAAGUCUCCCCUCUUCAGGCUCCCAGCGCUUAUUUUGUUGUUCCAGCAAUACAAAGCCAUUGACCAACAAAUAUGGUGUUGCAGUUGAUGUUAGGGUUGAUUGCAAAGAAGUGAGCAGUCAGCUUGAACUUGCCCAUGAUUCCAUUGCAAGUAUCCCCAGCUUCUACCCCAUAAACUUUUUGGCAUCUUAGAGUUGCUUUCACACCCCCAAACCCAACUACACCAUCAAAUAUUCAUAAAACAAAAAUCAACCACAAAACGCAACAUAUCAAUAUCCCAUAUAAUCUCACAAAAGAAAUUGUUAUUAGCUCUCCUAAAAUGUCAAUUUGCAUUUUUCCCUCAUUUUGUAAUUUACAUUGGCAAGGGUACGGUGUUUGCUUGAUGACUUGCUAGAGUGCCAAUAACAACUCCCUAAAAAAUGAGAAGAUUUCAUUUCAUUUUAUUUUACAAAAAACGAUGAUACGUGAUUACCAUUCAUAAUUGGACAAUUAAAAUUCUAAUACCAUAAAGCUUACUGUCGCCUAUUUGUUUGCCCUCAGCAAAGGAGAUGAUGAGAAAAAGGCAGAGCAUGAGAACCAAAUUAAGGGACUUGUUAGAUAUAACCACAGCCAUUUUUGCUUUAUUAUGUGAUUGUAUAUUAGUCUUAGAAAAUAAGUGUGUUUAGUGCGUUGGGUGAUGAUUUGAUGAGAGUGUAAAGCCAUAUUUAUAGGUCGAGAUUGUAUGCCUAGUUGGAAGCCGGCUUGUCCAACGUCCAUUUUCUAGUGUAUUUGCUUUGGUUUCCCAAAGUAAUUAUAUUUUUGUUUAAUCAGUUUUUGUGAUCGUGAACAACAUGUUGUGUGUUUCAGGAAUAUUGCGCAUUGGGCAGGCUUAGCUGCCUCUGUAUAAUUUGCUAUGUCCUGCUCGCCCAUUUGUCUCAUUUUCUUGUUGUUUGCUAAGAUCUUUCUUUCUGAAAGGACCUACAACAAGAAGGAUUUAGGCUUAUUUUUUAGGGAACUUUAACGAAAAGCAUCCGAUACUGUUCACUUUAACGAAAAACCACAUUUUUACACUAAAAAGUCAAUCCUGGUACUAUUCACUUUACCAUUUAUUUUGUCCUUAUCAUUAAAACUCAAAGUUUUCAAGCCAUUUUUAUUAGUUUUCCUUAUUUUUUAUCUACGCCUUCUGGAACUCGAUUUUAAUCUCCUUCUAACUUAAAAGUCGUCACUUUAUUUUCUAGAACUCAAAGUUCGUUUCACUUUGCUCCCUGGAACUCGAUUUGAUUCCAUUUUGCUCCCUGAAACUUGAAAGUCGUCUUUAUAAAACUCAAAAUUCGCUCCACAUUGCCUUAAAUCUGUUAAUUUCUUACGUGGGUUUGAUUUAGGUGCGCCAAGGUAAUCAAUUUUUUUUUUCAUCUCUUUAAUUUCUUUUAAACUUAUAUUCUCUGAUUGUUAAAUGUUAACAUAACAUGGAGAUUUAUAAUUAAAUUUAUUGCACAUGUAGCAUAGUCUUUAUAGGCGUUGGAUCCCACAUAUGUUUUAGGAGGUGACCUACAAGUUUUUGGGAGAAGAGAGAGUCCACGGACUAAAUUUUAAGUUUCAGACAUUAAAGUGAUGACUUUUGAGUUAAGGUGAACAAAAUAAAAUCAAAAUAGGGUUACAGGGAGCAUAGCUAAAAUAAGCCAAGGAGUCAUCGUUGGUGUAUAUUAUCAUUGUAGUAUUUUGUGACAAUGAUGGUUUUUUUUUUUUUAUACAUAAUAUUUCAUGAUUGACAAGUAAUAUCAAGGUGGCACCCCUGUGCUACCUACCUUGGUCUCCUACAACUAUAUUACCCAUUAUUCUCAUUUUUUUUACAUGAAAAGGUGGGAUCUUAAUUUAAGGAAUAUUGUUCAGAUAGGAUGCUUGCAUGCAUUUUUUAGAUGAUGAUUGUAAUAGCAUUCACAUGAUACUGAUUAUCAUUGUUUACAUCUGACAACACCUAAUUUGAUCCUAUGUUUAAUGCUUUUUCAUCCUGUGAUGGGAUGCUUUUACGGAAGGAUACUACUAGAGAUGUUGAAUUAAUUUUCUGCGUUAUAGUACUCUUAUAUAGAAGAGGGGAACACUAUUCAUGUCAAUCCAUGGAUAUAUAUAAUAUAAGGUGAUGAAACAAAAUCAUCACAGGCAACAACACUAUAUAUUGGAGAAAAGGAAAUCGUAGAGAGGACAUGAAAGCUAGAGUAUAACUAGCUCAUCCUCUUUAUUUAUACAAUUAUAUAAUUAAUUCUCUCAACUGAACACGGUCAAUCGAUUAAUUGCAGCUUAAUUCACAGUCCCUUCGGUACACAGCCAUUGACCCACAAAGAAGUUAUCGCAGUUGAGAUUAGGGUUGAUAGAAAGGAAGGAAUCAGAAGUCAGUUUGAACUUUUGAAUAACAGAUUCGCAUGUAUCACCCUCCUCAGCACCAUAAACUGACUCGCAAACUACAUCUCCCUUCUCUCCGAAUCCAACUGCUACAUUAAUAAUGCAUGUAUCAGAUAUGAGAACUCAUAUAGUUUUUUUACUAAUAUUUAUGUAUAUACGAAACUAAGAAAAACAAGCAUAUAUGAAUAAAUAUUCUUACUGCCGAGCUGUCUACUCUCAGCAAUGGAAAUCAUCAGAACAAGAGAGAGCACUAGAAUCAAGUUAAGAGUUGUUGCCAUUUUGUUGUUAGCCUUAGCCAUCUCUGCCUUCUUAAUCUCUAUGAUUAGUAUUAAGUAAAAACUGUGGUUUCUCUGUUGGUUGUGCUUUAGAGAGUGGCCAGGAGUGUGUAUUUAUAGAUAGAGAAAAGCCCACAAAACAAAGUUUGUGAUCGAGAGCUAGGAGCAUUGUAAACUUGAUUCUUGGUUCAAGAGGGACGGCUUCUACAUUGUUCAAGAGGGCCGGUUCGGUUAACAUUGAGCAGAACACAUGCAUGAAAGAAAAAAAAAAUAUUGAAAAAGGGCUCAUUGCAGGCCAUGGUAUACUUUUGUGGAUCAAUGUUGCAUGAGACAAUUACCAGCCGUCUUACAUUUUUUUGGUAUUUUCAUAGUUUAUUUGAUAGUAUGCCUAAAAAAAUAAGAAAGUAAAUUAUAUAACUUGGGGACACUGAUAAAGUUACAUGAGUGAUCACCAUCAAUUUUGCAUGAUUAAACUUCAGUCUGUGACUCGGUUAAGUAAAAUUAACAUGAUAUUCAUCAUCUCCAUCCUUUAUGUGAUAGCAUCCUAGCUAUAUAUAGGUUAGGUUUGGUUAGUUUAUUCGACAACAUACUAAAUGAGUAAUUAAAUCCCAUAGUGUGAAUUUAAUUGUCCAAGCGUUAAAAAAAAAAAAAAAUGUCUCCAUAUGAAAGAUAAUUGCCUAAAAAUAUUAUGUAGGGGUAUUGGAAGCAACUAAAGCACACAAGUAACGGUGUUUCGUAUUCUUUCUUUCUAUACGAUUCUCAAAUAUCAAAGUAGUUGAUUUUAAUGAUCUGAGAAUCAAAAGGUGAAGACAAGUUAAGAAGUGAAGAUUUGUUAGUGCUACUCUUAACUAAACUUUUUCUUAUGUCAUUGAUAAUUUGGGGAUGUUUAUGCAUUCUUUGCACAAUUUUAAUAGUGUCUAAUUUGUAACCAAGUAUUCUAUUGAUUUCAGUCUCGAUUUAUAAUUUGAAAAUUUUUCUUGUACUCAGAGAUAAAACUCAAAAAAUUAAAAAUGACAAAAUAGAAAAUUUUUCUGGUAUUUUGCUAAUCGGAGCUAAAGCUCAAAAAAUUAAAAAUAUAAAAAAUGCUCAGAAAAAAUAUGUUCGUAAAACAGAAACAUAUACGUACUCCAAUGAAUGUGUACUAGUCCAUUAGAAACGGCGAUAAAGCUCAGAAAAUUAAAAAUGCCAAGCACCCUAUACCAUCAGAAAUGAUCAGAAAAAAUAUAUUCGUAAAACUAAACGUAUUUUAAUGGAUCAUAAAACGUAUAGUUCAUUCGAAUUAGAAUAACUUGUAAAAUAAUCCAUUACUAUAUAGUUAAAAUAGUCAAUUUAUUUUGAUCGAGCCGCCUAAUUUCAUUCCCAGAUGUCCAAUGGAGUGGCGUAUUUAAACUAAUUCAGUUCCUAAUUUUACUUUCAUUUUAGUAAAUAAUAAACACAAUAAAUUGAAAUACCAAAACCGUUCUCUUAUUCAUGGUUUUCAUUUUAUCUCCACAAUUUUGUACAAUUUACAUAAAUGAUUCCAUCCGAGUUAACUCAAUAAUUGAGUUGUCCGUUUCAACAAUCUGUUUCCAUGACGCUCGUCAACGGAGCAACUCCCGAGUCCCGAUCAACUCUCUUAACUUUUUUCCGCCGGAAAAAUUCCGAUCUCCGGCGACCUUAGCCCUGACCCCAACAGUUCAAGUACAUGACUUUUUGGAUAGACUCGUCCGCGUGGUUCCGUCUCUCCUCGCAAUUCUCCAACACUCCGGAGAAAUCCGAUCCAACUGCGCCGGAUAACGGUCGGAGAUCCGAUGAUGCGUCGCCGCCAGCGAAAGAUGAUCGCCUCCGGUUUAGCUGAAAGGAUUUUAGGCCGGAUUUCCACUUAUGUCCAUGGUCGACGGGGCCUUGCACCACGGCCACGCUCGCCGCCAUCCACACUCGACUCAGUUGAUUCAUUGUACAAAGAUCUCUUAACUUGAAAAUUGAAGGUGAGAUGAUCGUUUUGUUUGAUGAUGUGUGUUCUUGAGUGGUUGGUUUCAGCGUUGUAUUGAGGAGACAAAGGCGUUUAUUUAUAGGCAAAGGUGAAAGGUGGGAAGUGAUACUGCGUUUCGUGAAACCGGUGGUUUAUGGGUGAGUGGGAAGUGGUUUUGGGAGAAAAGUGGAGACUUAGUUAUGCGUGGUGGCCCAUUUGUUUUGGCGUUUUCUCUUUUGCUUUGGAGGUAUCAAUGAUUCCUAAAAUUUAAUAAUUGAUUGUGUCCAAACUUCACAUUGUGAUUUUAUCCUCAGUUUCUCGCCGAUUGUGAUUUGUGAUGUGAUGUUAAUAUUCUUUUUUGUUUUUGCAAAUUGAUGUUAAUUAUGUUCAUUCAGUUUAGGAGAUUAUUUAUUGUUGAUUGUGAGCUUAAUUUUCAGAAUCUCCAAUACGUGUGUUUAACUAACGAACAAACUUCGUAAUUGAAAUUGUUAUAUUCUUAAUUAUUAUUUAAAGAUUAUAUAUAUAAAAAAAUAUUUAAUUUGGAGAUGGUUUAGUUAUUCAUGUGUGUCAACUAAUCGAUAGUUGGAUAACAAAUAGUGUUCUCAUGAUGAGUCAUCUAUUUGUUGAUGUAUAUGAAUUGCUAAAUGUUCUCUUAAGUGACUGAUCAUUGACAAAUAUAAUUUUUAGAUAAUGAUAUUGAAAAUUAACGUCCAAUUAUAAAGUUGAACUAGUAAAUAUACGUUAAUUAUACCUGGGAGAUAAGUAGGUACCCCUGGAAGAACACAAGCAUUAUCCUUUCAAAAUGAAUAGUACUUGUGUUUUACAUGUGAGGGAACGUGCUUGUCCUCCGCAAAAAAUCAACGUAGUUUUAUUAAACGUAUUUCAUAAUCAAAAUUGUUCAUACUUAGUAAUAACAAUAUUAUGUGAGCCAAAUCAAUUGCGUGUGGGUUAUAGACGACUGUGAGUAGUACAAAUAAUUGAGCUACUAUCACAGACACGAAGCAUGGUGAUUAGAAGAUCUGUGUGCUUUUAAAACGAAAGUCGAAAUUGUAUAAACGAUAAUAAUUGCAUCCCUCUAUGAGGAGGAUGUACAUAUUCUUUCAUUUACAAAUAAUGUGCUUAAUUUAUCGAAAUCAUUCAAUUUAUUAAGUUUCAUUAAAGAUCACAUGUACUAAAGUCACUUAAAUUGAAGAAUGUUUACUCAUAUAAACGUAUCAUAUAAAUAGAUAAUUCAUUAUGGAUAUGAUACUUUAAACCCACACGUCUUUUUGUUAUGUAAAUUUGGAUGAUUAAUUAAUAUAUGAUUGAAAUAAUUUUUUAUGGUGAUUUUCAAAUAAAAAUUAAGAAAUUGAACAGUUUUGAUUAUAAAAUUUGUACAACCAUGAUAUUUGUUAGGUCUUGUGCUCCUCACCGAGGGACUUACUUGUCCUUUUCCACUUAUGUUUAACAAAACUUUAGAAUCCAAAUACCAUAAUCAUAACUGUUUCUUCUCUUUGUCAUUAUAUUUGUAAGUAAUUAUAUUUAAAUUAGAGAUCUUUCAUCCAUUUAUAUGCAUAAAACAAAUGAAACGUUCAUCAUGAGAAUACUACUAGUUACCAAACAGUUGAUUAGUUUAACAUAUCUGGAUAACUAAACGAUCUCUAAAUUGAAUAAUUGUUUUUCAUAUAUGAUUUGUAGAUGAUGAAAAAAAAAGAAUGAUUUCAAUUAUGAUAUGUGGAUUGUAAUAAUUCAUUAAUUGUUCGUGAUAAAACAAGUAAAUUCUCGUGAUAAAACAAGUAAAUUCUCGUGGAGAGACAUAAGCAUUAUCGUUAAGAAAAUAUGAAAGAUAAAGCUAAGAUAAUUAAAUACUAGAUUGAGUACUCAAAGAAAAACUUUCUACUUUUAUGCAUUAAUAUUUUUUGCUACAAGUUGUAUCUGGAGAUAAACAUUUGAAUUCGGGACACCAUUCAUAACGUGUAACAAUCAUUAGAUUAUACUAUUCAUUAUCUUUUGAUUUAAUACAAACAUUGUUUAGACAAUACACUGUUCUUUAUUAGACUUUUCUAACAAGCUGGAUGAGAUCGAUCGCGAUAUGCAAUGAUGAAACCCUAGAAGACGAAAUGAAGAGAAAAAGAAUCUUUGUAGUAGCUAGAAGGCAGCCAAUGAGGGCAAACAGGUGUCGUGCUUAUCCGAACUUUCCCCUUCAAUCUCAUGACUCGUCGCUCGUGCAUCCCGCCAGUGCAAACACGUGUACGUACAACAUCGUUUCAUCGUCCCCUGCUACCCUCACGUCCUCUUUCAGCAUGUGGCUCGCCACUUGUCCUCCUCCCCUAGUUAUCCUAUAAGGAUUGUGAUUUUCACACGGCAUUUACUACUUUUCUCACAUCUCUUUUAAUUUUUAGUUAAUUGGUAUCGUACUAUUUAAUCUUUUAUAUAUACCCUUUCUACUUUUUUAUGGUAAUUAAUGAAAGAUUAAAUAGAGAGGGGUAUAUAUGAAAGAUUAAAUAGUUGGAUACCAAUUUAGUAAAAAAAUAAGAAGGGUGUGGGAAAAGUAGUUAAGGGUGUGUGAAAAUCACAACCCAUCCUAUAAAACCUCAGGGGUAGUUUCGUCUUUCCGAUGUGAUCGGAGAGUGGAUAAGGUUACUGAGGGAGAGGGACACGUGAGCAGGCAGUGCCGGCGGCCCUUUUGUGCGUUUUGGCGCCAUGGGUGGUCAUGCUCAUGGGGGCAUGCAUGGCCAUCACGUGCUUUGACGUGGGGUCUGUCGUCUCUAUUAUCCUCUGGUUUUAAAGCUUUUAAAAUGAAUAAUUUUUUGCUUUUGUUUUUAGUAUUCCGAUCUUUGAGCUUUUUGGACGGGUGAGAUUUCAUGCAGCGCGAACGAACGGUGUCUGAUAUUAGUCGGUUGAUCAUCCGACGGUCGCUUCUUUUUCCCUUUUCUGUUGAAAACUCGACCAACAACAUUAAACUUUCAUUAUUGUUUUUGGAACAGAACUUUGUUUUUUCUUCAAAUUUUCAUUUCAUAUGUGUCGAGAAAAUUUUGUCUGGACCUCGUAUGAGUUGUAUUGUAUCAUGUCGAUAUAUUUACGAAUACAAAUUUUGGGAAAAUUUGGUUACGGUUGUACGGUAUCAUCAUCAAUCAUGUUUAUGCAAAGAAAACUUGCAUGAAAGGUAUGUAUAUUCAUAUUUAUACUGUUUAGAGAAUAUUUUAUUUUUUAGAGUUAAUGUCACAUUUUGAAUUUGCGAAUACGUAAUCCUAUCAACAUGAACCUUCUUGCUGAAGCAAAAUAAUUUCUAACUUCUGAAGCAUGUUUAUAGCUUCUUAACAUGAAACUUUUAUAUUUCCAUAUUGCAUCUUCAAGAUUAUCUCCUUCCCCCCUUCUAACUUCUCAAAAUGUUUCUAGGUCAAUAGUAUUUUUUUCAAUCACACAUCUAUUAAAAAAUAACCUCUUUGGAGUUGGAAAUUUUGUUUGGUCACAACUUUAUGACAAUAUAGAGGUUUUACCGUAUAAGUAAUUGGGUAUUGGCUAUUGGCUAUUUGUAAUCUCUAUUACAAUCGAAAAGUGUCUUCAAGUUUAAAUUCUCACCUCUGUUGAGAGGUGAUCAAAAGAGAGAUUUUUCUGAUCGAGUUAAGUUUAACUAGUUGACAUGGUAUGGUAUGAAUCUAUAUGAAAUAAUUGUAGAUACAUUGUUAGAGAGAAUGGGAUUGUGUACUUAAAUAUAGAAUGGUUGGCAAUAACCCUAUAUAUGUAUGUGGUGAUAAUGAAGAUAUAGAGAUACUAACUGACUGAAGUUGCCAAGUUAAUAGAGAAAUGACUUUUUUGAAUGUGGAGAGGAAGAGGAGAGGUGGCUUACGAUUGUAGGCAUUUCCUAGCACACACUAGGAUAAAUCGUGAAAUACAAAUGAAUUGUAACUCGAGUUGUAAACAUUACUAAAGUUUUAUAUUCGAUUUUGUCUCCGAAUAUCACUUAUUUUCAGUUGUUAGAUAUUCUUAGGGAUUGAGUUUAGGAUGAGAAGAUUCAUCAUGGCUGUCACAUACAAUGGAUGGGGAUCAAAUUACAACUUGCUUCCCACCAUGUACAUUCUGUUUAUUUUUAUCCUUACUGCAGAUGGGUCACCUGAUAUAGAGUGGGACUUCCAUUUCACUAAGGAGGUCCACCACUCAUCAGGCAUCAGUUUUGAGAAUAAUAAUUGUGUUUACUAUAUGCUCUCUAGUCAUUAUCAGAGUGGGGGAGCUGGUGGAAAUUGUACAAGAACUGGUCCCCAUUGUAGAGAUAUCUAUUAUAUCUACAGUUCCAAAAGUGCUUUUACAAUAAUCGCUUAUGGACUUUGUCAACAAAGAGAAAAUGAAAAGAAACCCAACUGUGCUGCUGCUGGUAUUGGAAACCAAAUGUUUUAGAUGUAUCCAUUCCUUUUUUUGAUAGAUUUUGCACUAAUGGAGAUUAUUGUUCUUAGUAUAAUCCAAUAAUGAAGAUGGUUAAUUGAUUUUUAAUUAUUUGUUGGUUUCAUUUGCUAUCACUUAAGCUUUACCAAUAAUAACUUUUUAAUUAUUUGUAAUUACAGGCAGGUAUUCCAUUGUUAAAGAAAAUUGUGAAAGCGAUAAUAUAUACUUAGUUGGGGAUUAAUUUAUACUAAUUAGAGGCAGGUACCUAUCCAUUGUCAUUAGCUUACAUUCCAAUUCAUUGUUAAGAUUAGUUUAAAAGAUUAGUUUAAAAGAUAAGAUCUCCUCUUAUUCUCCAUAUCAUAUAUAUAAUCUUUUAUAUUAGAGGAUGACUUUGCCAUCUGUCUAGCUCAAGUUACUGCACACCUCUUCUUCUGAUAAACACUUUGAUAUAACUUUUUACAAAUCUUUAAUUAAACUUGGAACUUUUUAUACUACAGGGGAGUCACACAUUCAACAUGGAACACCAAACGAUUUAAGAAUUUUUUGGACGUGUUUUAAUAAAAUGUUUUUGAAACCAGGUGAAUUUUGAAAAAACACUUGAAGUGUUUUGUGGAAGAAGCACAUAACUGACGCUUCUUUUAUAAAGCAAUUCAAGUAUUUUUGAAAUUCAAAAAUAUUCUCUCUCAAAACGCUUUCAGUCAUUUUAAAAGUACUUCCAAAUGUACUGUUAGUGUCCCUUAUUAAUGGAAAAAGUUCAAAAGUUAUUUGUAAAAAGUUCUAUCUAUUUGUAUUGUAUUUAGUCUCUUUAGUGGAAAAGUUCAAUUUCCUAUUGAAAAUUUGCAAAAAGUAAGCUUUAUCUGUUUGUAUUUCUUUAUUCUUUAAGCCUGAGUUUUUUAUUCUCUCUGUAUGGGACAAAAAAAAAUUGUAAACUAGAAUCUCAAAGAUCAUGAGCAAGAUACCUCCAUGAAAAUAAAAGGGAAACCAAGAAAUGGUCUUUGAUGGAUAAGUUUGGUAUUAAUACGUUUGUUUUAUGGUUAGUGGACCAAAAAAUAAGAAUUAAACUCAGAUCUCAAUCCACUUUCCACUAAUUCCAUAUAAUUAAGAAAUGGAGAGCAGCCUCAGUAUUGCUCUCUUUCAAGCUGUCAACUCUGAAGUCUGAACAAUAGCAAAAGUGUAGUUGUAUGUGUUUAGAACCACAAAUUUCAUAAAGUCAUUAGUAAUCUGAAUCAAGAUCAUUUCAGAUCAAUACAUAGUAUACAUACACAUAUAUCAUGAUCCUUAGAGUGUAUGUCAACAUGGAACAAAUAAUUGCACAUAGUUUUUGCAAAUUCAGCAAAACCGUAAAUUCGCCGCAUCGAGAGUUCAUGUUGCAUAUCUCAAGACAAAAAUGAGGUAAAACAACCAGCCAGAACAGAGAUUAUAUCUUCUGUCAAAAUUAAAACAUUCAUUUAUACUAUCUACAGGUUAUAAGGUAGAGAUGGGGACCGGAACCAAUAAGUACUUUAUUCUAAUUUUUCUCUUGAAAAUAAAUCUCUCAAAGGACAGAGAAAAACGAAUCCAUCCACAGCGAAACAUGCUUUCAAUUAGAAAGAAAUGCCCUAAACAAACACAACUCUACACUGAAUCAGCCCCUUCAACCUGCUGCUGCGCUAGGUAUCUUUCCCUGCGCUCUUUCUACAAACGAAACCACACAUACCGUAAGUAAGAAUGUGCACAAGAAGAAUGGUCUAAACAAACACAAUAAUCGUCACUCUACCAAAAGAAACAACAUGUUGAGUGCCUCACCCAUUCAUCUAUGACAAGUCCUUCCCCUACAAUCCGGGGGCCUGCUUCUUCUGGAGGCUUCUUUCGUGUUUCAAGGGCAGCUUCAGCUUCAGCCAAUUGCCGCUUAAGUUUUUCCAUUGCCUUAAAAAACAAAAUUGAAAGUGAAAGGGCUUGUUACUGAGGCUAAAACUAAGACAACCAAAAAAGUAUGUAUUGUGCAAGAAAUGGCAAAUUGGUCCAUCUACUUACAGGGGUAGGGUGCUCAGGGUCAAGGAAAACAACACGCAAAACCUGCUCAACCACAACUUCGUCCCUCUGCUCCUCAAACUGCAUAAACACAUAUUACAGUUAAUGUUUAAUAUCUUUGAAUUAUGAUGCACACUGGUUUCUAUCUUGUCAUAAAGUAAAAAAUAUACAGCAGAUUUCAGGUCAUAAAUCGGAUAUAUAGCAAGAUUAACCUGUUGCAGAAGCAAGAUAUAUGGUCUAAACAAAUUAUAAGGAAGCCUUAAUUAGAAAUUAUGCCAAAUGUUUGCUACUGUAGUAUGUGACAUUUGAGUUUUCACUUAUUAACAUAUGGCGCAGAAGGUUAUAGACAGUAUGUGUUUUCACAACUGCAAGAAUAUUCCCAAUUUCACACACCGGAGAAAACAACCUCAAAUCUGACAUCUCAAAGUCUACUCACAAUAUUUACUGAUAUUAUCUUGAGGGAAAGUAAAAAUGUUACUGUGGAAAAACAACGUAAAUGAAUAUGGUAAAAGUUAUAUACGAAAUGCCUGCAACAAUACCAGUUCUGGUACAUAGUCCAUAUCUCCUUUCACUUUUAAGCUCAUGAUCUUGAACUUCACCCUGCUCUUCUGGUCUACAGCUGGUUUCUCAUCGUUCUCCGGAGGUUCCACAAACUUGAAAACUGUCAAGAUUUAAUAUUACAAUUUUCAACAAUGAACUUGCUAAAAUAUGACUAGCUAGUAUGUUGUUCAUUGCAAAUAUAUGGACGUGAAAUAUAACCCGAAAUAAUGGAAGAUCAUGAAAAAUGAAUUACCAGUUGCAAUAAGACUUUCACCAGGAGCAAGUAUACCUCCAGGAGGACGCAUGUAACAACUCUUUGGUGCAGUUGUUUGGAACUAAAGCAACCAACACGUAAGCAGUUAGAUAGUCGUAUCAAAUUCGUAAUAGGAAAACUCCUGAUACUGUCAUCCAAUGCUAUACAAUUUUCAAAACUAUGCUAACCAAAUUUGGUCGUAAAUCUAGUCGAACAGUCAGUUUUUCCAAUUAGCUAUGACUAGUUUCGAUAAUGUUAUAGAGGUAAAAUACAUAACAGGGGAACUUAGGAUUCAAUCCAUACCUUGAAAGCUACAAGAGACUUGCUUGUGUUUUUUAUCCCAAUUGCACUCCUGACCUGCUUACCGGGUUCAUCUUCAGACGAAACAAUCACAAAGUGAGGCCAAAUAUAUCUAGCUUGAAUCAUCUACCAGCGAAGGAACUCAGCCAGCAUUACACUUUUAUAAUGAUUAGCAAAUAUUUCUGAGUGAAAAGCUUAUAAGAAAUCCUAAGUGGAACAAAAACAAACUACACAAAUGGAUACUUAAAAACAAACUAUCAAAGAACAGAGAUAUCAGAUGUACAGACACCGAUUAGAACCGUCCAGAUCGGCAAAAAGAAACAACAUUUGGAACUACUAUAAGGGCUUGUUUGGGGUUUGCCUGUAGAAUGGUUUAAAUCGCUUUCUAACUACCAAAAACAGCUUAUGGCUACGUUUGGCAGAAAAAAUUGAAAGUGCUUUGACGGGUUUCUUAUAAAAACAAUUCUAUGAAAAGUGCUUCUAAGCAUAAAUGCUUCUCAUCGAAGCAUCAGCAAACGGUUCCCAAGUCUUUCACAGUUUAACUCAUGAAACUAAUAAAUCAUGCAACUUAAGCAAAUCAAAGAACAAAAAUUAUGACAUUAUGUUUUAUGUACUAGAUGUUGAAGACCCAGAAAAACAUUUAUCAUUGAAAAAAACUGUCUAAGCUUAAAAGCACGACAUUUCCCGCAACCAAUUAGACAACCCAAAAGAAACAAAGGUCAACUUUUUCCAUUGAAAUUCUUAGAAACUAGAAAAACCCAGAUCACAAUUAUUACGUAACAACAAAGAUAACUAGAAAGAUGCAAGUAAAGGGGCUUACAUGGAAAAAAGAGCUUAUUCGGAGGAUCAAGACGCAGCCUUCUCCUAGCCGGAAGCAAAGACUUGGUCACGUACGACACCGUACUGGCGGAAUGAAGAGCCAUCCGCUCCGCCGCAGACUCGUGAAUCUGACCCAGCUGGUGGUGAACAUUGUGAUGCAUUGAAGACAAGGUCGAGGACGACGACGAAGAAGCGUUCCCGGACUGCCAAAACGGCAUUUUGAAUAGACUCCAAAGCUUCCCGUCAGGCCCAGAUUUCUCAGCCUCCACAGCCAUUCUCGACCAACUCGCCGGAAAUCACUUCUCGUCGCUGGCAAGUGGGUUUCGCCGGAGAUGGUGGGAAAACAGUGAAAAGAGAGAUUUUGUUUUUGCGCGGAUGAAGGCGAAAGCUGAAAGAUUGAGACUUCAGUGGCAAGUAGUGUUUGUGGGAGGCCUUUAUGGGAUGCGAUUGCCAAAUGUGGAUGAAUGCGACCUUUCGUUCUGGACCUUUUGGAUUGUCGGAAGUGGCGGUGGUUACUUUUGCUCACUCCACUCUGUUCUGUUGUCGUUGUUGGCUGUCAGUUGGCAGCUGAGGAUCAAGUUUAAAAACUUAUCGUGGGCUUCAUAUGGACUAUAUAUUUCGGAAUUGGAUCCCCUCCUCCGCAAAUGGUGGGAUCCUCAUAAUCCAUUAGCACGGAUUGUUGAAUUUUGAUUCAACGGCUACAAUUAUUAUAACUUGUUCAGGAGAGGAUCCAAUUCCAUAUAUUUUUCAUUCAAAUUAUUGGACUAUAUUUUUUUUUUAAGUAAUAUCCUAAUCUAAUAUCUUUUUUUGUCUAACUAACGUCGUAAUCUAAUUUAAUCAACGGGAGGGAAUUCAAAUUUGAAUUGAAAGAGGGAUACAUUACCCUAAUUAAAGUGGUUACGCCAAAAUAAAAUUAUUGAAAUAUAAGAGCAUAGUUGUAUGUUUUUUCCUUUGUCCAAUCUUACACUAAUUUGAUUUUUGGGUGCCACCAAUUUUAUACAUGUACACACACACAUAUAGAAAUGUAGAAAUAUUCCAUGACACUAUAUUUUAGUCCAACAUGGCAAUUAAUUUGAUUUUUAUUUUUACGAUUUCUUUCCUUCUCCACCAUCAUUAAUUAUUUUUCCUUUCCUUCUACUGAAUAUCUCCUCCCUCCUUACCCUCUCCCCUUUCCUUCUCCACCUUUUGGAUCUUUCUUCGUCCUCCCAUGGUUGCAUCAUAGAAAAUUUACUCGCAUAUUCAAACUUCAAACCACAUAAACAAAUCCUGCAUCUGUCCUCCAUUGCUCCACCAUUUGAAUCUCUAGUUUUGUUUUUUAAUUUCCAUUGUCAUGUAAUGAAUGCUAGAGCUACAAAAUUUGAAAAUACCAGCACAUAAGAAUCAGGCCAAUCGACCGGAUUAGUGUGCAUACUCUCUUGCAUCUGAGUACGAUCGUCUUUCAUGUAAGUUAGAGCAAUUUAAAAAUACCUAGUCAAAUAUCAUAGUAAAGUUUAAGAUAAAUAACAUGCAAAUCUUACAAAAUGUAUGUGUUUAACUCAUACGCUUAACUUGUAUAUGUGUGAUUAAAAAAUUUGCACAUGAUUUUUUCAUAAGUUUUUCUUAAACUAAAAUAUUAGCCGUUUAAUUGUUACAUAUUUUUAGGUAUGUUAUAUUACUAUGAAAGGAAAAAAAAAUUCUUAUGUUUUAUUUUAUUUUAUUUUUACAAACGAUAUUAUCUACACUAAAGGAAGGGGAUGGGCUAGCAAUAAUAUGGUUUAAACUCGCAUUUGGCGAGAGUCAAACCUAAGACUCACUUACAAGUGAAGAUAAAUACCGCUAAACCGUAGUAAUAAGUGGCAAAAAAAAAAAAUUCUUAUGUUAUAUACAUGAGUUAUCACAUUCUCGCUAUCGAAAUAAUUCUUAUUGAUCGAUUCCUUUAGUGGAUAACAUUUUCUCUUCAAUCCAUUGUACUUGACGUUCAACGAUCUCCCCUUAAUAUAAUUUGAAGCAAUAAUAUCGGUUGGAAAAGAAAAAUUGAUAGCUUGGUCCAAACAUAAAAUUGACAACUAGGAAGAAUAUACCCAAACCGUUGGUGGAAGAACUAUAGCUUUGGAUACGACAUGGACAUGCACCAAAUCCACACUUUCUUUCAAAUCUUCAUAUGAUUCCUUUUUCCUUUCAUCUCUCUUUUUAUUCUUUUGUCUUUAAAAGAGUGGAUCAAUCGCAUGAGGCCAUAAUUAAAAUAGGCUAAUCAUGUUUAGAGCAUUAGAACAUGUUCUCCUGGUGGUGCCAUUAAAGAUAACGACGCAGCAAUCAGCAACUCCACUGAUAUUCCCAUGCGGCUCCUCCCUCUUUCAAAGGCAUCUCAUCUUUUUCCCAUAUUUCAUGCACCAUAAUUUUGACCUGCCAUUUUUCACUUGGGAAAAUCACAAAGUUCAAACAGCUUUUGCGUAAAGUUACUUCCGUUCUCUUUAUUUUUCUCACAGUGCUUAUAUAAUAAGUUGAUCGACCCAAGGGCUAAUUGCUUGGACCAACAUAAUUGCCUUGUGAAAUUUAAUAUUUAAGGGUUUCUCUCUCUUAAUUAUGUUCAACACAUCAAUUUAGUCCUCCAAUUUCCAAAUCCCUCGAUGCACAUUUAUACUUCGAUAUAUAUAAUUAAAUUUUAAAGAGCACGUAACUAAUGUUGUGUCAAAUAAUAGGAUGACGACAUUGAGUGACUUUGUAGUUUAAGUUGGAAGACCAAACUGAUGAGUUUUUGUAAUUUGGAACCAUUUUCAAUCAGAAUCCAAAUUUUAUUGUUUUAUUUUUGUUUAAGAUGAAAUUCAAUUCAUUAUUUGGUCUUGUAUGUGUCAUGUAAAAUAGGAGGACCAGAAAUAUGUGAUUUCCUUCAUUCUGAACAAAUUAAAAGGGUAUCAUAUUAAAAGACUACAUACACAGCAUACGUAACGCUUGGUAAUGAUUUCAUAAACAUGGGAGUGGGCAGGAAUACGGUCUUUCCAGCUCAGUUGGGCCUCAACAACUCAAGUACAUUAUUAGUCUCAGUGGUCCUUCUGAUUGCUUCAAAGUCCCCCUCUUCUUUGCCACCGUUCUUUUUUCGAAGAAGAAGAUUCUCCCACUUGUGUAGAAAGUGGCUUCAAUAAUGUUGCUAAUUAGGGGUCUUCAUUUGGCACGUGGGCCAUGGGCCUGCCCGGCCCAUCGGAAAAACGCCCGACUCGGUUCUUUAUGGGAUACGGGCCGGGCCAUCUAGUUAUAUAGGAGCUAGGCUUGGGCUAGGGUGUUUGAGGCUUGGCUCGGCUCAUAGGCCCGUCUCAUUUAAAGCCUAGGAUGCCCGGCCCAUAGGCCCAUUUCAUAUUACACACACAUGACACACUUAGGGCUGGUAUGAUAUUGAUGUGCUUUGAAAAAAAAAUUGUUUCUGCUAUGCUGUGAGAAUAAGCUCAUUUUUGUUGCUUCAUGUUUUCAGUUUUUUUUUUCACCUAAAACUGUGAAAAUGAGCUAUUUUUAAGUGUUUACUAAACACUUUUUUGAGCUCAGUUUUUUUUAAUACCCACUUUUUAUAAAAGCACCUCAAUAUCAAACCAGUACUUAUACUAGCUGUUCCCAUUUCGGCCCAAACCCAACUCACUUUCUCUAGCCAUACUCGACCUUAAACUCACACAUACCAUUUCUCUCAUCUCCAACUACAUAAUCGAAUUGAUCGAACGGUAAUUAAUAGAAUAGUGAACAAAAAUGUAUCCUCCAUAAUUUAUUGACGAGUGUCCUUAUGUAAUUGGUGUAGUUAAGUCUCUUGUAUAAAUAGUGAUUCAUUGUCGCUAUUUCCUAAAUUCCGAUUCCUCUGUUAUCAAAGAGAAUAUUAUGCAGACUUUCCUUUCCUUGCUUUCGUCUUCUUUUCUCAUCUAAUUUCUGUCAUCAAUUCUAUAUUUCUUCACUUAAUAAAAUGCAGUUAAUAAAAAUAGCAAUUUAUGGAUGAAUCUCCAAACUUUGUAGGGAAUAAAUAUUUACGUGCCAGAAGAAAAUGUUUCCAAAGUAUGUACAGAUUACAAUGACCUCAAGCUGAGUUUAAUUUGGUCUCAGUUGGGAACCCAAGAAUUUAGAUACAUAACUUUCCUCAUAGACUCCUCUGCCGGCUUUGCUUUCUCUUCUCGCAUGAUUGUGUUUGAAACCCUAGCAGCAGAAGAAGGAGAAGAAUACAGCUCCUUGGCCUGAGAAAACGACCUGGUGAGAUGGUUCUUGGCAUGCUGGUGCAUCAGUCUUAUGGGGUCGUUCCACCUGCACACCCCUUGGUCUUUCAGUACUUCCACAACACCAACUGUUGCCCCCACGAUCCAAGCGCUACCUGCUGCACUCAUCAUCUAAAUUUUCCUUUUUGCCUUGGGACAAUCUUUUGAUUUGUAUUGAACAAAGUAUGGGAAUUGAGAAAGGUUGAGUUGAAAUAUUUGGCAGGGAGGAUGUAUUAAGAUUGAGUAGUUUGAUUUGGAUACACGAAUGGAUGGAAGCAAAGCCAAAAAUAUUGGGGAAAAACCAGAGGUUGCAGAAGUUGCUGCUUGUUUUCCAAGGAAAUCCACUGGUUUUUGUAUAAUUUUUUAGUACUUUUCUGCUGGUUUACACAGGCGCACUUUGUUUUGUCAAUAAAAUAGUGCUUUUAAGCGCAGACUAAUAUGGAAUGGAACUUUAAACCGUGCACAACAAUAAAAAAAUUGCAUGUGCAUCAUCACUGCAUACAUCAUUUUCUUUUAUUUUUAUUUUUAACAAAUGUAAAUGUUAUUAUCAAGGAAAGACAUGUAUAUAAAUGGAGGCCCAAUCACAAUGAAUGCACAAAAUAAAUAUAUAGAUCUUUACAACAACAUAAAAAAGAGUCCAACCCAAACUUUUGAGCCUGGUUUUCCCUUUAACACCUUACGAGGGAUAUAAACAUUUCUAUUAGAGGAAAACUGAUAAAAAUAGUUUGAAAAUUUUGAAUUUUAACGAUAAGAACAAAAUAAAUGGUAAAGUGAAUAGUACCAGGAUUAAUUUUUUAGUGUAAAAAUAUGGUUUUUCGUUAAAGUAAAUAGUACCGGCAGUUUUUCGUUAAAAUUUCCUUCUAUUAUACUUCAAUAAAUUCUAUUCUUUGAUAAACCAAAAAAAAAAAACUUUGGAGCCCAAAACUAAAAAGCACAAUAAUAAAAAACCCGAGCUGCCAGUUUCCUUUGCCGUCGCCGGAGCACCAACCAACCAUCCACCAAGAACCAACUUCCCUUGUAGAUGUUGAAGAUCCAACAAGGCAACAACCCAGAAAUGAAAAGAAGAAGGCUCCAUCUACCUGCAACAAGAACCAUAAAUAUCCAAAUCGCAACCACAAAGGAAAGGAAGCCAGUGGGAAAUUCCACAAGCGGCAGUGCCGAGAAUUGCAGACAACUGGAUAAUGGUGGUGUAAACACUCCAGCCGGAGCUCUAUCCACCAUCCGAUAAACCCACAAACGCGAAGAAGGGAAGCAUUUACAAAUAUGAAAUUUUUUGGGAGUGAAGAAGACUGAGCCAAUUGGUAUAGGUAGAAGAUGGAUUGAUUAGAACUAUGGAGGUUAAAAAACAGUAGGAAGAAGAUGACGGGGAAGGUCUGAAUUUUGACAAAGUUAUUUACUAAUUAAUUACUUGAUAAUACUUGAAUUCUCCCUGCAGACAACACUUUAUCGUAGUAACAAAAAAUAAUUAGAUUUAUGCGACUUGAUACGGGUUCGAUUUUCACUCAUAGUACUCCUUCCCCUUCUAUAAGAACUAAUUAAUUAACCUAUUAACGUUAUCACUCUACUAAAAAUCACUUGUAUCCUCUCUUUGGAUGUACUCAUUUCCAAAGAGGAAAUACAAGUAUUAUUCUAUUAUAAUAGUAGGAUUUGUUAGACAUAAUUGUUUAACCCCCCCUAAGCAGGCUAUACAAGAUAAUACAUUUUCUAGUUCAUCAACUAUAAGGUAAUAACAAAUACAACUGAAUAUCCAGGUGCCAUUAGCACAUUGGUUUAUGUUACAUAAGUUUGCCAUGUUGUAAUAAGUUGGAUUGAAUAAGAUUGGAUUGCAUUGCCACAUAGGCUUGGUAAUUAUCACUGUACUAGUAUACAUACACUUUUGUACUGCCUUCGUUCAUUAAUUGGAAACUUUAGUGAUUCCUGAGUCUCUCUUACUUUCUUCUUUUGCUAUUCAUCUUUUUCUACAGAAUUACAGAUUUAUAACUCUAAUUCAGUACUGUUAGGAUAAGGAGUGCUAAUUCAUUUGACUAAAAUACGUGUUGGUUAUUUCUAACUCCUAGUAAUCAUUAUUUCAGUGAAAUUAAUGAGGUAGCACCAGCAACAUCAAUUUCCAACCCUUGUCACUUGUUAUAUAUACAUUUUGCCAGAACAACUCUGUAUGUAAAUGAAUAUUCUUUUUAGAACCUCAGUAGUACGAGUAAAUUUUAUUAAUAAUAUAUUAACAACACUUACUAAUACUAACAUAUCGAUACACACCAGUUUUGUUUUAAUUAGCAAAGUCUAGCGAUUUGAAUCUUCAAGUGCAUGCACAAGAGAAAAAAAUGGACAACUUCCAUAUUUGAUAAGAUGAGUAAUUUAGAUGGUAAUAAAUCAACACACAAAUUAUAUCCUCGUUGAUCAUGAGAAGAAACUAGUUGAAUCUAAGGAAUUUGGUAGAGGGGGACUUGUUUGACUGCAAAGUCGAUUAAAAUUUUUUUGUUCACCAAUGAAAUUGGAAGGGAAAGGCAUACAAAUAAUCCAAGGCAAAGAGAGAAAACAAAGGGCUAAUGUUAAUGUUGAUCACAUGAUAAAUUAGUUAUCAUAUUAAUUUUAUAUACAUUACAGAAAAUUCAGAGAUCUAAAAUUAACGAUCAAUUUGUUGCGAAAAAUUACAAAUCCCUUCAGGCUACAGUCUACAAGUUGUUCAACCAUGGCCAACGAUUUCUUGCUUAUCAAAAUUGAAAGAGUGGUUGAAUGGAUGAUCAAUUGGGACCCCAGCAGCUGAGGUACAUGACUUUCCUGAGAGACUCCUCAGACUGCUUUAUCUUCUCAUCUUGUCUAACUUGAAUUGAGAUCAAAGCAGAAGAUGGGGAAGAGAACUUGUUGGCCUGAGAAAACGACCCAAGUUGGUUCUUGGCAUGCUGCUGCAGUAAUCUCAUAGUAUAAUUCCACCUGCAGAUCCCCUGGUCUUUCAAGGCCUCCACAACUCCAACACUUGCUGCCACUACCCAACCUCUCCUUGCUGCUGCUGAUGAAAUAGUCAUAUUUUCUAUCUGUAUAUAUUUUUUAACAAAUAACUCUUGAUGGAAAUUGCAAGUGAAGAAAACUGAUGUUUGUUUGAUGUGUUUGAAUUUUGAUUUGGUGAAGAAAAUGGUGAGUGGGUGUUGCUUUUAUAUGGAGUAACACUUCAACUAAAUUCAUGAAUGUAGGAGGAAAGUGGAAGCCCAUAUAAUGUGGGAAAAACCAUGGGAAGCCAAUGGUUUACUUAGCUGGUCAGACUCACUCAUUGACAGAGGAGACAAACUUAGGUUGGGUAGGACCAAGCAAAGGCACACGGUUUUCCUUUAAAAAAAUCCAUUUAAGCCUCAAGUAUGGGAGGAGAUACCACUUGUUUUACUUUAUGGAGCUAAAACAGGGACUCGGUUUUUUUUUUUUUUUUUUUUUUUUAAAUAAGAAUUAGAGAUGUCAUUGUUAAAAGAAGUUGAGAUUUAUAUCAUAAAACUAAUUGGUAUUCUAACUCGAUUUUUCAUAAGUACAUGCAGGGUUUAUUUUAUUUUAUUUUUAUGUGAGAUUCUUCCCCCCAACAAUUUUCCUAAAUUAGAGAAUGGUUAUUAGAAAAUAUUUAGGUUUGAGUCUCAUACUAAAUGCCUAAAAGGGAUAAAACCAUGAAACAAACUAGUAAAGUCAUCCAAUCUGAUACUAAAUGCCUAAAUUGCGUUGGACUGGAUUCUCACUAGUAAAGUCAUCCAAUCUGAUUCAAUCAUGUUGGUUUGAAAUUUAGGGAUCCAAAACCAUUAAAAUCGGAUUGAACCAGAUUGGAUCAGUCGGUUUGGGAGGUUUGAAAGGGAUCUUCAACACCCCUACAAUCGUGGCUAAUCUUCUGUCCUAGUUCAGACUAUGUUUCUAUUUCUGUUCUUUUGAUCUAAUGGAAAGUUUUUGCUCCCUUUUCUUUUGGUAUGGUUGGAUGUUGCUAAUUCUUCACUCUUUUGGUAUGGUUGAACGUCUUGCCAGCGACCACGGAGGCAGCCACACUGGAGCAAACGAGAUACAAACAAUUUUGUCUCAAAUUUGAAAAUCACCUAACUACGUUCAGCAACAUUUCAAGGAAAGUGAGAGUAUAAUAGGCGCUUUUGUCAAUCCAUCAUAGCACCAUUUUUUGUGGGGGCAAUAUUUAAACUUCAAUUUCCAUAAGAGCCCUUCUUCAAAUGUACCGUUGUGAAAAUAAAAAAAUUCAACUCAAUAGUGAUCAGCAAUUCUCAGAUUUAUAUGUUUGAUUUACAUGGCAAUUGUCAUAACAUAACAAAAUUUACAUCAAUUUGCCAGGACCUAGCAGACAUCAAUUGCCUGCCACUUACGAUCCCAAACGAUAGCCUUUGCUAAUAACUUAAGGACCCCUUCAUGGGGUGUUCCAUCAGCAAGCGCUUACACAAAAACAUGCAAUCUUAAUUUGCUCUUGUUUCUGUGAAUGAAUAAUUGAUUAGUUGUUGGGACCCCAGCAGCUGAGGUACAUGACUGUCCUCAAAGACUCCUCUGAUUUCUUCAUCUUCUCAUCUCUCACUUUACUCAGAACUGAAGCAGAAGGAGAAGAGAGCUUGCUGUUGGCCUGAGAAAAUGACCUCACUUGGCUCUUGGCUUGUUGGCCUACAUAUCUCAAAGCAGAGUUCCAUCUGCAAAUCCCUUGGUCCUUGAGUGCCUCCACAACUCCAACACUUGCUGCCACUAUAGCCUUGCUUGCACUUGAUGAACUCAUGAUUUCUUUUCUCUCCUUUGGGUAUUCUGAAUUCUUUUGGUAGUGAUUGUGAAUGUUUAAGUGUUUGAUGAAGGAUAUGAGCAUGAAGCGCUCUUUAUAUGGGAACUAGAAAGGGUGGGCCUUUCCACCAAUUACUAGAGGCGGUUUAGAGUGUAAAGCCAAUGGUAUAUAUAUUUCUUUUCUUGUCUUUUUGUCACACUCAUUACCACUAACUAUACAAAUGAGCACACGGUUUUCCUUAUCAAAUCCACCUAAGCCUCAGGUAUGGGAGGAAACACCACCUGCUUUUGUUUGUUACAGUGAAAAUGUGAAUGUAUAUACAGAUAAAAUGUCAAUAGCAUGUCAAUUAAAGUAACACGUAUUAAUACUAACAUAUCGAUACACACUAGGUUUUUUUUUUUUAACAAAUUCUAGCUACUUGAAUCUUUAAGUGCAUGAACCAGAGAAAAAAUGGAUAACUUCCAUAUUUGGAAAAUGAGUAAUUUUGAUGAUAAUAAAUCAACACAGUAAUUAUAUCCUCAUCCAUGAGAAGAAACUAGUUGAAUGUAAGGAAUUUGUAAGGGUGGGCCUUUCCACCAGUAACUAGAGGCGGUUUAGGGAGUGUAAAGCCAAUGGUAUAUAUUUCUUUUCUUCUCCUUCUGUCACACUCAUUGCCACUAACUAUACAAAUGAGCACACGGUUUUCCUUAUAAAAUCCAACUAAGCCUCAGGUAUGGGAGGAAACACCACUUGUUUUUGUUUGUUUUAGUGGGAAAUUGUCAAACUGUUUCCAAGACAAGAUAAUCUAUUCAGCUAAACAACUAUAUCCUUUUUUUUUUUUGGGAUAAAAAUUAAUUAACUCAGAUUUCAAAGAUUUUAGAUUUCAUUUUUCUAAAUAGUACUAUCCAUACAUCAUUUUUUACCUUAUACUCACUUUUAUUAGUUUUUGUUCAUUAAUCUUUUUCAUUCAUUCGAUCCAAUAGCUGGAAAUUAAGAGAGUGUAUGAGAGGUAAAAUUUGGUGUAUGGAUAGCACUACCCUUCUUAUAAAUAAAUAUCUAAGAAAAUUGCUACUAAAAAUUACUUAGAAAACAAACUUAUUGAGAGAAUAAAUCUUACAUCAAGUAAAAUAAGUCUUAUUUGAUAGUUUAAAUGAUUUUGGCAUCUCUCCCUUAUUGUGAGUUGUGUUCGGAUGGAUACUCACAUUCUAAUAUGAAAUCAAAGCAGGCUAUGCACUUGUUGAGUCAAGGGUCUACGUGCCCACACGUUAGCUAAUUAAUGUGGCCCACGUGCUAGACUUAAAAUGACCCCACACUUCUUUGUCAAUAAUUGCGAUAUCAUCAAAAAGUGGUGUAGUCUUUUUCGCGUGAUGCCUUUAUAGUAUUUCUCCGGCUGGAUUUGGAUUCUCCGGGUGGUGUAGUCUUUUUGAUGAGUUUGCAAUUGCAGUAUUUCUUAUAGCAUGAGUGGCCUCUCAUUCCUGAUCGAGAAAUUUCUCAUGUGGUUCUUCUUAAGCAAGGCUUCUUGUUGAGGAAUAAAUGUUAUUAUUCACUUUAUGAUGAUACCUGCCUUCACUUCUUCGAUUUUCAAGUGGUUCGCCUUUUGAUUUCAAGUGAUUUUACCCUGAAAUAAUUCUAGCCUUUCUUAAAUUACUUUCAAGCAUGUCCAGUCAGUCCAGUCAUUUAGCUACAAGCUUCAUACUUAAAUACUCCUGACUGCUCAAAUAGUCUUAAACAAUUUUAACUAUCUGAGUGGGCUUAAAUAUUCUUAACUACCUAAACAGGCUCCAAAUUACGUGUCCAAAUAGAAAUUACCUAACUACGUUGAUAAAUUUCAAUGGAAGAGAGUAUACUGUAUGCAUUUCUGUCGCUCCAUGUCAUAGUACCAACUUUGGUGGGAAAUUUUACACAAUGUCAAUGAUUUCCGGAGUUCUUGCAUUCUCUCAUCAUCGCCCAUAUAUUGCGUAUGCUUGCACAGGCCUAUAAAUUUUGAAUAAAAAACGUUUGAAUACUGGCAAAUUUAACGCCAUUAUAGGAUGAUAAAUGUUCCACUCAGGACAAAGUAACUAGUAGCUAAGUGUGUCCUCUGCGGAGUCCAGGGUGAAUCUACAAUUCACCUUAUCCGCGAUUGUGCAUUUGCUAAGUGUGUCUGGCUUGCUACUCCGAUUGGUAUCCCUCCUUCUCCGCCUUAUGUCCUCUCGAUGUUGGAUUGGAUUCUGAGUUGGACUUCUCACCUCAAUCCAUCGAACUUUGCUCUUGGUUUAAUGGUGCUUUGGGCAAUCUGGGGUGCACGAAAUAACCAUCUCUGGAAUGACUGUAUGGACUCUCCUGACAUCAUCGCUGCUUGGGGUCUCUCUUGGUGGCAAAAGUUCCAGAGAGUUGCUCCCCCCCCCCCUCCCUGAGACUCGCUACUCGUCACCAAGUCCCUCAUAGGUCGUCCCGCCCUCCUGCCCAUUUCCUUCAAGCUAGGGGGUUUUCAAAACAAUAUCCUCGAGAGUGAUUCAUUCCAGAUUGUGACGCAUCUACAUAAUUCUUCCAAUUAUUUUUCCGACAUUGGACUCUUCCAACUAUUUGUCCGACAUUGGACUCUUAAUUGAAGACUCGCGUGUGAUCCUGUCUUCAACCACUAGAGCUUAUGCUACCAUGUUCGUCGCCAAGUCAAUCGUAUUGCUCAUCGCCUUGCACGGUUUGCCUUUACUUCAAGUUCGUCAUGUAACUGGUUUGAGAAACCUCCGGACCUCAUCUCAAAUUUACUGUUUGACGAAGCUGUUUUGUAAUUGACGUAGGGCUUUGUAACUCUGUUUUUGAAAUGAAAUGAAUCUAUCGAGUACUUUUUCAGAAAAAGAAAAAAAAAAAACAACUACUGGCUAAAGAUGAAAAAAAGAAACGAGAUCAAGGUAGAAAUUCUCAGCAACAAUUUCUGUUCUAUAUGGUGAUUGUUACAACGAAACAAAAUUUACAUCAAUUAGCCCCAAGCAAACAUCAUCAUUUGCCGUAAUUUACAACCCUAAUCUUUGCUCUUGCUUUUGCGAAUGAAUCAUUCAAUUAAUUGUUGGGACCCCAGCAGCUCAAAAACAUGACUGUCCUCAAAGACUCCUCUGAUUUCUUGAGCUUCUCAUCUCUCACUUUACUCAGAGCUGAAGCAGAAGGAGAAGAGAGUUUGUUGUUAGCCUGAGAAAAUGAUCUCACUUGGCUCUUGGCUUGUUGGCCUGCAUAUCUCAAAGCAGAGUUCCAUCUGCAAAUCCCUUGGUCCUUGAGUGCCUCCACAACUCCAACACUUGCUGCCACUAUAGCCUUGCUUGCACUUGAACUCAUGAUUUCUUCUCUCUCCUUUCGAUAUUCUGAAUUCUUUUGGCAGUGAUUGUGAUGUUAAGUGUUUGAUGAAGGAUAUGAUCAUGAAGUGCUCUUUAUAUAGGAAUUAGAAAGGGUGGGCCUUUCCACCAGUAACUAGAGGCGGUUUAGAGAGUGUAAAGCCAAUGGUAUAUAUUUCUUUUCUACUCUUUGUGUCACACUCAUUGCCACUAACUGUACAAAUGAGCACACGGUUUUCCUUAUAAAAUCCAACUAAGCCUCAGGUAUGGGAGGAAACACCACUUGCUUUUGUUUGUUUUGGUGGGAAAUUGUCAAACUGUUUCCAAGACAAGAUAAUCUAUUCAAGCUAAACAACUAUAUCCCCUCUUUUUCUUUUCUUUUUUCUUUUUUUUGGGAUAAAAAUUAAUUAACUCAGAUUUCAAAGAUUUUAGAUUUCAUUUUUCUAAGUAGUGUUUUCCAUACAUCUCUUUUUACCUCAUACUCACUCUUAUUAGUUUUUGUUCAUUGAUCUUCCUCAUUCAUUCAAUCCAACGGCUGAAAAUUAAGAGAGUGUAUAAAAGGUAAAAUUUGGUGUAAGGAUAGCAUCGCCCUUCCUAUAAAUAUAUAUCUAAGAAAAUUGCUACUAAAAAAUUACUACGAAAACAAACUUAUUGAGAGUAUAAAUCUUACAUCACCUAAAAUAAGUCUUAUAUGAUGGUUUAAAUGAUUUUGGCAUCUCUCUCUUAUUGUGAGUUGUGUUCGGAUGGAUACUCACAUUCUAAUAUGAAAUCAAAGCAGGCUAUGCACUUGUUGAGUCAAGGGUCUACGUGCCCAUACGUUAGCUAAUUAAUGUGGCCAACGUGUUAGACUUAAAAUGACCCCACACUUCUUUGUUAACGAUUGCAAGAUCAUCAAAAAGUGGUGUAGUCUUUUCCUCGCGAUGCCUUUAUAGUAUUUCUCUGGAUGGAUUUGGAUUCUCCGGGUGCUGUAGUCUUUUUUAUGAGUUUGCAAUUGCAGUAUUUCUUAUAGCAUGAGUGGCCUCUCAUUCCUGAUCGAGAAGUUUCUCAUGUGGUUUUUCUUAAGCAAGGCUUCUUGUUGAGGAAUAAAUGUUAUUAUUCACUUUCUGAUGAUACCUGCUUCACUUCUUGAUUUUCAAGUGAUUUUAACCUUAAAUGAUUCUAGCCUUUCUAAAUUGCUCUCAAAAAAGUCAGCCCGGUCACUUAGCUACAAGCCUCAUACUUAAAUACUCUUGACUGCUUAAAUCAUCUUAAACAAUUUUAACUAUCUGAGUAGGCUUAAAUAUUCUUAACUACCUAAACAGGCUCCAAAUUACGUGUCCAAAUAGAAAUUACCUAACUAUGUUGAUAAAUUUCAAUGGAAAAGAGAGAGUAAACUGUUUGCAUUUCUGUCGCUCCAUGUCAUAGUACCAACUUUGGUGGGAAAUUUUACACAAUGUAAAUGAUUUCCAGAGUUCUUGCAUUCUCUCCUCAUCGCCCAUAUAUUGCGUAUGCUUGCACAGGCCUAUAAAUUUUGAAUAAAAAACGUUUGAAUACUGGCAAAUUGAACGCUAUUAUAGGAUGAUAAAUGUUCCACUCAGGACAAAGUAACUAGUGGCUAAGUGUGUCCUCUGCGGAAUCCUGGGUGAGUCUACAAUUCACCUUAUCCGCGAUUGUGCCUUUGCUAAGUGUGUCUGGCUUGCUACUCCGAUUGGUAUCCCUCCUUCUCCGCCUUACGUCCUCUCGAUGUUGGAUUGGAUUCUGAAUUGGACUUCUUACCUUAAUCUAUGGAACUUUGCUCUUGGUUUAAUGGUGCUUUGGGAAAUCUGGGGUGCACGAAAUAACGGUCUCUGGAAUGACCGUAUGGACUCUCCUGACAUCAUCGCUGCUCGGGGUCUCUCUUGGUGGCAAGAGUUCCAGAGAGUUGCUUCCCCCGCCCUCCCUGAGACUCGCUACUCGUCCCCAAGUCCCUCAUAGGUGGUCCCGUCCUCCUGCCCAGUUCUUUCGAGCUAGGGGGUUUUCAUAACGUUAUCCUCGAGAGUGAUUCACUCCAGAUUGUGACGCUUCUACAUAAUUCUUUAAAUUAUUUGUCCGACAUUGGACUCUUAAUUGAAGACUCGCGUGUGAUCCUGUCUUCAACCACUGGAGCUUAUGCUACCAUGUUCGUCGCCAAGUCAAUCGUAUUGCUCAUCGCCUUGCACGGUUUGCCUUUACUUCAAGUUGGUCAUGUCACUGGUUUUCAUAAACCUCCGGACCUCAUCUCAAAUUUACUGUUUGACGAAGCUGUUUUGUAAUUGAUGUAUGGCUUUGUAACUCUGUUUUUCAAAUGAAAAGAAUCUAUCAAGAGCUUAAAAAAAUAAAAAAAUAAAAACUACUGGCUAAAGAUGAAAAAAGAAAAGAGAUCAAGGGCGAAAUUCUCAGCAACAAUUUCUGUUCAUGGUAAUUGUUACAACGAAACAAAAUUUACAUCAAUUAGCCCCAAGCAAACAUCAUAAUUUGCCGUAAUUUACAACACUAAUCUUUGCUCUUGCUUUGCGAAUGAAUCAUUCAAUUAGUUGUUGGGACCCCAGCAGCUCAAAAACAUGACUGUCCUCAAAGACUCCUCUGAUUUCUUGAGCUUCUCAUCUCUCACUUUACUCAGAGCAGAAGCAGAAGGAGAAGAGAGUUUGUUGUUGGCCUGAGAAAAUGAUCUCACUUGGCUCUUGGCUUGUUGGCCUGCAUAUCUCAAAGCAGAGUUCCAUCUGCAAAUCCCUUGGUCCUUGAGUGCCUCAACAACUCCAACACUUGCUGCCACGAUAGCCUUGCUCGCACUUGAUGAACUCAUGAUUUAUUUUCUCUUUGAUCUUCUGAACUCCCGUAGUAGUGAUUGUGAAUGUUUUAAGUGUUUGAUGAAGAAGAUGAACACCAAGUGCUCCUUAUAUAGGGGGAUUACAAACGGUGGGCCUUGUCAAAACUAGGGGCGUUUAGAGAGUGUAGAGCCGAUGGUAUUUGUUUUCUUUUGUCACACUCAUUGAUGGAGACAAAAUUCGGCUGGGUGGAUGAAAUGACACUCACUGCCCACUGGACCACAAAUGAGCACACGGUUUUGCUUAUUAUAUCCAUUUAAGCCUCAAGUAUGGGAGGGAUUGUAUAAGUGGAAAUUGUCACAUUGUUUGACAAGCUAAUCAUUUUUUUUAAAUAGAGAUGAUACAAAUCUUAAUGAAGAUCCUCCACAGAUUAUUAAAUCAUAAGUGUCUAACUUAUCCUAUGUAUGAUUUCUGGGGGGAAAUUACAUACGUAUGUCGUAGAUCAAGACAAGCUAUUCUACUGAUUACCAAGUAACUCAAGUUUUUGUUUUUUAUUACUGAGAAAAAAUAAAAUUACAAAACAAACUCAUACAGAAUAAAAUAUAGAGAAGCUAGGGAGAGAAAAGAGACAAAAUAAAUAUAUGAUAUGAGUAAUGCUGUAUAUUAAUAUUCUAAUACAAAUCAUGUGAUGUAUUAAUAAUAGAAAACAUGCACGUUAAUCAACAUUUAAGUAAUAAUUCAAUCAUUGACAUCCGUGUAAUAAAUAAUUUAUAAAACUUGAUUAAAAUAAUUGAUUUCUGUAAUAUUACUCGAUAUGAUACGCACACACACGUAUGAUUAAAAUAAUUGGUCUCUGUCGUAUUACUGGAUAUGGUAUAUUUUGAGAUGCCUUAUAUAUAUUCUAUUAUUUUCAGAUCAUUACUUCCAAAUUUGUUUUGAAAAAACUUGGUAGCAUAUGGGGCCUUAAUUUUGUUUUGACAAUAUUGCUAGCUGAAUUUUUUUUCACUUUUGUGCCUCUAUCUACCAUUAGAUUACGUUUGACGAUCUAGACUAAAAGAACUUUUGACAAUAUUGCUACCUGAAUCCAAUUUUCACUCAAAAUUCCAUUUAGGUUAACAACGUGACUUGCACAAGACAACAUUUUAAGGACAAUUUCUUCAAGUCGUCUUACGUACUCAUAAAAAACAAAACAAAAAAAACAAAAUUUUCACUCAUGUAAUGCCAAUUGUAGAUGUUUUGAGGUCAUUUCCUCCAAAACAAUUUGGAUAUCUUUUAAUUUCUCGCAUCUUCUCUUAUGACGUGUUUACGUAACCAUAAUGAAAAUAUGUGGAAUUGAAUUGAGGAGAAAUUGAAAUGAGGAGGAGUUAGAAUCAGAUUCCUAUUGAAGUUGUUUACUUAAAUGUUCUAGAAUCGGAAUAAAAAUGAAACUAAUUCCAUAAAGUUGUUUACUAAUUUAGCAGAAUCAGAAUAUAAACCAGUAUGAUUACUAAAUUGCCCUUAUCCCGAUUCAAAUAUUUUAUAUACUUUUUCUAAUAAAAUUUGAUAUAAUAUAUAAUAGUAAGAAAAAAUAAAUAAAUCGCUUUUUUAUUUCAUAGACACAUUAAAGUGUUUUUUUAUUUAUUUUUAAUAAAUUUAAGUAUGUACUUUAAUAUUUAAAUUUUCUCGCUCAAAAUUGUAGUUUCUUCUAUUCGGCAUAUGCAUGGAGUUGUGCAUAAUGUGAAUGAGGGCAUAAUAGGAAGAAAAAAUGCAUUCCUGAUUCCUUCACCAUCCAGGAAUCCAAAUACCUCACCUAUGAAGGGAGUCCAAUUCCACCAAUUUCAGGAAUUGAAUUCCAUUUUUCGUGUGGGUCACACACGCUAUUGAUUCCUCCAAAUCAUAGUAAACACAAAAAUUAUCCGUAAUCGGAAUCGGAUUCCUUAUUUUCAUUUCGAUUACGGAUGCAUAAACACGCCCUUAAUCUAACCAUAACCUAGCUCGUAUUUUGUAACUCUGCUCAAGAUUGAUGAUG